This 90814-nucleotide long non-coding RNA is filed under the name Eucalyptus grandis. Its description in RNAcentral is "long non-coding RNA (EGRA_LNC004350)". Lineage: Eukaryota; Viridiplantae; Streptophyta; Magnoliopsida; Myrtales; Myrtaceae. The record is from RNAcentral.
UGAAGGUGACUCUCUCUCUCCUCCUCAGCCCCUCUCGUGAAAUCUCUUCCUCUGCAAUUUCGUCGUCGCCGGCGUCUCUCCGUCGCCACCUCGCCGGACGCGCGAAUCCCUAAUUCGCGGCGGGCGGCUGUCUCCGGCGCUUCUCUGUGGCGGAACCUCGCCGACUGCUCAUGCGCUAGGAACCUCUGCGGCAGGAAAUUCGAGAGAUGGACGUGAUAUCCCAGCUGCAGGAGCAAGUCAACACGGUCGCGUCGGUCGCCUUCAACACCUUCGGCUCGCUGCAGAGGGACGCGCCCUCCGUGCGGCUCUCCGCGAGUUACCCCGAACCGCCCCCGACCGCCGCGGAGGACGCGUCCAGCUUCGCCGAGCAGCCCAAGCUGAUGAGUGCUGCUCUUGUCAAAGCCGCCAAGCAGGUUCGUGCCUCUCUUGCUUUUGCAAGUUAUUAGCGAGCUUGCUUACGCCUGCUUGAUGCAAUUGGAAGAAUUUAUUUGGCUAGGGCUUUAUGAAGAUUGAUUACUUGAUUUGUUGUGGCAAGAAAAGAAAUUUACUUGUGUAUGAGAAUUGUAUGUAUGGCUAGAAGUCUAGGUUAUGUCCAAAGUUUUGGCGGAAAGGUCUUCUUACUUCGAUUGGCUUUUGUGCGCAUUUAGUCUCGGUUUGGGGACUCUGUGCUCGUUCUUGCAGAGGACGUGACCAGAUUUCAUUCAUAAAUGUAUACUAUGGAAGUUCUCAUCGGUACAUCACGGAUGUGACGGGUGGUUUUGGAGAUGCAAUGCGAGUUGGGUAUUUGGUUCAAUUUUGUGUAUGCCUCCAUGUGUGUUAGUUAUUCCUACGGAAGAAAACAGGAUCUUCUCCAUUUUUUUCUUGUGGAUUCUGUUGGUGGAUAUAUCUGCCACGAGUAUCUCAGUGUGCAUAUGUACAUAGAAUGUGCUGUGAUUUGGUUUACACGAGUUGAAUAAUCUUUUGACUCAUGUGUGAAAUUGUUAUGCACAUUUGAAAGGGCCACCACUCUUGUGUAAUCAUGACUAUUGUUUCUUUCAAAUGUGUUUCUGCAUCUUAGAGUCCGUAGAAUGGUUUGAGAUUGUAACUCCAUCAGCAUUCUUGAUCUUGAGUAAGGUGGAUUGUUGGUUUCUGAUUUCUAUCUCAUUGGUUUCUGAUUUCUAUCUCAUUCACUUUUGUUUUACUUCAUGCUUGAAGUAAAAUGAUGGUCAGUGUGACAUCCUAAAGACUCUGCGACUCUGCGGCAUCAGUAUAUUCUCGCGGGUGAAAGCAAUUAGCCUCCAUUUUAGAGAUGAAGCAUUAUGCUUCAAGUUAUAAAAUUCGGUCUCUUUUCCACCGUUUGCUUUGGCAAUCUGGAUAAAGUUCUAUCGGAACUUUUUUUCUUCUUUGAUGCCUUAGUAGCGGGACUUCCACUGCCAGAGGGAGGUGAAGGAGCUCAACUCAAAAGGAUUGCAGACCUCCAGGUUAAGAGGAUCCAUGGUUUUUGGCGUCUUUAGUUCAUUAUUUCUGUUGUUUAAGGCUGUUUCUUAUUCAUCCCAAAUUACCUUUGCACAGGCUGAGAAUGAUGCUGUAGGACAAGAGCUUCAGAAGCAACUUGAAGCUGUCGGUAAUUGCCCUAUCGAUGAGGGUGUGAGGGCAUUUGUCUUGUUCACUUAUGUAUGUCAAUUUUUGGUCGAAAGUGAUAUCUUCUAUGAUUUUUGGCAUUGGCAGAGAAGGAAUUGAAGCUGGUCCAGGAGCUAUUCAGCCAGGCAACAGAUAACUGCUUCAAUUUGAAGAAACCAGAAUAAAAAUUGAAGACGCUUCUCUUCUUUACCUUUUUCAUAAAAUUUAUGCAGUAGAGAUGAUGACUGAGAGAAAUAGGCAUUCUACCGUUCGAAUAGUGCAAAGAGACCUGAGAUGUCGCAGCUCUGUGUGGGUGAGUUUUGAAGUCCUUGCCGAGUAAAAGUUUCUCAGUGCACAAAAAGCAUCAAUAUGGGCAUCAAGUCAACCAAACAAUCACUCAAAUGAAGUAGUUCUGGUGAAGUAAGAAGUCUAGUCUUGAAUCUUUAAUUGCAAAAACAAACUGUAAUGUUACAUUAGCGAUGGAAAGUUCUCUGUUUUGUUGUUCACCUUCCUUCCCUCUGAAGUUUUCAAAGAUUGCUUUCUUACUUUUUGGUCCUUCUGAGGAAGGUCUUGGUAUCGGAUGGAGCAUGGGCUUGUUUGCCCUUGCAGUGUAGAUCAAGAAUCAAGAAGGCAACUUUUAUAGUUGUGAAGUUCGAGAAAUCAGAGUUUCCCAUGUUUGAACGAGAGAGGAGAACAGGGCGGGCUUCGGCUUUGAACACUAGACCCCUAGUGGGCGUGCGUCGGGUUAUGGCUAGCUUACCCUCUUUAGGGUGCUCUUCUUGCAGGCUUCGUGGACCCAAAUAAAAGGCCCAACCAUUAGUUUAGAACUCUCCAGAGUGGACGUAGGGUGCGUUUGGGAAGCAUUUUGGGGAAAGUCUUUGGGAAAAUGCAAACUGUAUUUAGUAAAUUGUAGUUUGAAAGUUCUUUGUGAAGUAUUUUGAGCAAAAUGGUAUUUGGGGAAUUAUAUUUACAAAGGACUUUUGUGAUAAAAAAAAUUAUCAAAAGAAAAAUAAAAAAAAAUUAACCGGCAAGGGCAAGGGUCGGGAGACCCUCGAUGAGGGCUACCAGAUGUCGGGUGACCCUCAGCGAGGGCUGCCGAACGUCGGGCGAUCCCGCCGCGACCCAAAUCUGGGGCGGUGAGGGCUGCUAGACGUCGAGCGACCCUCGGCAAGGGCUGCUGGACGUUGGGCAACCCCGUCGCGACCCAGAUCCGGGGCAGAGAGGGUUGCCAGACGUCGGGUGACCCCGCCGCGACCUAGAUUCGGGGCGGAGAGGGCUGUCGGACGUCGGGCAACCCCGCUGCGACCCAGAUCCGGGGGUGGUGAGGUCGUGGGAGGACCUCGCCGCCUCCGGCUCUGGGUCGUAGUGGGGUCAUGCGACCUCGCCGCCCCCGGAUCUGGGUCGGCGAGGUUGUGGGAGGUCGCGCGACCCAAACCUUGCCGCGACCCAGAUAGGGUGGUGAUUGCACCACUCCCCGGCGACGGUCACUUGGGCCACCACGACCAUACUGAGUCAUCAGCGGCCGCUCACAGCUUCGAGCAAGCUGUCAGCAAACCUCAACCGAGAAGAAGAUGACCAUUACAAUGACGAGGGCAAAAUCGGAAAAUCAAGAAUAAGUGAGGAUGGUUUUGGAAGAAAAUUAAAAAAAAAAUGAAUAGUGCAACUUGUAUGCCGAAAAAGCUGAAAGCCCAAGGCACCCUCACACCUACUUUGGGCUUUCAACCUUGAGAAGCCAACUUUGGGCUAAUGGGAAUUUGAAAGUUGUUCCCAAAUACCCCAACUUUGGUCUAAGUAUCUUUGGAAGCCCAAAGCCCUUUGCAAAGCUAAUUCCAAACGCACCGUAAACAACCAAGAGAAUAGUAUAUCCUCUUCUCCAAAAGGGACCAUGAGAAUGCUCGGCUUUUUGGUUGAACUGCCCACAUUGUUGGUGUUGUUAGGGUCCCAGAUGACGGACAUACAUUGCUGGCCUCUCUGGGUCACGUGAGCAAAGGGUCAGAAACUGAGGUUGCCAGUGUCUUUGGUGGGUACUUGGCAUCGAUGGCUUGUUAUGGCCUAAUUUGUUGCCUUCUGCUACCGACUAAACUCUCCACUACAUUUUGGGGGAUGGUGCUAAAUUGGAUGUACUUUUGGGCUAGUGAGAGGAAAUCUUCCUCAGAAAGUUUAGUCUUACACCUAACAUUGGAUUUUUCAAUCUCAUUAAAUAUUUAUGGACAGUCCAGGUUGUUGCCUUUAUCUCUUGGUCAAAUCAGCCACUGAUACUCCAGGAUCAGUUUAGGAGAAGUAUGUCUGGAACUGGACUUGCAUGUCCCACCAAUCUCAAACGGAACUCGUGGGCAAACUGAGGUACCACUUUGAGGGAAACCGCAUCAACAUAUAGGACCCCUUAUCAAUUGAUGUUGGACAAUAUUUGAGUGGCAUGUGGAAAUAUGCAAUUAGGGAGGCAUGUAGGGGCCCAUAAAAAUUUGAACUUGGAACUUCCUAUUCGGAUAGUCAAAUCCAAAACUUAAGCUAUUUGGUGGAGAAAACCACAAGAAUAUAUAUAGCACAUGAGACCAAUUAUCAAGUAAUGUGUGACAAUAUUUCAACAACUAUGAUUUCACAUUCACGAGUGAACAUAGUGAAUUAAGGCACUUUAUACUUUCUAGGGACAGGUCGAUGUGAUCAGGGAAUGAUUUCCUAGACAAAAGCCUUUAGUAUAGGUCCAUGCAAAUAUUUCUAUUGUCCUAGUAAGAUAUUCUUUGUCCAGAGGAUUGGGUACUCUCGGUUCAUUUUCAUCGAGUUAUUCUUCAUGGUCUUGUCAAUUUCUAGUCUCCUUGGAGGCUAGGUGUAGUUCCCCACUUUUUUUGCCAUCAUUCACAUUGACCUCUCUAGGAACCACUUUUGAUUGUUUCCUUCUCCUAACAUUAGCAUCAAAGGCCUCAGAUUAUUCAUCCAAUUCUUUAUAAGACUUUAUCCUGAAUUUCCAAAAGGUCCGAGUGAAUCGAUCGAAAGGAUAUUCCUGCACACUUUCAUUAGGAGACUAAGACGGUGGGCUUUCGUCGCUUGGACCAUCCCUAGCUGGGGAGGCUUUUGCUGGGUUAGAACCCAACUUGUGAUUACUGGAGUAGCUGGCUUCACAAUGGUGAAGCCCAAACAUGCUUCCAGUACUUCGGCAAGACAUUCUAUUCUCCAACUGUGAUCGCCAUAAAAAAUGUAAGGUGGACUUUCGCAAGAUUGUGAUCACCAGAAACUCAAUGAUUUCAAUUAGUAAUAAAAGUCCAAGCGAGGGUGAUCGAUGACCAAUUAAAAUGUUAAAAUUGAGGUUGAAUCCAAAGUAAAUGAAUUCUAACGUGCCAUGAAGUCUCGAGAACUCUGAAAAAAUGUGAAUUACUAAUGAAGUACAAACUGUAGAUUGGAAACAAGGAAAUUGUAUUGUAAUUUUGUUGAACCAGAAUGGAUGGCUUACAUUCCUUGAGGCCAUACUUACUCGAUCACUAAAACUAAACAUAUACCAUUAAUGGCAUUCGCUAGGAUGCGUGGAGAAAGUAAAAAAAACUAACAAAACACAACAGGAAUGCUUCUAUAAACAACGACAAAUAUCGAAACUAGGAAGCCUAAUAUAAAUGAAAUUCAAAUCCCAAUUCAGGUUAAUCUGAUCUACUCUAAAUAACCUCCUCAUCUUCAUAUCUUCACAAUUAAUCAAAUGUGCUAUUGGGAUUUUGUGGUGCCUCCCGUUGAUUCUUCUUUUGUCUUUUAAAUGGACAAUUGCGUUAUACAUUCUAAUCUUCCUCCACAAGAAUCAUUAAACAUCUUCACUUGCACGCUGCUCUAGGUGAUUUGCAACUGCUCUUGAUUUCUUAGCUAUGGUUACUCACCAGUAGAUAAAUCCUCCUUAGGUCAGUCUUUAACUUCUAUGCAUGUUUCCAAUCAAUUGAUAGUCACCUAGUAUCAUGCAAUUGGCUCAAAUACUAUCAAUUAGAAACUCGUGAUCGAAGAAUUCAUUAGAAGUUUCAUCAAUAGGCUUUGUGGGUUAAAUGUAUUAUCAUGGCCUGAUUUGAACUUAAUUUGGACUGUUAACUUCUUCACGUUUGGGCCUAAAGUUUAGCUCCGAUUUCAACAUGGGGUCAACGGAAUAAAAAAGGAAAAGAAAAUUAAAUGCAACGUCUUUCCAUGCCAUCGAGAAUGAAGAAAGAAAGAUUGACCUCUAGGCUGUAGCAAUCGACAAGUGGGAAAUGACCAUUCCAGGGUGGAGGUGGCGGUUGGGUUGGGGGGAUUGAGAUACUUGAUGAAAUAUGUCCACGUCUAAUGCUGCACACUGUUCCUCAAGUAAAUCAACUUUUCCAUCGCAAAUUUCAUGCUAUUAAAGCCGUGAUUUUGGAAAAACCUCAAAUAGCGAUAUAAAGUGCCUUCUUUUUACUCAAAAGAGAAUUUGAAAUAUAACCCGUCUCAAAUAAACAUCCAAAAUAAUCAUUUGGUCUCAAAAAAGGAUCUAGCUCGUCGACCAGUUAACAAAUGCAUCUCCCAAAUGUUUGGUUAGGGAUAUUUUCAUCCAAAAAUAUUCUUUUUCAUUUUCCUUUACCCUGUUCAUCUUCUUCUUGAUCCCACCUAUGUUGUCCCUGCUCAUCAUCAUCUUCGUCAAUGUUGAAGACAGGCAUUGCCCGGAUCAAGAACAGCGGAACUCGUUGGCCACGGGCAAGGGCCGGCGAGGCCCCCCUUGCUAGAUCGGCAGCGAGCGAGGGCUUGCAGGCCGACCCUCUGGCAAGGGUGGCCUUGCCUGUGGCUAGCGAGGACCAUCACGGCCGGCGGGGUUUCUAGAGGUUUGAUGCUCGUGACUCCACGUCGCGAACGGAGAAUUCCCUCUGAAAGUUCGUUCCUUUUUCCUUGAAUGUAUCUGUACGUAUCUGUAGUGCGUCCUUUGUUGACGACUUGUCACUUACAUGUCUCUGUUGGGUCCUUACUGAAUGAGAUGGUUAGCUCGAUUUCUUAUGCCGCGGAGCUUUCUGCUCGUGACGUUGAUUGUUCGGUGGGAUCGGGGGUGGUGGGGGGUGGGCGUAUAGCAAUUCAGAGAAAUCAGAAUUUCCUGUAGUUCGAGGCAUGAUUUGUGAUCAAGGCGGGAGGUGCUCUGUUUGGUGAAAGAUGAGUUAAGCUGAAGCUGCUACUUUCGUCAAGCCGUAUGGCUAUCUCGUCUGUCUGCCGCGAUAGGAUGUCCCCCUCUCGCAGCUUUCAUUCCACUCAUUGCUUUCUGAGGGCCAGCGAGGGCCUGCAAGCCCUCGCCUGCUGUCGAUCUGAUAGGGGUGGCCUCGCUGGCCGCUGGUACCCAAAUUCAGUGUUCUUGAUUUGGGCAAUGCCUAUCUUCAAGAUCGACAAUAAAGAUGAUGAAUAGGGACAGGCAUGGGUGGAAUCAAGAAGAAGAUGAACAGAGGAAAAGGAAACGAAAAAAUAAUAAUUUUCGGAGGAAAGUACCUCUGACCACAUCAUUGGAAUAUGCAUCGAAGAUGCAUCUGUUCACCAGUUAGCGAGUCAAGCCUUCCUUGAGACUAAAUGACUACUUUGGUUCCUUAUUUAAGAGAGAUUCAAAGAGAGAUUCAACUUCAUGUCCUUUUUUGAGAUUAUGAGGGCACUUUAGGUUCCUAUUUGAGAUUUUCUCUAUGAUUUUUGUUGGCUUGUUUUGCUUGCCUUUGUACGAUGGUCACAUGCAAUUAGGCAUCUUGGCUAGUUGGGCAGAACCACCAUAGGGUACUUGGGUUGACAAUGCUCAAGUCGAAAUGUAGUCAGUAGUCCUCAUUAUAAAAAUUGCUAUGGACAAUGCUUGACUCUAAAAGGAGCAAGUGUCACUCUUUAUAAAAAUUGCCGACCAAUUGCUUGCCAUUUAGAUGUGCUUGGUUUCCAUGUAUUCUCAGCAACUAUAUGCGCCGUGAUUUUUGUCAUUUAUGUCUAAUGCUAUAUACUAUUUCUCAAGUAAAUCAACUUCUCCAUUGCAAGUUUUGUGCUGUUAUUGGCUUGUUAUGCUAGUCUUUGUCCGAUGGUCAUAUGCAAUUAGGCAUCCGGGCUAGUUGGGCAAAACCACCAUAGGGUACUUGGAUUGACGAUGCUUAGGUCGAAAAGUAAUCAUUAGUGCUCAUUAUAAAAAUUGCUAUGGACAAUGCUCGACUCUAAAAGGAGCAAGUGUCGCUCAUUAUAAAAAUUACCGACCAGUUGCUUGUCAUUUAGAUGUGUUUGGUUUCACUAUAUUAUCACGCAACUAUAUACAUUGUGAUUUUUUUGUCAUUUACGUCUAAUGUUAUACACUAUUUCUCAAGUAAAUCAACUUCUCCAUUGCAAGUUUCAUAAAGCUGUGAUUUUUGUUGGCUUGUUAUGCUUGUCUUUGUUUAUAACUUACUAUAGAUAGUUUUACUUUUAUUUUAUUUUUUUGGUAUGUCAUUGAGUUUGUGAGACUUAAUUUCAAUAUCAAUGGAACGAUCUUGCUGCUUGUCAAAUUUUUUUGUCAUUUUCAUUUUUUGGAUUUUGCUUUUACUUGAUGAUGUUGCUGGAAUGUCUGUGGUUGUAGCUAAGGUGCUAGUGUGGCUAGUGAUGUCUAGUAGUAGUGGGUCUAUUAUGAUGGUUUGGUUCAAGGCUUAUGCUGUUUCUAGUGCAAGUGUGCAGUGUGCACAUCUUGCACCAGGUGGUGCUGGUGCAAGGCUUGACUUGCAUCAACACCUUCUGCAGCAUACCCACAAUUAGUACAAUGGCUGGUGGUUGGGGUGCUAGUGUGGUGGCUAAUGGUGGUAGCUGGUGAUGCCUUGUGAUGAUGGGUUUGUGGUGGGAAUUCGGUUGGCAGCUCGUGCCGCACUUGGUGCAAAUGUGUAGUGUGCACAUCUUGUAUCAAGUGGUGCUGGUACAAGCUGUACCUUGUGUAGCAAACCCACAACCAGCACAUUAAUUGGUGGCUGGGGUGCUAGUGUGGUAGCCAGUGGUGGUGGUGGGUGAUGGCUGGUGGUGCUGGUGGCCAGUGAUGCUUGAUGGUAGUGGGUCUAUAGUAGGGGUUGGGAGCUCGUGCAACACUUGGUGCAAGUGUGCAGUGUGCAUAUCUUAUACCAGGUGGUAUUGGUGCCAAGCGGGUGCGAGACUUAGCUUAUAAACACCUUCUGCAAUAGUACACCACUAGCACAGUAGUGGCUAGUCAUGGCUCGAGGUGGUGGAUUGGGUACUUGGUGUGGUUGGUGGUGGUGGCUGGUGGUCGGUGGUGACCGAUGAUGGUGGUUGGUGUAAUUUUUAGGGGAAACCUACAAAAAAUGACACUUAACUGAUAACAUUCUAAAAAAUUUAAUAUUUAAGUGUUCACUUUUAACCAUGAGUGAUACUUAAGUUAUCACUUUAAUAAUAACUUGACAAUUAAGUGAUCUUUUUUUCAUCACAAUUAGUACUUAAGUGAUCACUAAAUACAACUUAUGACACUCGAGUAAUCACUCGUGUUUGUCCUAUGUAUAUGUUGGUUUGUAGCAAACCAGAGAAGCUGCUAAUUUAUAUUUAGUUCAACUUAUAUCAACUUCAUUCAAUUCAGUGUUUGCUGUUGGUUUACGUAUAUAUUCAGUUCAAGUAAAGAAGCUACCACAACACAUUAAAUCAAUACACAUCCAUCAUUGUUCGUUUAUAUUCAAGAACAAGUAAAAAUAUAGUAUGAGCAGCAUUUCAUUCACUCAUUCUCUUUUGUUGACCUCUCCACAAGCACAAGAAGUAACCCAUGAUAUAUAUGAUAGCACAAAGAAUAACAAAGCUACAACGAUCUUGUGGACAACACAAACUUCUUCUCAUCUUCCAAAAAAAUGCCUACAUUUGAUCCAAAAUUAUUGUAUUUGUCCACUGAUUUUCAACUAUGGUAGUCGAAGAAACUUCUCAUCUUUCAGUGCCUAACAUUUCAUCAUAAAAUAGGAUAGAUAACAAAAUAAUACCACAAUAAAGGCUUGAUAACAUUUCCGUUCAAUUGUCAUUCUUGAAACUUCAUUCUACAAAUGUUUAGCCGAAGAUGCUUGAGCUUGUAUUGAAUUAACAUCGUCCAAGUUGUCCAUGAGCGUAGAUGGAGGUUGAUGUCAUCCAUCAAGUAGAUUCGAUAUCACCUCUGUGGCUCGAUGAGAGAAUUUCACAUCGACCCAUUUGAAGUAUUUACACUUCGACCAUUCUCUAUAUCGGGCACAUUCAUAAAAUCUUCUCCCCAGAUUCAUUCGAGUCCAUGAUGUUCUUUUUGGACUCGGUAACCCACAAAAACAAAAACGCUUGCCUUCGCCUUCGCUUCAGUGAGAGGAAUUUGAAGCACUGCUAAAAAUCCUACUCUCUUUUUCAAGAUGCAAUGGUGAAAUUUUAGGCAAAUCGAAAUUAAGAUUCGGGAUUAGGGUUUGAACACUUCAAUAGGGAUUUUGGCUUUUUUUAUUUUUUAGAUUUGGGGCAAUUUGGGAGAUGAUGUUGUUUUGAUCGAUUUAGGGCUUUUAUUUCCGGGGGACGGUCCCGUCCUUCAUCUGGUGAGGGUACACACAGUUUAAUGAUGUACAUUCCCAUAUGGACAUAUGGUCUCCUAGGCUGGAUCUCAUUACAUGUUUUCACUAUAAUCAGACAAACUUCUCUAUCAAGAUGGUCUGUAACUAAAUAAGAUAUGAAGAGGAAGUUGCAUUUUCUUUCUCAUUCUUCACUGCAUACAUGCUAUCGUGAGGCAUGAGAAAAUUAAAGGUUUAGAGCAGUAAAAAAGAAGGAACAAUAAUCUGCAGCCAAGAAAGGAAUACUAGAUUUUCAUGACUAUUUGUCGCGACCAAUUUUUUUUCCGGGGUGUGAACCACCUAGGGUUUGGCUAAUAGAUUGCUAAGCCUAGACUUAACUCGGGCUCUCCCAAACCCAUAUCAAUUCGCGACUUAGAUUUAAAUUAUUAACAUGCAGAUAUAUUUUAUUUAGGAGUUGCCACUAAUCUAUUUUUUGGUGGGUCGAUUAGAAACUCCAGUAAAGUAACGGGAUUUACUUUACUCAUACGAACCAGAGAUUUGGGUACGGGGAUUUGAUUACGCUAGAUUUCUCUAACGCCCUNNNNNNNNNNNNNNNNNNNNNNNNNNNNNNNNNNNNNNNNNNNNNNNNNNNNNNNNNNNNNNNNNNNNNNNNNNNNNNNNNNNNNNNNNNNNNNNNNNNNCGCGUCAUGCCAUUAAAAUUUUAUCAUUUGUAUCGCUUUGUUGUUUUACAUAUCCUUUUCAAAUCAACCAUAAUAAUAUUUCAUAUUGUAACGUUAGAUCCUCUAUCUUAGAGCCCGGGCGUUUAUAUGCAUACGGAGAAACCAUGGAAUCGAAUCUCAAUGGAGUACGUGGAUCCUACUAAUAAAUGAAGAUUACUGAAUGUCUCUGAGAAUCUCAGGAAGACGACACUUGGCAAUGACCAAAUUUAGUGACGGAAUCACCCGACGGAGGUACUCAAGCUAAGUUAGAUGAAGAAUGACUGAAGCUGGAGCCACCACGAAUAGUCGUCAUUUGAGAGAAGAAGAAAAUAGAGAGAGUGAGUUAUCAGAGGUGAAGGAUCUGUUUGUUCUAUGAACUGAAAGAGAGAGCGCGUGAAGUCUGCAGCGAUAGGAGGUGGUCCAGUGUUGCUGGGCGACGAUGAUGUUGCAGCAGCUUAGGCGGUGACGCAAGGACGGUGAGCUGCGAUGAAGGUGAAGACGCAGUGAUGGAUAACCCACAUGCAUCUCUGAGACUGACGAAGGAAGAGAAUCAAUCAUUUUUAUAUCUCUCUAGUAUUUGAAUCACCAAGAAUUCUUUUCAAAAGUAUAAGUUUUUUAUGGUACCUUCAUUUCGUAGAAAACUCAAUGAUAAAAAGCAUUUUCGAAGAAUACAAUUAAUUUUCCAUUGUUUGGUAAUAUAUGAUCAAAAACGUUUUUUGAUAGUUGGAUCUCAUUAGAAAGUGAUUUUGAUAUUAUGACUUUAUCUUAGGCAAAAAAAAAAAAUCGAUUUUUAUUUUUUAUUUUUUAAAAGUUCGAAUUUUUAGUUUUUUUUUUCUUUUUUAAAUUCGAAUUUGUAAUUGGUUUUUCAAUGAGUUGUAAAAAGAAAGGGAGAUUAGUUAGAAAAGGGUUUUUUUUUACUAUACCAUUUUCACUAUUAUUAUUAUUAUUAUUAUUAUUAAUAUUAUUAUUAUUAUUAUUAUUAUUAUUAUUAUUAUUAUUAUUAUUUUCUUCUACUUUUUUCAAAUGUAGAUUUGGUUUAUUGACAAAUUUCUUUUGCCAACGAUGUUUUUUUUUUGUCAGUUCUAUGCUAUGCCUACUCCUAACACUCAUUCUCAGACUUUUUUCCCUGUCUCUUGCCAGGCGGGGGGAGUCGGAAACCCCCUUCCNNNNNNNNNNNNNNNNNNNNNNNNNNNNNNNNNNNNNNNNNNNNNNNNNNNNNNNNNNNNNNNNNNNNNNNNNNNNNNNNNNNNNNNNNNNNNNNNNNNNGGGCCUUUUCUAUCUUCCUUAAAUAGCUGUGAUACCAAUUGAUUUAAUUGCAAGAUCUAAUAGUUUUCGCUCUAUAUUGCAUAAUUGGUAUAUCAGCUGUCAAUAGCCAGGAGACUCUAACAAAUAAGUAUUUGGUCAAGAACUUUGAUCAACAACUCUUUUGCCUGAUAGCACAGGAGCUUCUUGGAUUAUAGCCACACAAGUGGUGCACUUUAUUGAACACAUUGGAGGUUUUCUGUCGACAUCCAAACUGAGUUGUUUCCAUCAAUAUAUACCAUGAGUUUGGGUGUAAUUUAGGACUUGGAAAAUAUUCAAACAAGUAAGGGCUUGUUUGUUAAUGUUUUUUUUUUUUUUUUUGGUAAAAGGUAAUAAUUCUGUUUGUUAAUGUUCUUUGUUUCUGUUUAUGAACAAAAUUUCUGUUUUUUUGUUUCAGGGAAAAAAAGAGAACAAAAACGCGUUUAUUUGCGUUUUUGUUACAAAUCUAUUUUUUUUGUUCCUAGGAACACAUUUUGAACAUAAACAAGAAAUAAGAAAAACGUGUUUCUUGUUUAUGGAACAAUUUUUAAGAACAAAUUUUCUCUCUCCUCUCUUUUUCUUCUCUUUUUUUUUUUCUUUUUUCUUUGGCCGGUUGCGGGCCUCGGCCAUGGCCGGCGACCGGCCGUCGAGGGUCGGCGACCUCGUCGAAGCGUCGCCGGCCCCUGGUGAGGCCGAGCGUCACCGGCCCCUGGUGAGGCUCGGCCUCACCUUAGCUGUGCGAGCUCGAGCUCGCUUAGAUCAGACAAGCCCGAGCUCGCCCAGCCAUCGGCGAGGCUCGCCGGCCUGGCGGUGGCCCGGGGAGGCCGAGCCUCGUCGGUGGCUAGGCGAGCUCGGGCUCACCGAAUCUGGGCUAGCCUGAGCUCGCCUAGCCAAGGCGAGGCGGAGCCUUGCGGGUGUGGGGCAAGGCUAGGAGAGCUCGGGCUCGCCGAAUCUGGGCCAACCCGAGCUCGCCCAGCCAAGGCGAGGCCGCCGGCCAAAAGAAGAAAAGAAGAAAAAAGAAAGAAAAAUAAAAUAAAAAUAUUUAAAAAUUAAAAGAAACAAAAAAAAAGAACACAAAUUUACCAAACGUGUUUCUGUUCAUUUUUUUAUUUUCGGAACAAGUUUAUCAAACUCGUUUUUUAUUCAAAAAUUGUUCCUUGUAACAGAAACAUUUUUUUCUAUUUCUGUUCCCUGAAACAAUUUUUAAACAGAAAUGUUACCAAACGCGUCCUAAGUAAUCAUAACUCUAUAAUUCUCCCAUUUAUUAAUAGAUUAUUUACAGUUGACUGUCCCCAUAGAGUAAAUACCGAUAUUCAGAUCGUCCCAUGCAGAUCUCUUCAUUUAUUUACUAUCCCCAUUUAUUUCUCCAGUAACUACGCGUUGAAUUAAUUAUGAGGUUCGAUAAUUUUUGCAUUAGAUUGAAAAACUGACAUCAUCACCUGACCAAUUCCGACGCUUGAAAUCAUUAAGCAAUAGAGACGAGUCCUUAGCACAACAAAAACUAUUCAGGAGGUGGCUCUUUGUAAGAGUCGCCCAAGUUUUCAAAUCUUAUAGAAAUAUCGUCCUUCAUCCUCCAUCAAGAUUGUGCCUCUUUGUCUGUAAAUAGGAGAGUUUUCUGGGGGACGGUCCCGUCCUUCAUCUAGUGAGGGUACACACAGGUUAAUGAUGUACAUUCCCAUAUGGACAUAUGGUCUCCUAGGCUGGAUCUCAUUACAUGUUUUCACUAUAAUCAGACAAACUUCUCUAUCAAGAUGGUCUGUAACUAAAUAAGAUAUGAAGAGGAAGUUGCAUUUUCUUUCUCAUUCUUCACUGCAUACAUGCUAUCGUGAGGCAUGAGAAAAUUAAAGGUUUAGAGCAGUAAAAAAGAAGGAACAAUAAUCUGCAGCCAAGAAAGGAAUACUAGAUUUUCAUGACUAUUUGUCGCGACCAAUUUUUUUUCCGGGGUGUGAACCACCUAGGGUUUGGCUAAUAGAUUGCUAAGCCUAGACUUAACUCGGGCUCUCCCAAACCCAUAUCAAUUCGCGACUUAGAUUUAAAUUAUUAACAUGCAGAUAGAUUUUAUUUAGGAGUUGCCACUAAUAUAUUUUUUGGUGGGUCGAUUAGAAACCCAAAUAAAGUAACGGGAUUUACUUUACUCCUACGAACCAAAGAUUUGGGUACGGGGAUUUGAUUACGCUAGAUUUCUCUAACGCCCUUUCGGUACCAUUUCUUUUAUUUUUUUUUAAAAAAAAAAGGUUUUGCAAGCAGCUAGAAUUGAUUUUAAACUAUUUUCCUAACAUGUGAUGUUAUAAUGCAGGUGCGCAAACCAUCAAUUUAACACCCAAGAAAGCAAUUAAAUAAUGCAGGACUUACCUCAAAGUAACGAAAGCAUCAAUAGCCUUAAAUUAAACCCACAUCAACAACCCUAGAUAUGAUUUCUAAUUAACACGCAAUUUCUUUUUUUUUUGUUUUCAUUUUUUAAUGAGACUAUAAUCCAUAUACAAUGCAAUGCUUUUAAUCUAAUAUGAAAUGAUAUAACAUGGCAACAUGUCCUAAACUAUAUGAAUAAAAUUUUUGUGAUCUCUUAAUCAACAUGCAAUUAUUAAAUAUGCAAUGACUUAAUUCUAAUGAGGUGUGAUGCAAUAUAAUGACAUACAAGAUUAUUUUAACUAAAAUGACAUGCGACAUACAAUUUAAUAUACGAGCUAUAUGUCACGCGACAUUUAUUAAAUGACCUAAUCUAAUGACGGACAAAUUCUAAUUAGAAAUGAACCUAACAAUAAUCACUAAAAUGACGUGCAUUUCAUGAACCUAAUUCUAUAUGACAUGCAAAUGACAUUUUUUAUUUUAAAAAUGUAAUCUAUCCUAGAAAUUGCAACUAAUUUAUCCUAAGACAAAUUUUAUGAAAUUUGAAAUGAUCUAGCUAGAUUAAGAUUCUAUCUAAUUUAAACUAGGGAUUAAGUCAUAUUAAAUCAUAAUUUAAACUAACACAUUAUCUAAAUCUAAAAUGCAAUUUAUCUAAAAAAGAUGAUCUAAAUUUAAAAUGAAACAUGCAAUUCUAAUCUAAUAUGCACAAUGAUUUUUUUGUGUUUUUCUUUAAGAAAUUCGAAAUUAAAACUAACACAUAAUUAAACAUGCAAUUCAAAUAAAAAACUAACAACCUAAAUGAAUGCACUUUCUUUCUUGGGUUAAUACCUUGAAAAAACCUAAACUGUACACCUGUGAUAAAUUUACCCCAAACUAUUUUUUUGACCACCAAAAACCCCAAACUGGUAUACCUUUGACAAAUUGACCUUAAACUGGUACACUUGUGACAAAUUUACCCUCUAUUAGUUUUAAUUAAAUUUUCUUGUUAAAUUAUAAAGUUAAAUAACACGUGAUAAUUGAUCGGUAUAUCAAUUUGGGAUUUUACACUAUGUUUGUCAUAGUUUAUAAUUUUUGUGAUUUUUUUGUGGUAUUAAUCUAAUUUUUCGGAGGGUUUAUUAGUCACAAAUUUACCAGUUUGGGGUUUUUGUGGUCGAAUAAAUUAAUUUGGAGUAAAUUUGUCAUAAAUGUACCAGUUUAGGGUUUUUUUUAUAGUUAGUCGGGGUAAAUUUGUCACAGGUGUACCAGUUUGGGGUUUUUUAUGGUCAAAAAAAUAGUUUGGGGUAAAUUUGUCACAAGUGUACCAGUUUGAGGUUUUUUAAGGUAUUGACCCUUCUUUUUUGGAUUUUUUUAUUUAAAAAUUCGAAAUAAGAUUGCAAUCCUAAAUAUGCAAGAUAAUAAAAACAAACCUAAUCCUUAUUCAGAUUUUUUUUUAUUUUCUUAUUUAAAAAUUCGAAAUAAGAUAGCGAUUUUAAACCUAAGACUAGGAAUAUUCUAAAACAAACUUAAUCCUAAUUCGAUUUUUUUGAUUUUUUUUCUCUUAUGAAAAUAAAAUUGAUCCAAACACAUGACAUCUAAUCAAGCAAGACAAUAUUAAUAUCCAAAAAGUAGCGAACCAUAUCUCGCGCAUGAGAUCGGGUUGGCUAAUUUUAAAUUAAAUCGUGAAUUGAAUCUCGGGCUUGAGAUUGGAUUGUCGAUUUUUGUAAGGGACUGGGAGUCGGAUUUCGAGCGCGAAAAUCGGACCGUUAAUCCCUAGCUUGAGGGACUUUUCAUAUUGGGAUAUCAAUAAUAUAUUAAUGAACAAUUCCACUAAAACAGAAUAUUAAAGAAAUAAUAAUAAAAAUAAAAAAAAUAAAAGAGAAACUACCUAAUAUGAUCUCUUUUUCUGUUUUUUCCUUUCCACACACAGCCGUGAAUCUCCAAGGGGAGAGAGUCGUCGGUCCGGCAAGAGGAACUCCGGCAAGGGUGAACUGGCGGCGACAAGCGGUGAAGAGGUGAAUCGGCGGUGGGCGAGCGCGCGGAGGUGAAUCGGCGGUGGCUUCGCGGACAGGGGCGUCGGAUCGCUGGGAGGUCGAGCAAAGGCAGAGGCAGCAGCGACGGGUUCGGGGCCUGCUGGCGUCGAGCGGACCACCGGGUCUGCAGCAGCGACUGGUCACGGACCGGCGCGGAGGUGCGGGCUACAGGGGACGCCGGGCCAUCGGACGGGCGUAUGGUGGCUCAGGCUCCAGAUCUGGAGCGGUGCUGCGAGCAGGGGCGCUGGGUCGUGCGGCAGUGGCGUCUGCGGAGCUGCGAGCAGAGAUGAAAGGCAGGGGCGCCCUGGCCCGGUGACGCUGCAACAGAGGGCGGAGCGGCCCUGGCGUCGCGGAUCGACACAGCGACGGCUUCGUCGGGCUGCCGGUGUCGUGGCUUGCGCGGGCGGUAGGGACCAGCGCGGCUUCAGCAGAAGACGGCGAAGGAGAUAGGCACUGGAGUAGUAGCAACGAACAGGGCAGGUAACGUCGGGUCGUCGGGGCAGAGCAGAUGCGUGCGGCAGCAGCUCGGACCACCGGCAAAGGGCGUCGCGGGCCAAGAAACUUCAGGUGCAGGCGUAGAUCGGAAGCGGGGCCAUCUGGUGUGGUGGCGCGGUGAGGCGGCGCCGCGGGCGGUCUGAGAUGCGGUCGCUGGACGCCGGGCGCGGCGGUGCUCACAGCUGCGGAGGCGCGACGGAUCGGACGGCGAGGGAGUCCGAGCGGCUUGCGGUUUGAUGGCGUCGGCGCAGCGCGGGCGCGGGUGAAGAGAAGCCGGCGACCGGGACAGCGGAUGGGGGCAGCGAAUGUGGGGAAGAUGAUGAAAGGUAAAUGUCCAAUCACUUCCUCCCCUGUGCUGCUUCUGCUUUUAAUUUUCACUUUCUUUCACUUUUUUUUUUCGCUUUUGACCUUUUCCCUUCGUCGAAAGCACUACCAAACCCGAAGGAUUCCGGCCCCACCGAACGCCGAUCAUGCUUCAGGGGUGUCUAGGACUCGUACCAUUUUACGGUCGCCUAAACGGGGAUUUACCUUCUAGGACUCUGAGUCUGUCUCGGAGUUUGAAUCUGAGUUUGAUCACAAAAAUCUUUUUAUUCUCCUUAUCUCCUAAAUAUUUUCUACUGAUUUUUAAAAUAAGAUCACAACCCGAUUUUCUUAAAUCCCAAAAAUCAUUAUUUCAAAUCUCAAUUUCAGAAAAUGGGCUUGGGCUAACUUGUAGUCUUUAUGGGCUUAGUCCGAUCAAUUUGAAUCCAUCCGCACCGGUCCAAUAAAUAAAAUGCACCUAAAUCUAUAUGCUAUAUAAUUAAUAUUUUUUUGAUAAAAUUAAACCCUAAUUUUUAAUGACUAAACGGGCUGUUAAAAUUUAGGUGUCAACAAUAUUCUCUGCUAGAACUUCAGGACAUGCUAGAACUUCAGGACAUGUAUAAUGAACUUCCUGUCAAGAGAUCUGUUUUUCUUCAUUCUAAGAACCAUUUUACUAAAAAGUUCCACAUGUAUUACAAGAACGUGGACUACCUGUAAAAUAUAACAACAUACAAUUUUCACUCAAACUGUAUCUGCGACAAUGAAGUGAGGAUUCAUUUCUUCUUGCCUCUUCCUUUCUUAUUUUGCUUACCUUUGGACUUGCAAUUGCCCUUGUUCUUGUUCCGGUUUUCCACACCGCCAGUCUGGGAAAAAGAAGAUGAUGAAGCCUCCUGAUCCUUCUUCACUUCACCGGCUUUUUCAGCUUCCCCAACUUUGCCCCUCUCUUCCUCAUUUGCUAAGCCCACUUCUUGUCCCGGCAAUGACGACGCAUUUGCACCAUCCGAAUGCACAACUGGUACUACACUGUCGGAAGAUGAAGAGGAAUCCUUGGAAAAUUCAGUCAGAUCUUGCAACUUGCAAGAGCUCUCAGCACUUCCAUCUUUGGGGAAUAGAACUUUCAUAAUCUCUUCUUUGCAUUUGUGCGACUUCACAUCUAAAAUGAUGGCAUGUGGACAUUUUGAACAAUCUGAAGCAGAAUUGGUAAUUACAAGGGGAUCAUCAACUUUUUCGAAUGCUUCAGCGAGAACACCCACUGAAAUUUCCUGUAAGUUGGGCCUCCGGCAACGUGAAAGAAUAUGAUGAAAUUCUGUAGGUGUUUGCUCAGAAAUCCAACUCUUACCGAGCAAAUCGAAGAGAAAAUGUGGACUGAUGCCAAAAUUCAGGUGAAGCAAACAAACCAAAAGAACCAACUUCAAGACCAACAACGGGUAAUACUCCCUCACAUUUAGGUUCGAAUUUUUGAUCCAUUGUCUGGUAUCAUCCUUAUUGUGAAGAAGGUCCGCAACGGUCCUUGUAACAAACUGAAUGAUGGGCUCCAAGCAAUUUCCCAGGUUAAAACUGAAGCUAGGCUUUGCUAAACCUUCAUGGCAGAUGAGCCAUUCAACUAGAGAAGAUUUCGUUGUAUAAAACUGCCCUUUGGAGCAAGCUAACAAAAUCACAAGUCGUUCCAAGAGAUACAAAAAACAAAUUGGUGUGAUGUAGUCUCUUUCAGUCCUCCAAUUGGCAUUGUAAGCAUCUGCCAAAGCUCGAUAAAGCUUCCAAGCCAAAGAGAUUUCCAUAGGUCCAUCACUCGCCUGAGGAAGGUCUGAUGGUACAUCCCGACAAAUGCAUUCCAUGAAUUCCUCCCAUGGCGUAUUUCCUUUAAAUGAUUUUGCUAUUUUUCCGUACAAAUCAUCGUCGAGCAUUCCAGACCCAAGAACCAAAGUCGCAAGCUCACCCAUCUUCCCAUGUGAAAAAUGCUUCUUCGAAAUUAUCAUGUUCAUUGUUUCUCUCAGUAAAUUACGAGAAGCCUCACUUCCUCUCAGAGAUACCAUAUUCUCUGAUGACGAUAUUCUCCAGUCAAGUGGAAAUAUGCGACCAAAGUACCUCGCACUGGAUGUUUCAAUGAAUCUAUCCAGUGCCUUACCAUACUGGAACGAGUGAUUCGGACAAAGUUCUUGAAGGAACUUGGCAACCUCAUGUAAGAUAGCAAGACAUCUGCUUUGCCAGAAGUUCGACCGAGAACUCUUCGCCAAAAAUUGAUAAAGAGCAUCCAAUUUGUGCAGGAGCACCAUACCAACAGAAGUAAGCUCACAAUACCAGUACUUUUGAGCUGCAGAGACCAAUUGUCUAAGAUCCAAAGCAACCAAUUGUCCUUUUUUGUGAAGAGAUCUUUUAUCUAUGUUUCUGACCCAAUCAGAAUCCGGGUUUAGAAGGUGAUAAGUUAUUUGCAUGUUGUUCUGUUGCUCCAGAACACCAAAGUAAUUCAAACAGAACUCCCAACACGACGUAUUUUCCUUUCCCACCGGCAUCUCCACACAUCCUACACUCUCUAUAAUUCUAACAAUUUUCUCUCUCCAAAGAUUCCAAAAGCAGACCAAUGAGUCAACGGAAAUCUGAUUCUCCAAGGUCAGUUGUUCCGAAUAAUUCACUGGGUCCACAAGCCAAUCAUAAUCCCAACAAAAAUUGGAGAUAUUUUGACGCAGAUGGAAGUCCAGAAUAUUUCGAGCGCACAGUAUUUCACCUCUGACACUUCCAUUUCUACUGGAAGCACUCAAAUGUUCUUUCAUUUGAGCCAAACUGUUCUGUUUAUUUAACAAAAUGCUUGAUUCUACAGAAACAUAUUCAUAGAAGGCAAUAGGCUCAGGCUCUGCGAGAAGUUUGGCUUUUGAUACCAGCUCCUCCUCCUGUGCAAACUGCUUCAAGGGCCACCCUUUGCUUCCAGGAGCCCAAAGGGAAUAGAAUAGUAUGUACCACAGGAUAUUCAUUGACGCUUCUCUGUUUUUUCCGCUCUUCCCAAGUAGAUCAACCUCACGAAGGAUGUCACCUUUCAUCCUCACAAUCUUCGCUGCCUCCAAAAAGUUACCGAACUCUUCCUCCAGACUUAUAAGUUCAUCAAGGCAUCCAAGCCUCUUGAGCAAAUUUCUCAUUGAAUCGAUGCAAUGAAAAGCCUUCACAUACUUCAUCAUGGCCCUGUAGUCUUUGAGGUUGUAGAAAUGUAGGGUACAACUCUCUAAAAAGUCCUGUUCCAAUUUCUCUAUUUCUUUACUCUUCUUCUCAGUUCCCUGCCUUUUCCAAUCCUCAAUGUAUCGCAGACCAAUUUCAAAGAGUUUUCCUUCAGCACAAAUGGACAAGCACUUUGAGAAAAUAUUUGCCCUUGCAUAUGCCUCCGCUGCAAGACUGUAGCACCGUGCGAGAGAGAAACACUCUCCAGCUUUCUCCAAAGCAGAUUCUCCACAUUUAUCCAUGUAUAUUUUACCUGUUGAAGCAUAAACAAAUUUGAUGUCAGUCUCAUUUAUAGAGUGCUGAUGCUCAGAAGAUAAAACAUAGCAAAGGGACAUUUGGAAGCUGCCAGACGUCCUUUUGUUUGUACAGCUCAACUCUGUACCGCUCAACUAUAUUCUCCAAUGUCAAAAGAUGAAACGGGAUCAACAUCCGUAGGUGGCUACAAUACCAAGAAGUUUUUGACAAACCAUAGUCCACAUGGAGCUUUUUUAAACAUAUAGGUCUGAUCAGUGUUAAGAACUUAGCAGCUCAAAUUUUUCCAAACUGCUGAGAGUGCAGAGACAGGUUAUCAUAUAGAAAAUAAUCAACUUUCAAGCCAAGACAUCGACCAUGAAGUCAACAUUAGUAGCGCUUGCUCAAAAUUCACCAAAAGCAUUUGGAAAUUAACAAGUGAGAUCAAACUACUUUUUUUAAAUAUUGAAAGAGGAAAAUCAAUUAAACUGGUAAACAAGAGCGUACCACGCAUGUGGAAAACUAGAUACAGAAGAAUGCGAAGUCAAAUUUCCUCUUUCUUAGGCAGCUUUGACAUAGCUACUACAAGAAGAAAAGUAACGAUGCAGCAUAUCUCCACCUUAUCAUUUUGAAAGAAAUGAAAAGAAAAAUGAUACCUGCCAUCUCAUAUUCCUUCAACAUGUAGAAACACUCUGCGGCAGAGUCGGCCAUUCCAAUUGUUUCAUAGAUCUCAGCAGCCUGCCUUCGAAGGUCAGAAGCCUCUUGUGGAUUUGAAAUGUGCUUGAGAUCUGCAUCUGCUUUGAAAGCAGAGGCCUUAGCUAAUUUCUCCCCAUAUGUGUACCUUGCUCGUUCAAAGCACAUUAUUGCCAUUGGGUAGUUACCCUCACGUAAGAGCUUGCAAAGUUUAAAAAAAAAAGAGAUCAAUAGCUUCUUCAGAGGAGGUGAAAAGAAGAAAAGAAGAAAAGAAGAAAACAUAGUCCUCCCUCAUAAGGAAAAAUCAGUGCUUACACCAAAACAAUGCACUGUCAUUGACCCGAUAACCUCAAAUGAGGAAAAAGAUCAUAGAAAUAUUCCUAUCAUAUUGUUUAUCCAUUGUAUGUCUAAAUGAAGUAUUAGCCAAACUAUUAAAAAACCAAAAAAGCUGGCAUAUUGAUCACCAUAUUUGUACCAUAGAACGUCCACAUUCUACACACUUUUUUUUCUUUUCAGGAUCAGUCAUACUUUUGCAGUCACUAUGGUCAUUCCAAAAUCUCUAGCAUUCACAGAUCAUGUUGACUCCAAAUGAGGCGAAAACAACAAUUCCAUGAAGAGGAAACCACCAAUAAAGAAAAAACAGAAAAACAGCAAACCUUAAAACCUUGUAACUUCCACUCCUCCGGCGUGCUCCUGACCUGCAUUGCUUCUGCAAGGGCAUGAUCUACCAACCUAACUUGAAUGAGGCACUUCUUCUUCCAGUAGUCUAGAAUUGGUUUGGAGAACUCCAAGGCAUUCUCACAAAUCCACAAUCUUUGCCUUGUCCGAGUAAUUGCGACGUACAAUUGCUUCAAUUCAGAGCAUAAUAUAUUGUGCUUCGCAUCAUCAAAACUUGGGGAAGACCAUUGAGAGCUGUUAUCGAGCAAAGCGUGCUCCUUCAUGUAUCCAUAAAUGACCCUCCAUUGACUUUUCAGAGGUGAUGUGCCAAAGAAGUUGUACAACAAGACGUCCUAUACAAUGCCACAGAAAAAAAAAUUUCAGGUAAAAACAUCUGAUUUAUGACCAAAAUGACAGAUUUCAAGUUUCGUGAAUACAUGAACAAUUCUAAAAAAUUUAGCAAAAAAAUUCUGGACUCAUUUCAACACACCAGCCUAUCAAGAACAGCCAUAAAGUUGCAGGAUCGUUGAUAUUGUCUAUUAACCUAGAAGAUGAUAUUGACAUGAGCCCAAACAAAUUCUACGUUAUGAGUAUCUAGAUGCCAUUGUCUACAUACAAAAAAGGGUAUAGUAGAAUGAAAAUGCCAAUCCAAACUUUUUACAGAGUACCAGCUUGCAGCAAAUUGGUCAUGAAAUCUCUAUUCUGCUACUAUUAAUACCCCAUGGCAAACAAUCCAACCUGACCCACACCUACCUGAAAUUCCAACCCCUUGCACUCCACUAUCGUCAGAACUAGCGCUUGCCCUCUCACGAGGUUUGAAAUUUCACUUCUAGAGUGAUCAUCUCGAACCAAAAUAACCUGCUCUGCUCCAAAGCCAACAAAAUUACCACUAAAAUCACAGUUGCCAAAAAUUGAUAGUAUGGCAUUUUCAUCAUUCUCUGAUUCAAGUAAAAUUGGGGCUUCCCCACAUAUAAAGCUAGUUUCAGGGCUUAAAGCAUCAACGGAUAAGGGGAAAAAAUGGUAAAGAAGAUCAACAACACUCUGCGCCAGUUUGAGUAUACCAGCAUGAGUGCGGAAGUUUUGGCUCAAAUGGAAAAUUUUGGAAAGACAUCCCUUUUCCAUUCUGAUAUCAGGUCCAUCCAUUGAAUCCAUCAAGAACUCCUUGUAGAAAAGGGACCUUAUGUCUUCAAACCUGAAGUCUAUUCCCCUUGCAAUAGUUUGUGCAGUGUCACCAGAAAACACAAAGCCCCCAUCAACGUUUCUACAGAUAUACUUGAACAGUGAAAUUUGCCUCAUGGUGAGAUCCUGCACUUCAUCAAUAUAUACAAAAUCCACCACGUUACCAGCAAACUGCCCAUGAAGAAGACGGCAAUGAAGAUCAUUGACAAGAUCGGCCAAAUCAAAUUCACCAUUUUUCAUUUUCAUCUUUUCAUAAUCCUCAAAAGCAUCAUAAAUUUCUUCUCUUCUCUGAAAACUCAGAGUGGAGACACGACCCUCCGAAAUAGAAACAUAAGCUGGUCUGUCAAGUUUGCCUUCACAACCAUCUGCUGGUGGAAGACCACCCUUUACGUGGGACAUUAUUUCAGUGAAGACUCUGGAAGGAUCAAGCCUCCUCCUUAUCUUGUCAUUGAAGUGAGGCCAAUAAACAGCACAAAACUUUUCGUAAGUAACUUCCUUUGCUCUUAGAAGACUUUGUAAGGCCACUGGUCUAGAAUUGAAGGAUUGGCCACGACAAAGAUCCCUUAGAUCGGGGAACCUUUCAAAGAAUGAAACCCCCACAGUUCCAUCUAGCAUCAUCAGAAGCUUACGAAAAGUUAUAACAAGGGGAUAAGAGUUGGGAGAUAUGUCUAAAAAUGAAUCCGGGAUAUCCUUGAAUAAUGCUGCAUCAUCAACAAUCUCAUCAACUGAAGAGCUUUUAACUUUAUGUUUUGCACCACUGCUGGAGCUGCAGGAUUAAUGAAGCCAGCAAUUAGAAAUGGAAAUAUAUAGUUUUAACAAACUUAUGGGAAUACCUCCACUACACAUGCAAUCUCAUAAUUGCUACUUUCAGGUAACUAACAGCAAAAAGGAAAUUAGAAUACGCUGAUGCACCAAGGUUGUAAUGAUAUACUAUGAGACACGGAUAGCGUUUACAUCCGCUGGCAAUAAAAAUUUUCCCCCGCAGCAAGAUUUGUAGAACGCAUGGUCCUUUCUCGAUUCUGGUUAUAAUUGCACAAGUUCUAAAAAGGACGAUUUUCUUUUUAUAUGUACAAUGCCUACAAUCACAAAAUUUAAUGUGAAAGUUUCCAAUAAAAUGGUACUGCAAACUAAAUAAGUGGCACGAAGACCAAAAUAAGGAAUAUUGCUGCACAAACUAAUGUUUAGUUUCAGCAAGAAGAAGAUGUCAAUCUCUAACAUGCAAUGAUUAAAUCUAUUUUCGAGCUGCUAUAUCCGAGUGGUAGCACCCGAGCAUGGCAAAGUGCUGAUUGCCACAUGUUGACCCACGCGCUCUUGCCACAUGUUAUAUUUCCUAUAGAACUCUAUAAAAUGAAGUAUCUUGGUUGUGCAAAUAGUAGCAUGCCAAAGGGGUUAUCUCCUUCUCCCGACUAAUUCUCCCGACUAAUUCAUAAAAAAAAAAAAAAAAAAAAAAAAAAUGACAAUCCAUUAACCCUUGCAUAUGUUUGUUCAUUGUAAAAAUUGCAGAAUAAUUAUUCUAUUGUUCAAACAUCUUCCCAUGACAUUUUACGUACCUUCUAAGUUGAGAUACGUGCUGUUUAACCGCAAAACAUAAUUUUGCACUGACAGUCACAAAAAGCUGGCGCAAUACACAAUCCUCUGCUCCUUCACUUUGGAUUUCCUGAAAUCCCUUGGUUGCUUCAUCAUGCAGUUUCUCAUUUCUAAACAACUUCAUUGUCAGGACUGUAGUUUUACCGGUUCCAGAUCGCCCAAGUAUAAAAGUGCUUCUGGGAAAAAGAAUUAUCUCUUGUUCUUGCUCUGUUACUUCAAACGGAAGACUUGCUUCAUUACCAUCACUGUCAUCGAGCAAAUUUCUGACAAUAUCUGAUGAUAAGGUGUAGAAUUUCAUUAGAAGCAAACUCUCGCUCACUUUCACAUUCUCCACAUACAACCUACGAUCUGAAGCAUCAGCAUCAGAACUACUCCCAAAUUGACCUUCACUAGCACUUCGAUAGCAGACAAAAUCGAAAGUACAUGCCCAGGUCUUCGGAACUUGCAGAUCCCUAUAACCAGAAGAGGCAUGUGAAAUGAAAGAAAAUAGGGGGAUAAGAUCAAUUCAAGAUUUUAGUCAUCUAUCCGGAAAAGAAUGCUUUCUAAUUUAGUAAGAGAUGUGCUACCUAUCUUAAGAUAAGAAGAAAAGAUCAGACUUACCCCUCAAUGCAUUUCUCAUUGCAACGACUAAUAAAAUCAUCACUAUAUGUCUCGAAUAUGCUGUCCAAACGUUUGACCAAUUUUACCACAUCCUCUAAAGGCAAUACAUCCCAUAUCUUCAGGAUUUGGAUGUAUCUCAGUUCCUUUACAAUAUCAGUCGUGCAUAUGACAUAGAAACCAUCAGCUUUGAAUUGUCUUACGAUAUGAGAUGAGUGUUCACAAAUUAUAUCCACAUUUCUCUUCUUUGGUCUCCAGCCACUGGAGAGUUUUGACAGAAGGUUGAUGAUGGACAUCUUUGUCCUGAGUGAUGCCAGCUUUCUGAAAGACUUCAGGAAGUUGUCACUGAAAAGAACCUGAUAAGAUCAAAGAGUAACAAUAACAUACGUUGUCACAAGUUCUAUAAAACUCAAUGCUUAUUUUGAAAAAUAAAUGUAGCCAUAGAAUACUGUUGAGCAAAGUUUUUUACCUUCCACCUUGCAUUUCUGAAAAGUACACUGCUUCUGUCAAGCAGAUCAUCAAGCUGAUUAUUCUCUUUCUUCACAUCUAAGAUGGCUUUAGCCAAAUCCUUGUCAUCAUCAACAUUGAAGAAACAUCCACGACUCUUUGCAUUGUCAACCACAGCUUUCCACACAGAAUCGCUUUUCGUCAGUGUUUUCCCAUUUCCCAGAAUCCACAGACAAUACCUAUAGAUAGGAAAUUAACUCAGGGAUUUACUUGCUAUAUCACCCUAAAAAUGUAAUUUGACACAGUUAAGAGGAUAGAGUACCUGGCCCUGGUAAGAGCAACAUUGGUUCUCUUAGUACUGGACAAGAACCCAAUAUUCCCACGCGAGUUUGAUCUUACAGUGGAUAUUAUAACAAUGUCUUCUUCACCCCCUUGGAAUCCAUCCACUGACUUCACCUUGACCAUAAAGCCCUUGAUAUUUUCGAACUUUUUUCCAAGUUUAGCUAGAACCGCAGCAACCUGAGCUCUAUAAGGAGAUAUGACACCUACUGUCAGAUCUUCUUCUGACCCAUUCCAAGCUGCAAAGAAAAUAAAACCAUCACUACAGUGAUAUUAUUUUUGGCGGGGUGCAAAACUUCGAAAGAAACAUCUUAGGAAAAGAACUAUUAAUGGGCAUCAUAAUCUACACCUAUAUGAUUAAGUAAUACAUGCAAAAUCCAUGAGCUCAAAGCAAUACAUAUAAAAUUCUCUUGACAUACCUCUGUACAGAUUCCUCACUAUCCUCGAGAUAACUUCCACCUCAACAGGGUUUCUAAGGCUACAGCCAUCAUCACCGAUUUGUUCUUCUCCAUCAGGAAUAUUUAUGAAUGAGUAAGGGCCAAACAUCGGCCAUGGCAAACGACUUUUUCUGUAACUUUUGCUCUUCACAUUUGGCCCAUCCAAAAUUUGUUUUUGAUAAAAUUUUGAAGUCGGAAACAGACUUAUUGAUGGAUGCAUCCGAUAUUGUAUAUUGAGAAGUUGCCUCGAAUAACCAAGUGAACUCAAUCGUUCAAACAGACUCCUUCCAAAACCAGCCUGAUUAGAAACCUGUGAAAAGAAAAAACAUGAUAUCAAAUUCAACAGGCGUUAGGUAUAGAUAAUUUAGCCCAUCUAAGCUCAAAUGAAGAGAAGGAGAUUACAAAUCUUUCAAAACCAAAUACGAAGUUCCGUUUCAGAUAUUUUAACAUUACCUUGCUUUCGACCAUAGCAGGCAACUGACACUCAUCUCCAACUAAAAUCAGAUGCUUGACACCAGGGAGUUGCAGAGGAAUUACUGACUCGCAUUCUUUCAACUGGGCUGCCUCAUCGAUUACCAGUAAAUUGAGAGGCUCCAUCUCCACAGAGUACAGCUUAUAUGAACUAGAAGCUGUGCAAAAAAUCAGGGAUGCAUGUCGAUAACAGAAGUUGGCUAUCAUGUCCUCACUCACAAAGUUUGGAAGUUUUAGAUCCUUCAGAGUUUCACGAACAGUUAGCAACAUGGAAAGGCAUUCCUGUCUCUUCAUAUAUAUAUCAUAUAGUGGACCCAUGGAUGUCUCAAACGAAAACAGGCCAAGUUCAUCACGUGAAAGAGUUAUCUCCAUCAUCUCUGAAUCCAACUUCUCUCCACAUAAUAAAGAUUCAAAAGAAUUAAGCAAGUUAAAGAGGGAUGUAAUAUUCUGGAAUUUAGUUCUGGAUAUAUGAGUACAGAAAGUAUAGAGGCAUGCCCGCAGGGGCCGGACAGUUUCCUUGAAUUGGUCCCUGAAAAACUCAAGAAAUGAUUUAAGCUCACAGUUACCAUCUUCUUCACUGCUUCUGCCUUCGCUCCUAUCAUCAUCACUUCCUAGUUUCCUUCUUUUUGCGUGUUCGUUUUCCAAAAAUACGCGGUAUUGACAGACACAGUCAGCAAGAGUAUCUAUCAAGGAAGUUAGACACUGAUGCCAACCAGUGAAUUCAGAAAUGCGCUCUACACGAUGUUCCAAGUAUAUAUCUUCAAUGUCGGAAUCAACUUUCAGCCGCUCCUUGUUCCCAAAAAUAAGCGUGUCUCCAAAGUAACAGGGCAAACUUUCCAUUUCAGUGCUUAUACCACUAUCUGAUUCCUUUAGCAGCUUCAGAACACGAGUUGCCACUUCCUUGAUGGCAACAUUUGUAGGAGCACAAACAAUGGUUCUAUGUUUCCUUUUCAAGAGAGUAAGUAGCAGUGUAGCGACGGUUUUAGUUUUCCCAGUUCCAGGAGGACCCCAUAUCAGGUCGACAGAUGGCUUGUUCUCACAAUGGAGUUUACUGAGACAGGCCCCAACUGCUUUUUUUUGGGAUUCAUUCAGAUCAUGGCUCAAUCUCUUGUCAAGGCUCUCACUCUCAGAACCAUUACCUUCAGUAACACAGAGAUUAGAAACUUUAUCAGCCUGCAACCAAAAACAUAUUUCUUGUGAUAAUCCAGACCAUGUAAAUAUGGUAGAAGGUUCUGAAACUUAAUCGGUGUUAAUAUGACAUAAAGAGCAUUGCACAACACAAACUUAAAUCCCGUGAAAAAUAUAGUAUAGAAAAUUUUAAGGUCUAGUACCAAUGAGUAAGUUGCCUCCAAGGAAGUAAUUUGCCCUAUUUAAGACAUAAUUCAUUCAACUCCAUAUCAUGAAAUGGACCAACUAAAAGAAACAAUCAUCCUAAUCUAUUGAUGAAACAGUAUGGCUUAAAGCAACAUUUAUGUUAUUUUCCUAAUAAACUUACAAAUCGACAGGAAUAAAAUGAAGCUUUGAAGCUUAGAGGAAUAUAAUAGCAAUUUUAAGUCUAAAUGGACCAAAGGUACAGAAAAGGAAAGUCAUACCACCAAAUCUGUGCAGAGAACUUCCUUCAAAAUAUCCAAGUUACGAUACAUAUGCAACACCUUCCAUAUCCUUUUGUUAGUGACUAUAUUUAUCAGGAAAAUUGCAUACAUUGGCUUCCACGAAUUAUUUACUUCAAGGUUCAAUAAUGUCUCCACUUCAAAGUUUGUCGAUGACGUUGCCUCAUCCUCUUCAUCAUCUUCUCCAAUCAUCCUAACUAAUGCGAACGCCCAUCUUCUUCCGAACCUCUCCAAGUCAGGAACAGUUGCUGGCUUAGCAUCAGUUAGAAUCAAGAUAUCUCCAGGCAAAGUUUUGUAAGUUUCCUUGCCACGAGUAUUGGAUUCAUUCCACCGACUGGCCUUAACAGCAUACGAGUUCCCACUUCCCGCGCUUUCCACACAUUCAAUAAUCUCAGUGAAAGGCAGCAAAGAAAUAUUUUCCAAACUCGAGCACAGACUCGCCCGGGUUUCUUCCAGUAAAGGGUAGACGUACGAUCCGAGAUAAUCCUGGACCGACUGAAAUUGAUCCGGUAUAGUCUCCACCUACAAAAACAGCUCGGCCAAUUGUCAAAUAUGACCAACCAACCUUGACAUUUCAAAAAAUACUUUGACCAAAUUCCGUAAAACAUAACAUGUACUCCUAAAAUACCGAACGAGCUUGCUGAACAUAGUAGAAGCAUAAAGGGUUCUAUUCUACUAAGUUGAAUGCAAGAUUCUUAUAAGGCUAGGCUUAUUAAAAGCACAAUCAAACAAAAAAAAGGAACGAACUAGCAUCAUUGGAAAAUUCCCAGGUAAACACCACAUUGUCGUUGAACUUAAACGAGAAUAAAACCAAAAGGGCAUGACAAAAGGGAAAAAAAGAAGAAGCAAAGAUGAGGGAAGAAUAGAGAGAAACCUGGUCAUGGUAGAGGUUUUCGUUGAGAAUGUCAUGAAGAGACCAAGAGGAGACAAUAUCAGUCAGGUCAUUAGUACCAUGUCUCCUCCUCCUGCUCAAACCACCCUCAGCUAUCUCCACACCCACCACUCUGUUUGGGCUUCCUCCCAAACCCAUCUGAACCCACGUACCAAAAUCUUCUACUUGUUUCUUUCUCCCCUUUUCUUGCCCAUCAAAGCACCAGGGAAAAAUCGCUCUGAGGUUUCAAGAAACUUUCGAGGCAAAAAUUGGGCAAAGCUUGUACGGACAUCAUCAGCCCUUUUUUAGCUCCGAAGUGAGCAUUCUUAGCGACGAAGAAGAAUGACACGGGGAAGGCAAAGGGGUCGUCCAUGGACUCUUAAAAGAAGCAACUCGAGGUCUUUUCGUCAACCCACCAUUCGAGGUCUACGGAAGGCGAAAAGAUGGGGCUGGGUCUUCCUCUCGUCUUCCGUACACGGUCUGAUGACUUUCUUUACUGCCCAGGUGCAUGUAAAGAUUCCCGCUUUUCUCCGCUUUUUUAAUGUUUUGAUUUCUUGCAGCCUAAGCUUCGUCGACUGUUUUAUAUCGGAAGCGUAUCAUGGCAUGAGUGAAGUUAAUUUUUUAAGAUAUUAAAAUUAUUUGUUGAUACUGAAAUAAUAAGUAGAUGAAAAAAAAUUGAGCAUUCUUAGCGACGUAGAAGAAUGACACGGGGAAGGCAAAGGCUACCAAAGGAGGCGAAAAUAUGGGUGUACCUCGCUUCCGAACACGGUCUAAUGGCUUUCUUUACUGCCCAAAUGCUUGUAAUGAUUCCCGCUUUUCUGUCCGAAAGGUAUCAUCGCAUGAGUGAGGUUAUUUUUUGAAGAUGUUAAAAUUAUUUGUUGAUAUUGAAAUAAUAAGUAGAUGAAAAAAAAAAAAAGAGGAUAAAUCUUAACCAGAAAAAUAAUGACACGAAUAGUCCCUGCACUUUAAUAUAAUGUGCAAUUUGAUCUUCGAAAUUUUGAUUUGUUUAAUAUGGCUCUUGAACUUUAACCCAAUAUGUAAUGUGGUCUUUGAACUUUUCAAUUGUUUAAUGUAAUCCAUGAACUUUUGAUAAAUACUCAAUACAAUCUCCAAACUAUAUGAAAAUAUUGAAUGUAUUUUUUUAAUUGAUUCAAGAGUAGGGAUGGCAUUGAACAUUUUGAUACAAGUUCAGGAACUGUAUUGAAUAUGUAUCAAAAUUUUAUGGAUUAUAUGAAAAAAAUUAAAAGUUCAUGAACCACAUUACACAUUGGGCUAAAAUUCAGAGACCACAUCAAACAAAUUGAAAGUUUAUGGACUAAAUUACACAUUAGGCCAAAGUUUGGAGACUAUUUGUAUCAUUUUCUCUAACUAGAAGUAGACAAUGAAUGUGAACUUUCUACUUCAAUCGUUUGACUUUUAUUUUUGAGCAUCUAUAUUGAUAUAAUAUAGAAUUAAUAUCAUGAAAAAUCUUUAAUCAUCAAAAACUCUAAACCGAUACACCUGUCCCAAAUUAAUUUUUUAACUAUAAAAAACCUCAAACUUGUAUAUUUAUAAUAACUUUACCUUAUGUUAAUUUUCAUUAAAUUGGAAUAAUACCAUGAAAAAUAAUAAAUUGGUACAAAUGUGAUAAAUGAAAGGUAAAAUCUUAAAUUGGUACAUCCAUUCUAACUGCCACAUAUCAUCUAAAUCAACAAUUUAAUUGUAAAAUUUAACAAAUACUAAUAGAAAGUAAAUUUAUCACAGGUGUAUCGGUUUUUUUAUAAUAAAAAAUUAGCGAAGUAAAUUUAUCACAUAUGUACCAAUUUUGCAUUUUCUGUGGUAUUAACCCUAUAUCAUUAAAAACUCUUUCAAAGAACUGCCGGAAAACUCAAUAUUCAAAAUUGUAGAUAGUUAGAGAUGCCUCCUCAUUAGUUUUGCCAAAUUCUCAACGAAGCAAGGCUACAGUCAUAUGCCUUUUCCGUCGAGUAUUGUCAAUCAAAGAAGAAUCAAAUUGGUAAUUCCUAUCAUCUCUCAGUUACUUAUCUCCAUAAUGAGUUAUAAUAUUUAUGGACUUCCGAAACUUUAUUGAGAGUUAUUUUUAGGAAAGUAAUUGCAAUCACUAUGUUAUGAGUGGUUCUUUCGCUCUGCUUGAAGUUCUACUUCCAUUAAUUAUAAAAUCACAAAUUAUUUUCUAUGUCUUGAUUGAUUCCAUACGACAAUAUGCAUUAAAAAGUCUGCACUGACAUUGUUUCAAGCUCAGCUUGCACAAGUAUAUUCGAUAAGUGCAUUUAAAGCAUUUAGCCUUGGUUAAUACAUUCUUAUAUAAAAUGUUGAAAUAUAACAUUUCAAAAUAUUAAGAUGCGCAAGUCAUUAUCAACAAAUCCAUAUUAAAAAAAAAUGUGAGAGGAACAUCACUUUAAUAAAAGGCCAAUAGAGUAAAAGCUUUUAAAAGGCCAGUUGCCAGUCUCACAAAAUUCAACCAAUUUCGCGCCGAAAGCUAAAAAGAUGUGAUAAGUUCAGGAAUCUAUUCAUGUAUAAUGAGUCAAUGACAUGAUGAUGAAUAGAUACUAUGUUUUAAAGCUUCAAUUCAUUUGUAAUAUGUAGGGCCCAUCGUCAUCAUGCUAUAAGAGUUUUUAUGAUGUUGGCUAUAUUAAUUAAUAUUGAGAUUUACUGUUUUACAAGAUUGUCUAAUGAGGUGAGAUAUACAGAUUUUUAAUUACUCUAAUAUGACACUAGCUUGCGCGGGUUGAAUAGAGCUUGGUUUGUGAUGAGAAGAUAUGUGACUUAAAACUUUAUAUAUAAUACUCAAAUCUCUUUUCUAAUCCUGAUACACAAAUAACUUUAUAUAAAUAGUAGUUGUAGAAUGCAAUUUGUGACGCAUAAUCUCAUUGAGCCAAUAUUACAAUUAGAUCAUUUUUAUUCCACAUUAAGCAAUAUGGAUUUCAAAUCAAAUGCACAAAUCCUUUUAUCUCCAUUUAUUGUGUUCUAAAUUUUAAUUAAGGAGAUCUUCGGAUGGCUUUCACGGCUUGUAUGCACAUGGUGAACCAUUGUGUCACUACGGGGCACACCGGCUUUGCUUCCCAAAUGCAGGCGACGCACUAUGAAAUGCUUCGUCCCGAGGCAUCAUGCGACAGAGCCUUUUUUUCUCGAGCCUGGGUGGGUCGUUGUCUCCUCGUCCUCCCUACAUCCUCGUCCCGAGGCAUCAGCGCAAGUGAUUGGGGAAGAGAUUUAUAAUAGAAAUAAGAAGUAGAAAAAAUAUCUUAUCGUUUUCAGGAACAAUUUUUGGAAAUAAGUCAUUUUCUUUCUUUUCUUUUUUUCUCCUUCCUCAUGCCGCCACCACCGUCUGCCAUCGCUCGCCGCCUAUCUCCGUCCAACAACCAGCUAGAGGAGGAAGAAGAGGAGACGGGAAAAAAAAAAAAAAGAGAGAAAAAAUCUAUAAAAAAUUAUUAAAAAAUUAAAAGAAAUUCUACGGCACAAAAAAACUUGUGGGUCGUACUAAACACAUUCUUGCUUUUUUCUAUUGUGAAAAUAAAAAUUUUAUAUAGUUACCAAAUACGUUAUUUUAUUCCAAAAUUACUCCAGAGAAUAGAAAUAGAAAAUAAUUAUUUUAAAAAAAAUUGUUUCCGAUAAUAGAAAUGUUACCAAACAUGUUUGGUGGAUACAUUCCUUAAUGAAGUCAAUAUUCUCGGACAUUAUUAAAGUUAUCUAAUGCACAAUGCGCUGGCUGUCGUCUAGUAAAUCGUAUAGAAAAAAGAGAUGUGAAAUGAGUGUCACUUUAGAAAAAGUCAGAAGUUCUUUCGACAUAUAGCAUAUAAAAAGUCACGCUGGCAAUCUCUCGUUUCAUUCGCAAAGCCAAGGAAAAUCUCCCAUUAACCUUACAUACUCAAGUAGUGCCCUCAUUGAGACAAACGAUAAGGCAAACACAUCUAUGUUUGAUGUAAAAGUCCACGAAAUGUUCUAUCAAGUUCAUGUGGAACAAAUGUCUGAAACAUUGGUACAGACAUCCAUAUUGAUAGAUUAUUAAAAAUCUUUAAAAGGUUUGCCCGAAAACUCGACACUUAAAAUUGUUAAUAGUUAGAGGCACCUCAUCCUUAUUAUUUUUGUCAAAUCCUCGACAAAGCGAGUUGCUAUCAGACGUCGUUUUCUAUCAAGUAUUGUCAAUCAAAGGAGAAUCGAUUGGGUAAUUCAUAUCGUCUCUUAAUUAUUUCUCUCCAUAUGGACUUCCAAAACUCCAUUGAGAGUGCGUUUCAGAAGAGUAAAUGCAGUCACUAUGCUAUGUUGUGGAGUGUCGCUCUUUCACUUUGCUUUCAGUUCUAUUUCUAUUAAUUACAAAAUCACAAAUCAUUUUCUACGUUUUGAUUUAUUCGGGACAACAAUAUGCAUUAAAAGGUCUGCACUAACAUUGUUUCGAGCUCUCCUUGCACGAUUAUACUGAAUAAGUGCAUUUAAAACAUCCAGCUGUGGUUAAAACAUUCUUAUAUAAAAAUGUUGAAAUAUAAUAUUUUGAAAUAUUAGCAGAAUCCUUAGAUUUUUAUCGUUAUCUAGCAUGAUGCGUGGAUCGUAAAGAUGGCACGAGAUAAUCACUUUAAUAAAAGGUCAAUAGAUGAACCAGAAACAAAAUUACCCUGCUAAAGAAUGCUGAAAAUGAUUGGGUGAGAGAGGAACAACUUUUGAAGCAGAUGACAAAGAUAUACUUUAAAAAUUUGUAUGAGUCAGUGGGGUGUCGAGAUUUUCAACCUAUCCUUCACCAAAUUCCAACCUAUGUUGAUGAAACGAUGAACCAACAGCUAGUAAAAUCUAUUACUUUGGAGGAGAUUACGGCUGCAAUGCAACAAUUAGGAACUACUAAAGCUCCAGGACUGGAUGGGCUUAAUGGACUCUUCUUCAGGAAUCACUGGCUAGCUAUAGGCCAGGAUAUUUUUAGGGAGGUACAGAAUUUUCUUGAUAUGGGUUAUCUAAAUCCAGACAUGAACAGAACCCAAAUCACCCUAAUUCCUAAAAUCCCGAACCCCGAAAAGCUUGAACAAUUUUGCCCAAUCAGCCUAUGCAAUUUUGUCUACAAAAUCAUAUCCAAAGUAUUAACCAAUAGACUUAAACCUCUGCUACCAAGCCUUAUUGCUGAAGAACAAAGUGCUUUUGUAAGGGGUAGACAAAUUCAAGAUAAUAUCCUCAUUGUGCAGGAAGUACCCCAUAGGAUGCGAACUCGAGAGAGGAAAAGUAAAUUCCAAGCCAUCCUAAAGUUAGAUAUGUAGAAGGCGUAUGAUCGGAUUGAAUGAGACUUCCUUCGAGAAUGCUUAAUCAAGAUGGGUUUAUGUGAUAAGUGGGUACAAUGGGUGAUACAAUGCGUUUCAACGGUUUCAUUUAGUAUCAAUUUCAAUGGGGAACUCCUACCUUCAUUCAAGCCAACCAGAGGGAUUCGAUAGGGUGACCCACUAUCCCCUUAUCUCUUCAUUUUAGUGGCAAACACCCUCUCUAACCUGAUGAAGCAAGCUGUAGUAGAUGGUACACUCCAAGGAAUCAAGCUGAAUAGAAGUUGUCCUACUCUAUCACACUUGCUAUUUGUGGAUGACUCAAUUUUCUUUCUCAAUGGAACCAUAUUAGAAUGCCAAAAUCUGGCGGCCAUUUUACACCAAUAUUGCUUUGCAUCAGGCCAGGCUAUUAAUCUUAAUAAGUCAGGCAUAUAUUUUAGUAAAAGCCGUCCAGUGAACUUGAGAAGAAAUAUGGUUUCAGAAUUGAGAGUUCCAGAGAUAGAGAAAACAUGAAAGUAUUUAGGAAUUCCUUCGGAUUAGGGAGUCUCGAAGAAAGAUAUGUUCGCUUGGAUUCUAGCUAAGUUAAUAUGAAGUUGGAAAGCCAAAAGGAUAAUUUGUUGUCAAAAACAGGGAAUGAAAUAUUGAUUAAAUCAGUGGUACAGGCCAUUCCUCAAUAUGCAAUGUCCAUUUUCAAAAUCCCUGUUUCAAUUUACAAAUCUAUUGAGAAGAAAAUUGCCAAUUUAUGGUGGAGAAAUAGUAACAAAUCUGCUGGGAUUUAUUGGAAAAAAUGGGAAACUCUGAAACUUAGGAAGGAUGAGGGGGGUCUAGGCUUCAAAGAUUUACUUGCCUUCGAUACAAGUAUGUUAGGGAAGCAAGCUUGGCAUUUUUCACAACAACCUCAGUCCCUGCUAAGCCAAGUGAUGAAGGGUCUCUAUUACCCACAAGGUGAUUUUUGGAAAGCUAGAAAAGGUUCCCAACCUUUGUGGGGAUGUCAAAGCAUUAUCCUUGGAAGAGACUCUAUAUCACCAUUUGUUAUGUAUUCGGUGGGAAAUGGAAAGAAAAUUUCGAUUCGAGAAGAUAAAUGGUUGAGAAGUAGACUCAUUGGUGGCCCAGCAACAAAAAAUGAGCCGGUUAAUGUGGCUGGACUAAUAGAACCAGGAACUGGGAAAUGGGAUGAACCAAGGGUAAGAUCGUUGUUUGAUGAUCAAAGAGUGAAGGAAAUCCUAGCAAUCCCUAUUGGACUACCUACUACAGAAAACAAAUUGGUCUAGAUGAACAACAAGUCAGGGUCCCAUAUAGUUAAAGGCGGUUAUUUCACCACUAGAGAUGGAUCAGCUAGCACACAUACAAUAACAGCAACUUCAUCUCACCAAAUGAAACCUCAACUUUGGAAAUAUAUUUGGCACUUCGGAACUCUACCCAAAGUCAAAUUAUUUCUCUGGAAUGCAUGUCAAAAUGCAUUGCCCACACUGGAUAACUUGCACAUGAGAAGAAUAAUACCUGCCCCAUUAUGUCCCAUAUGCAAACAAGAAGUUGAAACCAUUGAACAUACCCUCUUGCUCUGCCCAUGGACAACUCAAAUAUGGUGCGCUACCUCCCUGCAAAUCAAAAUAUCAAGAUUUGGUUUAACAAGACUCGAUGAAUGGCUGUGCAUGUUAAAAUAAGACCCACAAGGAGAUCUGAAGUUCGACCUAACCGCAACAACCUUAUGGUGCAUAUGGAAAGAUAGGAAUCACUUCAUUUUUGGACAACGUCCGCUGCAUCCGCAACAAACAUUGUUCAAAGCCUUAGCUCUACACGAGAACUUUGUCACGUGGAACCGAAAACCAAAGGGAGAGAAGACAAGCGAGACCCAGACUUACCAAUGGCAAUCCCUCACCUCAGAUGUGCUGAAAGUUAACAUUGAUGCCUAUUUUGUCCGGAAUGAAGAAGCGGCUACAACUUCUGAGGAGAACAAGGGAUCGAACGAAGAAGCGACUGCAAUUUCGGAGGAGAACAGGAGAUCCAUCGCUUGCAUUUGUCGAGACUCCAAGGGGUGAAUCGUUGAUGGCUUCUCGAAGUUGGUGGUGGUUUCCUCGGCAGAACAGACGGAGGCCAUGGCUCUUCUCAAAACCCUAGAGUUCCUUUCUUCUAGAUCUGAGUUGAGGCUGCAAGUACACUCUAACUGCCUUCCGCUCGUGCAAAGUGUUCUGGCUUUGACAGAAACAAGUUGGGAAGUAGAGGCUAUCGUGGACCGGAUAAAGACCAAGCUAAAUGAAUUUUCUCGCCUUUCUCUGGCCCAUUGUAGCAGGGAGUCUAAUAGGACGGCAGAUUGGCUUGCAAAAGCCCAAAGAACUAACUGUCUUCCUAGUAAUUGGAUAGCUAAUCCCCUACCCAGCCUUUUUGAUUUGUUAUGUGCUGAUGCUUUUGAUGUAUUUCCUCCAAACUUGGCUAAGUAAAUCCAUAGUAACUGUAUUUUCAACCAAAAAAAAAAAAAAUCAAUCGAUUUCGCACCGAAUGCUAAAGAGAUGUAAUAGGUAGGGGAAUCUAUUCACAUUUGAUAUGCCAUUCACACAAUGAUAGAUAGAUAUCAUGUUCCGAUGCUUCGAUUCGGUAAAUUGUAAGACUUGUCAUCAUCGUGCAUGGUGAACCACCGCAUUGCUACCGGUGGAGGUAUCAAAAUGGGUUUAAAAUCCAUAUUUUGACUCAUAUUUAAUGGUGUGAGUCGUAAAUGGGUUACCUUAAAUUUUAAAAACAAGCUUAAGUAGGUUAUAAAUGGGUUACUUAACAAUUUAAUUCGUCUUAAAUGUGUAUUAAAUAGGUUACGUAACAAGCUUAAAUGAAUCAUAAACAAGUCAUUUUUGUUUUUAAAAAAAAUUUCUGACUUUUUCUUAUAAUUUUUUUAUUUUUUUCUUUUCUUUUGUUUUCUUUUUCCUUUUAAAAAAAAAUCUUUCUUAGUUGGUGGCUAUCAUGAAGACAAUUGGCAAACGGCCACAGACAAGCUCGUCGACCUUUGGCACUGGCGAGGCUCAAGCCUUGUCAAUUUGGAGAGACUUGAGCUAGCUAGAGGUCAUCGAGCACUAGGGGCUAGCAAGCUCGAGCUCGCAAUCCGACCUCUAGCAAGGCUUGAGCUUGCCAACAUCGAGUAAGAGUUUAGCCUUGUUAGAUCUGGAGAGGUGGAGCCUCGCCCUCCACUCUUGCCCAAGGCAGGCUCAGCUCGGCUAGAUCCAACUUUGGUUGAUUUUAAAUUGUGAAUAUCUAUAUUGAUGUACUAUCACAAAAACUUCUCACAGGAUUGCCUGGAAACUUGAGACUUCAAACCAUAGAUAGUUAGAGGUGUCUCAAAAAAGUGAGCCGCCAACUACUUGUUAUCUGAACAAUUGAAUAUGUUUAUUAUUGAGUUCUUUUUUUUUCUUUUUAUCAAAAGAGAAUCAAUUACAUAAUUUCUACCGUCUCUUAAUUAUUUUUGUCCCUAACGAGUAGACUAUACAAAUACUAUUGAGUGUGAUUUUAUUUUUCACUUCGUUUUAAAUUUUAUUUGAUUUAUUAUAAAGUCACCACUCAUUUUCUAUGUUUCAUCAAUUCAAUAUGACAAUAUGAAUAUGCACUUACUUUGUUUCACGUAGUUCCUUACACAAUGGUCUUCGAUAUUCCACAUGUCCAACUUUGGUUGGUACGUUCCUUGAUAAUGUCAGAGUAUGAUAUUCCCAAACAUUAUUAAAGUUAUCUAACGUGCAAUGCUCGGAUUGUUGUCUAGUAAAUCGUACAAAAAAAGAAACGCAACAGGAAUAUCGCUUUAGUAAAAGUCUGAAAUUCUUUAGACGAACGGCUUUUCAAAAAGCCACGUUGGCAAUCUCACAUUUCAUUCGCAAAGCCGAGGAAAAUCUGUCCCCAUUAACCUCACAUAAUUCUACAGUUCCUAUUAUUGAGACAAAUGACGAGGCAAACAUAUUUAUGUUUGACGUAAAUUCCACAAAAUGGUAGAUCAAGUUCAUGUUGGACAAAUGCCUGGAACAUUGGUACAGACGUAAGAAUUACUGGUCGACCUAGAGUGACCCCCUGAGAAGUAUAGAUAUUUCAAUAUUAUGACUACAGUCUACAUUAGACUUGGGAAUCUAUAAUAUGUAUUGUCUGAAGAGGCCAUGAGAACCACGACACCCGAUUUUAAUAAUAAUUAAGUAUGCACAUAAACGAUGUCCAUAACUCGUAAUUUAUCAAUCGAAGAAAAGGUAGAAAGAGAUUUCUUCCAUCUUGGAGGAAAGUAUAGCCUUAUCCAAUGUUCAGCCUAACAUUUUAUCUUACUAUAAGUGGUCUUUCAACAUGUGUAAAGGAGAUGAAAUCAGUCCCACUUACAAAAAUUUGGGAUUCAAAAGUGCCUGAAUCUGGCUCGAUUACAAUUUAUGAUCAUGUUAACGAGUGGCCAGAUUUUUGUUUAUCAUUCGUCAUUUAAUCUGAUAUCGCAUCAUCUGCAGCACAAUUAUGUAUGUGCCGAAAAAAAAAAAAAUCUUUCGUAUCGUGACAAUUUUACAUUACAUAUGAGAAGUCAAAUCAACUCUGAAAAGCCAAUCAGUGUAUAUGGCGCCUGGAAAUGGAGUCCUGAAAUUUCAAUGUCUUGAGGGACAUCAACAAGCUGCCUCUUUGCGUUGCUGGGUGUCCCAUCCCUCAGUAUCUCGAAGUUGAUCCCGUAAUUGGAACUCGAACCGGCUUCUUGAAGGAGAUCGUUUUCGCGCCAUGCAUGUUGACCGUGAUCAUCGAUGGCCGCCGACAUUUGCCCCAACUAAGCUUUGCUUAGCAUGCCUCUUAUCCCGCUGGGCCCUGAUGGCCUAACAUGGUACCUAGACCUGAUUUUGGUACUUUUAGUUCCCUUCUUUGAGUAGAUUGCUUUCGCUAUACAGGAAUUUGAGAUCUGCAGUGCUUAUGAUAUAGGUUUGAGCAGCUUUCCUCCAUUCAGAAGUUACCAGAUCUCUGGCCUUGACUGUCUUUAAGCAUCGAAUAGGGCCUCCGCCUAUUUCAAUGGCCUAGAAGACAGCCACUUCCGCGGCUUGCUCUGCACACCCUGGUUUAGAAGUUUCAGAGGCUGAGUGAAAGUUUUCAGGUUUCAGUUGUCCAUCAACACUUGGCCCCAGCAAAAGAAGCCUAAAUGAGAUAUUGCUCAAUUUAUCUGGUCACACUGCCCACAUACUCUGUUGAUGUUAUAAUCCUAAACGAUGGAUAUGCAUUGCCGGCACAAAGCUAUUUGAUUCCAACAUUCUACUAGGGGAAUGUCGCUCAACCAAGGGUGUCCACACGACUAGUGGUCUGAAUCCGAGAUGCCAUCAUCUUUGGUGGGAACGAUACAUAUAUGACUAGUUGCAGCCUAAUCUGUUGCCUGGUGCUACCAAGUAAACCCUCGACUACAUUCCGUCGAGCCAUGCCAACUUAGGUUGAGCUUUUGUGGACUCCUGAAGGGCAAUCUUGUGAAGGGGGACUCCUUAGGUUAGGCUAUCCCUUGGUGGGAGUUCGCAUGACUUUCACGCCCAUCUGGAAUUUGUCCUCCAUGCCGCAACUUCCAUCGACCUGCGUAUCAGGCCCAAUCUGCACGAUACUUUCUUCUCUAGGGGUGAGGUCAUAUGAUGCCAUUGCCAUGCGCUCGUGCAUGAGAAAAAUCCCUUAAAAGUAGGCCGCGAGCUGAUCGGUUGCUUGAGAAAGAAGCCUAAUGCCAUCUGCACAGGGUCGACAGUCCUGCAUCUUCUUGGAGUAGCCCUUCAAAGAUGAUGAUUCAAGAUCAGAUGAGCCUCAAUGCGGGCCAUGGGAUGGACAGCUAGUUAUUGUUCUACAAUGAUAGUGACAUGCUAGCCCCUUUGAUCGAUAUAUGUCGAGCAAAUCUGCGUGAAGAGCCUGAUCGAAGAGGUCCUUGUCUACUUUCAUCGUUUCCUUUUUUUUUCCUAGAAAUCUCAUUCAACCAAAUCCGCUUGUUAUUGUUUUUCAAUGUACUAGCACGGAACAGAGUUCCCUGCUACUACAUUGCGAACAAGUUGGUAACUAUCACAUACCAUGUUGGUAACUUGUUCAUCUAGUUGUGUAUGGGUAACUUUCAACAGGUUAAAACAAAUAUCAAAGUUUAUUUAUUCCUCAAAUUUACCAACUAUUUUAAUAAUCUACCCACAUUUACUUUUGUGACUUACCAACCAUUUGAAAUUACUAACCAACCCAUUUGAAAUUACUAAAUCUUAAUUUGAUUGAUAUACCAACAUUCAGUUAUCAACUUGUUAUAGAAACUGAUUUCUUUGUGAUUUACUUGUGAUUACCAAUGCUUUCGAAGCACUGACUUCAUUUAAAAAUUUCCCACUUUAGUUUCACUGACAUAUCACCAUUCAUCACGUUAACAAAGUGCACCACAACAGCAAUGGGGUACAAGCCAAGCCAGGCCGGCCGGCAGCCCCCCAUCCCGGACGCCCUAGCUGAUGAUGAUCUACCGGACGCCCUAGCUGAUGAUGAUCUAGGGAAUGUCCACUUUCCCGGCCGUGCACUUCUGCAGGCGUAUCGCCGCCGCAUAGUCCCCAUAGGCCUCAUGCCCAGAGAAGUAGCCUGUUCAGAGAGAAUGAGUACUUCAGCGUGUCCCUGCCAGAUUCAAGCCCAAAGGUCCUUGUCUGAUCGGACAUAGCAUUGUAAAAGCCGUAGCAAUACGCGGCCUGGUCGGUGUUAUGCUCGAUGAUGCUGCCCAAGAACUGAACUGCCUUGCUCCUAGUGUUCAUCCAGGCCGGGACACCCCACGGUAGGUCGCCACCCGGCCCCCUUAGGGCAUCCCUGGGUGGGAACAGCCCCCCGGCCUCCAUGGCAUUGUCCAGUAUCUCGAAAGUCAGGCUGCCUCCCAUGAGCCGGAACAGUUUCCAGUAGCUGCCCGCCACCCUCGUCUCGGGCUCCAUAGCUGGGAGUCUCGCCGCCGCAGAGCUCGUGCAGAGGCACGAAACAUGCUGGCAACGUUGGGACCCGUCGCCACAGCCUGCUUCCUCGAGAUGUACACCGUCUGAUGAAUUUUCCUAUAGCACGAAUGCACGUAAAAACUACUUCUUUUCCGUCAUUCCACGCCUGGGUGGGUGGAUUCAGCCCUCUCUUUUUCGGACCAGGCAAGUCCGAUUCAGGCAAAAGAUUUUAGAAGAAAAUGAUGAGAAGAACCGAAAAAGAAAUCUUGAAUUCUUGCACCCCUAAGCUUUCUACAUGUACUAGGCCUGUCUGCUGUUUUUUCCUGUCCGAAAUGUAUCAAGUCAUGGGUAAAUUUUACUUUUCAAGAACCUACCUAUGCUGAAAAUGAUUUGAUCACUUCGCAUUUAAUAUUGUGCAUCUAUAUCUGUCUAUUGUUACAUACGCUUUCCAAAGGAUUACCUAGAAACUUCAAGACUUAAGCAAUAGAUGAUUAGAGAUGACUUCUCCUUAUUAGUUUUGCCAAAUUCCUAAACAAAAAUAGCACCUAAACAAUUUGACGUGUUUUCCAUUCCAGUAUUUUUAAUUGAUACAAAAUCAAUUAUGUAAAAUUCUACCCUCUCUCGAUCAUUUCUCUCCAUAACCAAGUUUAAUAUUUACGGACUUUCUAAAUGUUAUUGAGUGGCCCACUUCAGAAAAAUUAAACAUAGUCAUAAAUUAUCUAAAUAAUAAGCUUUUAAAAAAUUGAAUCGGUAAUUUCACACAAUUUAAAAAGUUUCAUAUGAACAACUGAGCAAAAUCCAUUGCAUAAAUUUACAUAUUUCUAUAUAUCAUUGAGUUUAUUGAGACAAAUAUAUCUAUGCGGACAUAAAAGUCCAUGAAAUGAUCUCUUGAUUCUACUUUCAGAGUGAACCCCUUUAAAAACCCCCCCCCUUCUCAAAAAAAAAAGAAAAAAAGGACCCGAAUAUUUUAAUUAAAAAUUCGGAUUUUCUCUAUCAGUCUAGUAAAAUCCAGCAUUCAAACCCGCAAUAUGAGAAGGAAACCCGAAAUCCUGCGCUCGUUCUCCUGAAUCCUCCUGCGCCGUGCUUCCGCCGCACCCCGCCGGUCCCUCCGUCCGUCCAUAACCUGAAGGCUUCCUCUCUCUCUCCCUCAGCCCCUCUCGUGAAAUCUCUUCCUCCGCAAUUUCGUCGUCGCCGGCGUCUCUCCGUCGCCACCUCGCCGGACGCGCGAAUCCCUAAUUCGCGGCGCGCGGCUGUCUCCGGCGCUCCUCUGUGGCGGAACCUCGCCGACUGCUCAGCGCUAGGAACCCCUGCGGCAGGAAAUUCGAGGGAUGGACGUGAUCUCCCAGCUGCAGGAAAUUUGGGGACUCUGUGCUCGUUCUUGCAGAGGACGUGAGCAGAUUUCAUUCAUAAAUGUAUACUAUGGAAGUUCUCAUCGGUUGAUCACGGAUGUGAUGGGUAGUUCUGGAGAUGUAAUGCGAGUUGGGCAUUUGGUUCAUUUUUGUGUAUGCCUCCAUGUGUGUUAGUUAUUCCUACAGAAGAAAACGGGACCUUCUCCACUUUUUUCUUGUGGAUUCUGUCGGUGGAUAUAUCUGCCACGAGUAUCUCAGUGUGCAUAUGUACAUAGAAUGUGCUGUGAUUUGUUUUACACGAGUUGAAUAAUCUUUUGACUCAUGUGUGUGAAAUUGUUAUGCACAUUUGAAAGAGCCACCACUCUUGUGUAAUCACGACUAUCGUUUCUUUCAAAUGUGUUUCUGCAUCUUAAAGUCAGUAGAAUGGUUUGAGAUUGUAACUCCAUCAGCAUUCUUGAUCUUGAGUAAGGUGGAUUGUUGGUUUCUGAUUUCUAUCUCAUUCACUUUUGUUUUACUUCAUGCUUGAAGUAAAAUGAUGGUCGGUGUGACAUCCUAAACUCUGCGACAUCAGUAUAUUCUCGCGGGUGAAAGCAAUUAGCCUCCAUUUUAGAGAUGAAGCAUUAUGCUUCAAGUUAUAAAAUUCGGUCUCUUUUCCACCAUUUGCUUUGGCAAUCUGGAUAAAGUUCUAUCGGAACUCUUUUUCUUUCGCAGUUUGAUGCCUUAGUAGCGGGACUUCCACUACCUGAGGGAGGUGAAGAAGCUCAACUCAAAAGGAUUGCAGACCUCCAGGUUAAGAGGAUCCAUGGUUUUUGGCAUCUUUAGUUCAUUAUUUCUGUUGUUUAAGGCUGUUUCUUAUUCAUUCCAAAUUACCUUUGCACAGGCUGAGAAUGAUGCUGUAGGACAAGAGCUUCAGAAGCAACUUGAAGCUGCCGGUAAUUGCCCUAUCGAUGAGGGUGUGAGGGCAUUUGUCUCUUUCACUUAUGUAUGUCAAUUUUUGGUCGAAAGUGAUAUCUUCUAUGAUUUUUGGCAUUGGCAGAGAAGGAAUUGAAGCUGGUCCAGGAGCUAUUCAGCCAGGCAACAGAUAACUGCUUCAAUUUGAAGAAACCAGAAUAAAAAUUGAGGACGCUUCUCUUCUUUACCUUUUUUGUAAAAUUUAUGCAGUAGAGAUGAUGACUCAGAGAAAUAGGCAUUCUACUGUUCGAAUAGUGCAAAGAGACCUGAGAUGUCACAACUCUGUACGGGUGAGUUUUGAAGUCCUUGCCGAGUAAAAGUUUCUCGGUGCACAAAAAGCAUCAAUAUGGGCAUCAAGUCAACCAAACAAUCACUCAAAUGAAGUAGUUCUGGCGAAGUAAGAAGUCUAGUCUUGAAUCUUUAAUUGCAAAAACAAACUAUAAUGUUACAUUAGCAAUGGAAAGUUCUCUGUUUUGUUGUGCACCUUCCUUCCCUCUGAAGUUUUCAAAAAUUGCUUUGUUACGUUUUGGUCCUUCUGAGGAAGGUCUUGGUAUCGGAUGAAGCAUGGGCUUGUUUGCCCUUGCAGUGUAGAUCAAGAAUCAAGAAGGCAACUUUUAUAGUUGUGAAGUUCAAGAAAUCAGAGUUUUCCGUGUCUGAACGAGAGUGGAGAAAAGGGCGGGCUUCGACUUUGAACACUAGACCCCUUGUGGGCGUGUGUCGGGUUAUGGCUAGCUUACCCUCUUUAGGGUGCUCUUCUGGCAGGCUUCGUGGCCCCAAAUAAAGGGCCCAACCAUUAGUUUAGAACUCUCCCAGAGUGUACGUAAACAGCCAAGAGAAUAGUAUAUCCUCUUCUCCAAAAGGGGCAAUGAGAAUGCUCGGCUUUCUGGUUGAACUGCCCACAUUGUUGGUGUUGUUAGGAUCCCAGAUGACGGACAUACAUUGCUGGCCUCUCUGGGCCACGUGAGCAAAGGGUCAGAAACCGAGGUUGCCAAUGUAUUUGGUGGGUACUUGGCAUCGAUGGCUUGUUAUGGCCUAAUUUGUUGCCUGCUGCUACCGACUAAACGAUCCACUACAUUUUGGGGGAUGGUGCUAAAUUGGAUGUACUUUUGGGCUAGGGAGAGGAAUUCUUCCUCACGAAUAUUAGUCUUACACCUAACAUUGGCUUUUUCAAUCUCAUUAAAUAUUUAUGGAUAGUCCAGGUUGUUGCCUUAUCUCUUGGUCAAAUCAGCCACUGAUACUCCAGGAUCAGUUUGAGAGAAGUAUGUCUGGAACUGGACUUGCAUGUCCCACCAAUUUCAAAUGGAACUCGUGGGCAAACUGAGGUACCACUUUGAGGGAAACCGCAUCAACAUAUAGGACCCUUAUCAAUUGAUGUUGGACAAUAUUUGAGUGGCAUGUGGAAAUAUGCAAUGAGGGAGGCAUAUAGGGGCCCAUUAAAAUUUGACUUGGAACUUCCUAUUCAGAUAGUCAAAUCCAAAACUUAAGCUAUUUGGUGGAGAAAACCACAAGAAUAUAUAUAGCACAUGAGACCAAUUAUCAAGUAAUGUGUGACAAUAUUUCAACAGCUAUGAUUUCACAUUCACAAGUGAACAUAGUGAAUUAAGGCACUUCAUACUUUCUAGGGACAGGUCGAUGUGAUCAAGGAAUGAUUUCCUAGACAAAAGCCUUUAGUAUAGGUCCAUGCAAAUAUUUCUAUUGUCCUAGUCAGAUAUUCUUUGUCCAGAGGAUUGGGUACUCUCGGUUCAUUUUCAUCGAGUUAUUCUUCAUGGUCUUGUCAAUUUCUAGUCUCCUUGGAGGCUAGGUGUAGUUCCCCACUUUUUUUGCCAUCAUUCACAUUGACCUCUCUAGGAACCACUUGUGAUUGUUUCCUUCUCCUAACAUUAGCAUCGAAGGCCUCAGAUUAUUCAUCCAAUUCUUUAUUAGACUUUAUCCUGAAUUUCCAAAAGGUCCAAGUGAAUCAAUCGAAAAGAUAUUCCUGCACACUUUCAUUAGGAGACUGAGACGGUGGGCUUUCGUUCCCUGGACCAUCCCUAGCCGGGGAGGCUUUUGUUGGGUUAGAACCCAACUUUUGGUUAUUGGAGUAGUUGGCUUCACAACGGUGAAGCCCAAACAUGCUUCCAGUACUUCGGCAAGACAUUCUAUUCUCCAAUAGUGGUCGCCAUAAAAACAUGUAAGGUGGACUUUUCACAAGAUUGUGAUCCCCAUAAACUCAGUGAUUUCAAUUAGUAAUAAAAGUCCAAACGAGGGUGAUCGAUGACCAAUUAAAAUGUUAAAAUUGAGGUUGAAUCCAAAGUAAAUGAAUUCUAACGUGUCUUGAAGUCUCGAGAACUCCGAAAAAAAUGUGAAUUACUGAUGAAGCACAAACUGUAGAUUGGAAACAAGGAAAUUGAAUUGUAAUUUUGUUGAACCAGAAUGGAUGGCUUGCAUUCCUUGAGGCCAUACUUACUCGAUCACUAAAACUGAACAUAUACCAUUAAUGGCGUUCCCUAGGAUGCGUGAAGAAAGUAAAAAAAACUAACAAAACACAACAGGAAUGCUUCUAUAAACAACGACAAAUAUUGAAACUAGGAAACCUAAUAUAAAAUGAAAUUCAAAUCCGAAUUCAGGUUAAUCUGAUCUACUCUAAAUAACCUCCUCAUCUUCAUAUCUUCACAAUUAUUCUAAUGUGCUUUGGGAUUUUGUGGUGCCUCCCGUUGAUUCUUCUUUUGUCUUUUAAAUGGACAAUUGCGUUAUACAUUCUAAUCUUCCUCCACAAGAAUCAUUAAACAUCUUCGCUUGCACGCUACUCUAGGUGAUUUGCAACUGCUUUUGAUUUCUUAGCUAUGGUUACUUACCGGUAGAUUAAUCCUCCUUAGGUCAAUCUUUAACUUCUAUGCAUGUUUCGAAUCAAUUGAUAGUCACCUAGUAUCAUGCAAUUGGCUCCAAUACUGUCAAUUAGAAACUUGUGAUCGAUGAGUUCAUUAGAAGUUUCAUAUAGGCUUUGUGGGUUAAAUGUAUUGUCAUGGCCUGAUUUGAACUUAAUUUGGACUGCUAACUUCUUCACGUUUGGGCCUAAAUUUUAGCUCCGAUUUCAACAUGGGGUUAGUGGAAUAAAAGAGGAAAAGAAAAUUAAAUGGAUAUGUACAGUACAAGUCCUAAAACUUGUCAACAAAGUGCAAUUGAGUCCUAAAACUUACAAAAAGUGCAAUCAAGUCCUAAAACUUGUAAACUUGGUUCAAUUCAGUCCUUUCGUUAACACCGUUAGUUUAUGUUAACGGAAAUUGCUGAUUUGGCUUAUUUUAAUAUUUUCUCUCUCCUACGUGGCAAUUAGGGCAAGAAAAAUUGUGCACGUAAGCGAAACGACGUCGUUUUGUGGGUAUUACCAUUCUCAAAACGACAACGUCUCUCCUCUGUUUUUUUUCACGACGUCUCCUCCUCCGUUUCUCCGUUUCUUUACGACAUCUCUUCGAUUCUUCCUCUCUCGAAUCAACGAACCCUAAGCCCUAAAUCUCGCAGAUCUCUUCCCUCUUCCCCUCUCGAAUCAACGCAACCCUAAGCCCGAAAUCUCGACGCAGAUCUCUUCCCUUCUUCCCGUCUCGAAUCAACGCAACCCUAAGCCCUAAAUCUCGACGCAGAUCACCGCCUCGCGAGUUGCAGUUCUUCAUCAAACGCUGGUGCGAGUACGCGCGACACUCAUCCCACGAGAGCCUUGGCGGUGGAUCGAGCGGCGCCGACGGUGGAGGCGAGUGGAUUGAGCGGCGUCGACGAUGGAGGCGAGGUGAAUUUGUUUGCACCGCUCGCUUACUCUGUGCUUGACAGGCUGAAGUCUUUGGACCAGUUGACUCAGAUUUCUUCUCUCAUGUGUAUUGGGGAUUGUGAUUACCGGAGCCGAGUCGCGAGGAGGUCGUCCCGGAGGUGAGGGUCGAGGAUCGCAAUUCCUUGGACGAGGCUAAGCAAAGCUCUCCUGAUUACCGAGUGACAGGUCAUUUUCUGGAUGAAUCGUGCGUGCGCAUGUGUGUGGAGAAUGAUUGAUUGCACUUGCGCGAUGCAUGUCCUCCGUUUGCGUAAAUUCUUUUGCUGCUUCUUGCUGGUGUAUCCGCAGGCUAGUUGUGGGACUUUGUGUUGUUAUGAUACCUCUACAAUGGAACAGUAGCUCGCUGAUUUUGAUGCUUGAGAGAUCAUAAACGGUAAUCAAUUCGAUUGAAAACGGUUAGCUGAUGUUUCCUUAGACUUGGCUUGAAUGCGUACCUCGCUUUACGAGGAUAAUCACCCAUCCCACCACCUUGCUAGGCAUUCUAGAUGUUUAUAUAUCAAAUUUGUCCUUUGUCGUAGUAAUUCCAUUAAUUGAGAUCACAGAUGCAUGCUGAAUUUACAUUAAAACUCACUCUCAAAUUUGGUUGCUAAUUCUACUGCUUGGAACGAAUAUAGAUCAUUUAAACACUGCCUACAAAAGAACUGUCAUAGGUAUCAACUUUCAUAUGAUUGUCCUUGUUCAUAUGCCAUUGUGGAUGUCAGUUAUUUGAAUAAAUACUGAUACUGCAGUUUCACCAUCAUUCAAUUCUUGUAAUUGAUGCUGUGGAUAAUCAACAAUGCCUACAAAAGAACUAUCGUAGGCACGUUUAAAUUGAACUUCUUUACAUCACAUUGUUCAGUAAUUAUUCACUAGAAUCAUCAUCAUGGCUGAUAAAUGUACAUGACCGUUACACAGUACCUGCUUAGUGGUGUCACAUGACUAUGAAUGUUUUCAAAGAACUGUAACUUAACAGAAAUCAGUUAAAGAUUAGAUGGCCUAAUGAUAUAUUGCCUCAACAACCAGUUCUGUCAAGAAUUAUCCUCUUUUGGAAUUAUCUAUGGAUAUAACAUUUUCCUGUUCUUCCCCAUUUUUUUAUGCUUGUUGCUAUCCCAUAAUCCUUUAAGUUGAAUCUAUAGAUAUAGUUCCUUUUCACUGUCGAUGACGACAGUGAUUGCAACUGUAUGUAUNNNNNNNNNNNNNNNNNNNNNNNNNNNNNNNNNNNNNNNNNNNNNNNNNNNNNNNNNNNNNNNNNNNNNNNNNNNNNNNNNNNNNNNNNNNNNNNNNNNNNNNNNNNNNNNNGAAGUCAUUUUCUAGCUACAGGAUGAGUUGUUGGUGUUCCAAUCUUGUGAGGAGACUUACGAUCACAUCUUUUUUCAUGAUGCAUUUGCAGUAAUCUGGUUGGCAACAACUUUGCAUUGGACAACUCUGACAGAAGGUAAAUGCCUAGCGAUUUUUUGUUUAUGAUGCUUGAGAGAUCAUAAACGGUAAUCAAUUCGAUUGAAAACGGUUAGCUGAUGUGUCCUCAGACUUGGCUUGAAUGCGUACCUCGCUUUACGAGGAUAAUCACCCAUCCCACCACCUUGCUAGGCAUUCUAGAUGUCUAUAUAUCAAAUUUGUCCUUUGUCGUAGUAAUUCCAUUAAUUGAGAUCACAGAUGCAUGCUGUAUUUACAUUAAAACUCACUCUCACAUUUGGUUGCUAAUUCUACUGCUUGGAACGAAUAUAGAUCAUUUAAACACUGCCUACAAAAGAACUGUCAUAGGUAUCAACUUUCAUAUGAUUGUCCUUGUUCAUAUGCCAUUGUGGAUGUCAGUUAUUUGAAUAAAUACUGAUACUGCAGUUUCACCAUCAUUCAAUUCUUGUAAUUGAUGCUGUCGAUAAUCAGCAAUUCUGCAAAGCUCAGUAUUAGUAUUCACUAAUCAAGCCUUACGGUUCGAACCAUGACUUGGAGAAGCUAUCGCCGCUUCAAUGAUUUAAAAACUUUUAGCAUUUAAUUAGCAAUUGCAUCAUCCAUGAAGGAACCUUAAAUGUUUCAAUGAAAGUCAUAAAAAUAAAGGAAUUUUUCUUGCAAUAGAAUUAUCUGCUUUUGGUUUAGUCAUAAGUUCAUGCUGCCAUACUGGUCAACUGAAUAAAAUUUUCUUCUUUUAUCUUAGCCUUCUCCCUUCAGGAUUAAACUGUCUUCAGCAGAAUUUUCCUUGCAACAGGGGGAAAGGAAUUUGUAAGUCCAUAUAACCUUUUUCCCCUUAAUACGCUUUCCUUUUGUUGAAUGCCUCAACAAGAGGAGGACAGGAGAUUGGGUUUAUAGCUACCUUACAUAUUUCGAGGGAUCACUUCGCCGGAGGCUCCGAGAUUUGGGAAAGUUUUCAGCGGGCAGUUCAUUGCUCAGGCAUAAUUAGUUCAGUUUACUAUCACUUUCAACUCCUUUUUUGCCGAUGCAGGUUUGCUGAUGCUUGUAUUGGAGGGUUGACUACUCUCAAGGUCAUCCAUCAACAUGGGUAUGUUUACCCUACCUAUUUCUCUUUACAAGUGAAGUCAUUAGUAGUUUUUAGAUGAAAUUUUACGAUUGAAAGUGCUAUUUGUUUCUAUUCUUUUGUAGGUCCAACGGGCAACAACAAAGUUUAUCUCACUGUUUUCUUUGGAGGUAAAUUUCAAGCUGGACCGCCCUUAGAAUACGUAGAUGGAAGGGUCGAUGUUGUUGAAGUAGACAUAAGUAAGGGUUCAUUAUCCAACAUAAUUUCAGCUGUUGAGGUUCUGUGUGGGCGUAAGAUAGAAAAGCUCUUUUAUAGAGUUCCUGGAAGUACUAUUCUUGAAGAUGGAGUAACUCUUAGGUACUUAUGGGAUAACUCCAAUGUGAUAGAUCAAUUUUAUCAUCAUCUUCACUCUGAAAAUAUUGAAUUGUAUGUUGAGCACGUCGAUGAUGAAGAAACGCUUGAUGAGAUAGGGGGAGUUGAGAUGGAAACUGAAGGUUUGUUUGAUGUGAAUAUAGAAAGUGUUAAUAAUGUGGCUGAUGAUGUGUUUGAAAAUAUAAUUGGAAAUGCCGAUGGUGAUGGGAACCAGCUUGAGGGUGAAAGUAGGAAUGUGGAUGAUGAGAAUGAUGAUGCAUGUAAUUUGGUGGAUGUUGAAGAGUCGAGUGACGAUGAUGAUUUUGAAUUGGUUAAAGCAAGAAGAAAUUUAAAAGAAUUUUCAGCGAGACAUAGACUCAAAAUUGGAACUAACAUUGAAGAAACUUCUCAAUUAGACAUUGGCUCUCAAACUCCAUUAUCAGUUGAUCCUCUAAUGGUGGAUGUGUCUGGGUGCGAAACAUAGUACUAUGAUUCAGAUGAAGAAGAAAGUCUUCAUUCAGAUUUAGAUAAUGAGAGUGAAAAAGAAGAAAAUGAUGUUAUUUCAAGAAGAAGGAGUAGGUUUCCAUCAUAUGAUCGAAAUUGUAAGAAUCCAGUAUUUGUUGUUGGCAUGACAUUUGAAGAUUCAAGUGAGUUCAAAGAUGCAAUUUUGAGGUACUCAGUGGCUGAGCAAAGAGCAAUUAAAUACACCAAGAACACUACUGGAUUUGUAAAGAGCUAGGUGUGCCGAAGCUAAUUGUAACUGGAUGAUUUAUGAUGCUCUCGAUAGCCAAACUGGAUCAUUCCAUUUGAAAAAGUACAUUGAUGAGCAUAUAUGUGCUAUUACUUUUGAGAAUAAGAGAGUUUCUAGUUCUUUUUUAGCUAAACACUUCAUGAUUCUCAUUUCUGCAAUGCCUAAAGUUAAAGCACCUCAGUUGAAGAUAUUGGUUAGAGAACAGUUGGGGGUGAAUGUCACUGUGAGCCAAUGCAGGAGAACAAAGCUAAAAGUGUUAAAGGAAUUACAAGGCAAUUAUAAGAAAGAGUAUGCACUGAUGUACGAUUACUUGGGAGAGCUUUACAUUGCAAGCCGGGCGAGCACAUUUAUAAUGAAAGUUGAAAGACCACUACCAGAUUCCUUACCAUUAUUUGAUAGGACUUACAUUUGCUUUGAUGCCUGUAGGAAAUGAUUUUUGGCAGGGUGUCGGAAGAUCAUUGGAUUAGAUGGAUGUUUUCUUAGGGGAUUGAUCAAGGGUGAGUUGUUGUGUGCUGUGGGGAGGGAUGCUAACAAUCAAAUGUAUCCAGUAGCAUGGGCAGUCGUAAGAAUUGAGAAUAAGGACACAUGGAGCUGGUUUAUCAACUUGUUGAAAGAAGAUCUUGACAUGGGUAAUGGUAAUGGAUGGGCCUUAAUAAGUGACCAACAAAAGGUAUGUAAUACUACUAUCGCUCAUCUUGAAUUUGUUUGAAACAAUGUAUAUAAUGAUUUCUAAUAUUAAUGUUUUCUUUUCUUUUUUUUUAUAUAUUAGGGCCUCAUUCCUUCAGUAGUUGAACUUUUGCCAAAUGCAGAACAUAGAAUGUGUGCGAGGCAUAUAUAUUGUAAUUGGGGUCAAAAAUACAAAGGAAAGCAGUUGAUGAGACAAUUCUGGAAAUGUGCUAAGAGUACUAAUAUGUCAGAUUUUGAGGUGCAUAAACAAAGAUUGAAGGAAAUGACUCCACAAGGUCAUGAUGAUCUAUUCCAGAUUGAGCCAAAGCACUGGUCUAAAGCCUUAUUUGACACCGACAUAAAAUGUGAUGUUGUUGAUAAUAAUCUUAGUGAAGCUUUCAAUGGUAGGUGUGUGGAAGCUAGGUGUAAGGCCAUUGUGAGUAUGCUUGAAGAUAUUAGAAUCAUGAUUAUGAAUAGAAUGCACAAUCAAAGGGAUGCAUGUGCUAAGUGGACAAGGAAUUAUGGUCCAAGGAUUGUGCAUAAGUUACAUCAGAAUACAGUGGCUAGUAGAUAUUGCCAUUUGAUAUGGAAUGGAGAUCAAGGAUACGAGAUUAUGGAAAAUGGUGACAAAUAUGUUGUAGACUUCAAUUUGAAUACUUGUUCUUGUAGAGCUUGGAAAGUUAGUGGAAUCCCAUGUUGCCAUGCUAUAUGUGCAAUACACCACAAGAAAAAUGAUCCGGGUGACUACCUAGCCGAUUGCUAUAACAGGAACAAAUACUUAAGUGCUUAUCAAUUCAUGAUGCCUACUGUGAGAGGACAGAAAUUUUGGGGUAAAACUAAUAAAGAAGCCCCUCAGCCCCCACCGAUCAAAAAGAUGCCUGGUAGGCCAAAAAGGAGUAGAAGAAAGCAACCACUUGAGCUUGUAAGAGAGAACAUAAUGACUAAAGAGGGUAAGCGAAUGACUUGUUCUACUUGCCAUGUGGUUGGACAUAAUUGUAAAGGAUGUCCUCUGAGAAAGGUAUUUCUUAACUAAUUGAUUUUGUUGAUUCUAAGCCUGUUGUCUUGUCAUCAAUGCUUACUAUGUGCUUUUUAGGCCCAUGCAAAUGCACCUGAAGCUCAAUCUCAAGCCAAUUCCAGUGGAUCAAGGCCUAAAAAAAGACAAGUAUGUUGUGAUAGAUUCAUGCAUUGUAAGUUAUAAAUGUAAAGAUUUCGAUUUACUAAUGACGUAUAUAUAUGCAGGCUAAAGCUACAGCAACGGCAAGUACAACUCAAGGAGGAUCCAAAGGCCAUAUCAUUGCUUCUGCAGAAGCUAGUGCACUUGUACAGAUAAUAGUGGGCAGACAAAUUCUUCAGCCAAUGCUUUUGCAGAAGCUAGUGCACAAGUAGAAGAUACUUCUGCCAAUGCUUUUGCAGAAGCUAGUGCACCAAUUGAAGAUACUUCAGCCAAUGCUUUUGCUCAAGUCGAUGUGCCAGCAGAAGAUACUUUAGUCAAUGCAUGUACAGAACUCACUGGACCAGUGCAAGAUACUUCAGCCAAUGCUAAAGCUCAGUCUAGUGUAAAUGAAAGAGGAUGUUGGGCUACUGCUAAUGUAAGUGGAUGUAGUGGACAAGCCAAUUCUUUUGCUAAAGCUAGUGUUAAUCAACGACAAGGAUUUUUUCGUGCUCAAGCCAAUGCAAUAGCUAGCAGCAGACCUCAAAAAAUCCCGGUGAGUAAUACCUCACCAGCCAUGCAUUCAUGUGUUGUAAUUACAUUGUCACAUUCGAUUUUUUGUUUUUUUUUUCAGUUUAAAAGACCUGCCAUUGAAAUGGAAACGAUACAAGGGCAGUCACAACCGAACAAGAAAAAGAAAAUGGUAUGUUUACACAACUCCUAAAAACAACCUUCAAAUUCUCAAUGUGAGUAUGUUUUAACACUUUACAAUGGGAACUGAUUGUCUCCUUGAACUAAAAACAUACCCAUUCUUUUGUAGCCUAUCUCAACUCAUACAAGAUUAUCGAAACAAUCGGACAAAGGAGUAGUUUUAGGAGCUUCAAUGGAAAAAGCGCAUCCCCAAGCUAGUGCACAGCCUCAGUCAUCUCAAAGUGCUCUUCAAAAGCAUGUUGUUGUGAAGUCAAAGCCACCAUUGCAACUCCAGGACAGUUUGCAGCUUCAAGCAUUAAGAACUUAUCCUCGAAAGCACAUCGGUGUAAAGCCAAAGCCACCAUCGCACCCCCAGGCAAGUUCUCAGCCUCAGUCCCAAAAACAUGUUGCCAUAAAGCCGAAGCCGAAGCCACCAUUACAACCGCCAAUGAGUUCACAGCCUCAGUCAUCUCAUACUUCAAUUGCUCCCGCAAAGCCUAUUUGGAAGUGAGUCACAAAAGGCACACCAUAUACAAUUAAAAGCUCACGACUUAUGAAUCAAGCGCACGAUGAACCUGGUGGACCACCCGAGAUAGUUCAACCACCCGAGACAGUAGACUUGGAUUGACGUGCUUGCUAAAUGUGUCUUGUCUCAUGAAAGUUGCAACAAGAAAUUCUCCUUUAACAUUAUCUUGGGUGCUGUUUUUGCUGGCCAAUUUCUUAUAUGGUUUGUGGUUUGUAGUGUUUUGUAGCAAUCAAUUUUAGUGAUUUUGUAAUCACCAAAGAACGUGUUGGGACUGUGUUUAAUGACUCGUCCCUUUUGCUGUAUACAUUUGAGAAUAUCGUAUCCGUCUCUUUGCCUCUUGGAUGCAGUAGUGCAAUGUGCAAAUUUAUCUGCCUAAGAAAAGAGCACCUUUGUUUUGCAUCCGUGUAUCUGAGGCAGCAUGCCAUGGUACGUGCAUGUUCCUUUUCAGUUUCUUUAUUUGAAUAGGAGUUUUAUAUAUGUUGAGCACCUCAGUACAGUCUCCAUAUAUAUUCACAACUUACAUAAUGUCAAAAAGAAGGUUGCGGUGGAGGGAAUGUUCGGCCGUUUUGAGUUAAAAAAAACUUGUCUAUCUCUAGAUACCUUUCAUUACAUAGUACACACCGAUAUUAUCGAGACGAAUCCCCAUUAGAGAUUAUAUUUGGCAUCUAGAGCUCCUUUAACAUCAUCUCAAGAUUCUGUUGUUUCUGCAGUGAAUCGUCAUCUCGUUUCGGCCAAGAUUUCAUCGCGUACACACCGCUCACAUUGGGUGGUACCUCGUUCUCAUCCACGAAGACAUUGCCUUCGUAAGUCACUGCCCCUCCAUCUCGAACUCUGCCAUUGCCAGUUACUUCUACAAUCAAUUUCGGAAAACCAAUGCUCUCUUCACGAAUCAGACCCUCCCUUGCCUCUCCUAUCAACUUCUCAGUCCUUUCGCUUUCGAGGAAAGAAACCCUUUUGAAAGAAACCAGAGAGGGCUUGCUUGGAAAGUUCUUUCCUUUCUUCUGACGUAAAGCCAAGAAAGAGAGAGUCGUGCAAGCUAACAUUCGUCAGAAUGCAAAAGCAGUAUAAUUUGUCAAGGCAUGGAAAGUCCCGAACGGGGGGUUUGAAACUUUUAAAAAUCCAAAGAGCCGGCUUUGUCACGUAACUCCCUUUACUUCAUGCCCCAAACAGUACCUUUUUCUCUCCUUUCUAAAUGCUUUUGAUUUGAUGAAGCAAAAGUUCGAAGGGCGAGGGCAGCUUAUAUAGAGGAAAACAAGCUUCCCAGACUUCAUUUCCAUAAAUACCUGAGAGUGCUGUCUUUUUUCCUUUGAUGGAACAUUUAAAAAAUCAUCAUCCAAAUAGCAUUCACUGAAAGAACACACGAAAUUGUUUACAUUUCCACGCAACAUGAGUUUCCUAAUUUUACAGGGCAAAAGAGAAUCGGGAUAAAGUAAUUAAAUACAAACUUAGAAACAAGGUACUAUGGAAGACUUAGAAACUUCUCAUUGGCUUUCACAUUAAAUAUAAUCCCCAUAAUGAUAUAACACAUGCAUAGAAAAAAUCCCAAUUGAUAGAGCAUCUUCCCUUUCUUCACUCGUGCAAGCUCUUCCUUUAAAAGUCCAUUUUUCGCCUUUUGCGCCUUCAUUUUAGCUAUCAGUGAGCUUACAUAAUCGUCGUUGCAUCUGGAUUGGCUUGACUCCGAUAGUGCUUGAUUUCUUUCAAGCAGUUCGACUAUCAUGUCCCUCGCUUGAUCCGGUAUUUUUUGGUCAACCCACAUGAAGAAAUUGCAGCAACCUGGAUCAUCAAACUUAGCACAUCCAUAGAACCUUCUUCCUGCGUUUUUCUUUGUUUUUGCAAUAAGAAGUGGUGAUCGAAGACCACAAUAGCAGGUUAACUCUGAUUCGACCUCAUUAGGAGUUACACCACUUGAUUUAGAAGUUGUUGCCCUCAUUCUUCUUGUCGCCAUAUUAAAAAAGCAUAUCACAGUUGCAAACUAGCAAAACCUACACCAUAGGAGAAUAAAGGCAUGUUAACCUUCAAAACAAACAUGUAAUGACAACUUAUUCACAGAUAAAGACCACAUGCCUGCUGUCCUACAUUUAAUCUUAGCAUGUGUCGCAAAACUGUACACAGUAGCUAGAGACCUCUAAGACGAAAAUAUGGCCAUGCGAUAUAAAUCUUGUUUCCAAGAAUAACAUGCACAUGAAAAUAAGUUCAUGGAAACUAGAAAUCUUCUUUUCUUAACAUCAUCAAGCAACAAAAAGCAUAUCAAGCAGUGCAUUGGAUUCCAUCACAUAAGAAUUGUGUAAGCAAUGGACAAUGAGACAAAUCAUUUGGUAUCGUCAUCGACAGUGAAAAGGAACUAUAUCUAUAGAUUCAACUUAAAGGAUUAUGGGACAGCAACAAGCAUAAAAAAAUGGGGAAGAACAGGAAAAUGUUAUAUCCAUAGAUAAUUCCAAAAGAGGAUAAUUCUUGACAGAACUAGUUGUUGAGGCAAUAUAUCAUUAGGCCAUCUAAUCUUUAACUGAUUUCUGUUAAGUUACAGUUCUUUGAAAACAUUCAUAGUCAUGUGACACCACUAAGCAAGUACUGUGUAACAGUCAUGUACAUUUAUCAGCCAUGAUGAUGAUUCCAGUGAAUAAGUAUUGAACAAUGUGAUGUAAAGAAGUUCAAUUUAAACGUGCCUACGACAGUUCUUUUGUAGGCAUUGCUGAUUAUCCACAUCAUCAAUUACAAGAAUUGAAUGAUGGUGAAACUGCAGUAUCAGUAUUUAUUCAAAUAACUGACAUCCACAAUGGCAUAUGAACAAGGACAAUCAUAUGAAAGUUGAUACCUAUGACAGUUCUUUUGUAGGCAGUGUUUAAAUGAUCUAUAUUCGUUCCAAGCAGUAGAAUUAGCAACCAAACGUGAUAGUGAUUUUUAAUGUAAAUUCAGCAUGCAUCUGUGAUCUCAAUUAAUGGAAUUACUACGACAAAGGACAAAUUUGAUAUAUAAACAUCUAGAAUGCCUAGCAAGGUGGUGGGAUGGGUGAUUAUCCUCGUAAAGCGAGGUAGGCAUUCAAGCCAAGUUUGAGGACACAUCAGCUAACCAUUUUCAAUCGAAUUGAUUACCGUUUAUGAUCUCUCAAGCAUCAUAAACAAAAAAUCGCUAGGCAUUUACCUUCUGUCAGAGUUGUCCAAUGCAAAGUUGUUGCCAACCAGAUUACUGCAAAAUGCAUCAUGAAAAAAGAUGUGAUCGUAAGUCUCCUCACAAGAUUGGAACACCAACAGCUCAUCCUGUAGCUAGAAAAUGACUUCAAGUACUAUAGAGCAUCCCAUGAGCAAUAAAAGAUUGAUAAAGUGCAAAAGAAGAGUCCUCACUUUAGAUAUCUAACUAAAAGUAUAAAUUAUCAUUUUCCGAAUGACAAAAAUACAUACAGUUGCAAAUCAUUGUCGUCAUCGACAGUGAAAAGGAACUAUAUCUAUAGAUUCAACUUAAAGGAUUAUGGGACAUCAACAAGCAUAAAAAAAUGGGGAAGAACAGGAAAAUGUUAUAUCCAUAGAUAAUUCCAAAAGAGGAUAAUUCUUGAUAGAACUGGUUGUUGAGGCAAUAUAUCAUUAGGCCAUCUAAUCUUUAACUGAUUUCUGUUAAGUUACAGUUCUUUGAAAACAUUCAUAGUCAUGUGACACCACUAAGCAGGUACUGUGUAACGGUCAUGUACAUUUAUCAGCCAUGAUGAUGAUUCUAGUGAAUAAUUACUGAACAAUGUGAUGUAAAGAAGUUCAAUUUAAACGUGCCUACGAUAGUUCUUUUGUAGGCAUUGUUGAUUAUCCACAGCAUCAAUUACAAGAAUUGAAUGAUGGUGAAACUGCAGUAUAAGUAUUUAUUCAAAUAACUGACAUCCACAAUGGCAUAUGAGCAAGGACAAUCAUAUGAAAGUUGAUACCUAUGACAGUUCUUUUGUAGGCAGUGUUUAAAUGAUCUAUAUUCGUUCCAAGCAGUAGAAUUAGCAACCAAACGUGAAAGUGAGUUUUAAUGUAAAUUCAGCAUGCAUCUGUGAUCUCAAUUAAUGGAAUUACUACGACAAAGGACAAAUUUGAUAUAUAAACAUCUAGAAUGCCUAGCAAGGUGGUGGGAUGGGUGAUUAUCCUCGUAAAGCGAGGUACGCAUUCAAGCCAAGUUUGAGGACACAUCAGCUAACCGUUUUCAAUCGAAUUGAUUACCGUUUAUGAUCUCUCAAGCAUCAAAAUCAGCGAGCUAUUGUUCCAUUGUAGAGGUAUCAUAACAACACAAAGUCCCACAACUAGCCUGCGGAUACACCAGCAAGAAGCAGCAAAAGAAUUUACGCAAACGGAGGACAUGCAUCGCGCAAGUGCAAUCAAUCAUUCUCCACACACACGUGCACGCACGAUUCAUCCAGAAAAUGACCUGUCACUCGGUAAUCAGGAGAGCUCCGCUUAGCCUCGUCCAAGGAAUCGCGAUCCUCGACCCUCGCCUCUGGGAUGACCUCCUCGCGACUCGGCUCCGGUAAUCACAAUCCCCAAUACACAUGAGAGAAAAAUCUGAGUCAACCGGUCCAGAGACUUCAGCCUGUCAAGCACAGAGUAAGCGAGCGGUGCAAACAAAUUCACCUUGCCUCCACCGUCGGCGCCGCUCGAUCCACUCGCCUCCACCGUCGGCGCUGCUCGAUCCACCGCCAAGGCUCUCGUGGGACGAGUGUCGCGCGUACUCGCACCAGCGUUUGAUGAAGAACUGCAACUCGCGAGGCGGUGAUCUGUGUCGAGAUUUAGGGCUUAGGGUUGCGUUGAUUCGAGAGGGGAAGAGGGAAGAGAUCUGCGAGAUUUAGGGCUUAAGGUUCGUUGAUUCGAGAGAGGAAGAAUCGAAGAGAUGUCGUAAAGAAACGGAGAAACGGAGGAGGAGACGUCGUGAAAAAAAACGGAGGAGAGACAUCGUCAUUUUGAGAAUGGUAAUACCCACAAAACGACGUCGUUUCGCUUACGUGCACAAUUUUUCUUGCCCUAAUUGCCACGUAGGAGAGAGAAAAUAUUAAAAUAAGCCAAAUAAGCAAUUUCCGUUAACAUAAACUAACGGUGUUAACGGAAGGACUCAAUUGAACCAAGUUGACAAGUUUUAGGACUUGAUUGCACUUUUUGUAAGUUUUAGGACUCAAUUGCACUUUGUUGACAAGUUUUAGGACUUGUACUGUACAUAUCCAAAAAUUAAAUGCAACGUCUUUCCAUGCCAUCGAGAAUGAAGAAAGAAAGAUUGCCCUUUAAGUUUUCCGGUGUUGGUUGAAGAUCCCCCCCCCCGGGGGGGGGGGGGGUUGGGUUGGGGAGAUCGAGAUACCUGAUGAAAUAUGUCCACGGCUAAUGCUGCACACUAUUCCUCAAGUAAAUCAACUUCUCCAUCGCAAGUUUCAUGCUAAUAAAGCCGUGAUUUUGGAAAAAUCUCAAAUAGAGAUAUGAAAUGCCCUCUUUUUACUCAUAAGAGGAAUAUAGUCCAUCUCAAAUAAAGAUCCAAAAUAAUUAUUUGGUCUCAAAAAAGGAUCUAGCUCAUCGACGGGCGAACAAAAGCAUCUCCCACGUCUGGUCAGGGAUAAUUUCAUCCAAAAAUAUUCUUUUUUCGUUUUCGUUUACCCUGUUCAUUAUGUCUAAUGCUAUAUACUAUUUCUCAAGUGAAUCAACUUCUCCAUUGCAAGUUUUGUGCUGUUAUUGGCUUGUUAUGCUUGUCUUUGUCCGAUGGUCAUAUGCAAUUAGGCAUCCGGGCUAGUUGGGCAAAACCAACAUAGGGUACUUGGAUUGACAAUGCUCAAGUCGAAAAGUAAUCAUUAGUGCUCAUUAUAAAAAUUGCUAUGGACAAUGCUCAACUCUAAAAGGAGCAAGUGUUGCUCAUUAUAAAAAUUGCCGACAAAUUGCUUGCCAUUUAGAUGUGUUUGGUUUCAAUAUAUCAUCACGCAACUAUAUACGUUGUGAUUUUUGUCAUUUAUGUCUAAUGUUGUACACUAUUUCUCAAGUAAAUCAACUUCUCCAUUGCAAGUUUCAUAAAGCUGUGAUUUUUGUUGGCUUGUUAUGCUUGUAUGUUUAUAACUUACUAUGGAUAGUUUUACUUUUAUUUUAAUUUUUUGGUAUGUCAUUGAGUUUGUGAGACUUAAUUUCAAUAUCAAUGGAACGAUCUUGUUGCUUGUCAAUUUUUUUUGUCUUUUUCAUUUUUGGAUUUUGCUUUUACUUGAUGAUGUUGCUGGUAUGUCUGUGGUGGUAGCUAAGGUGCUGGUAUGGCUAGUGAUGUCUAGUAGUAGUGGGUCUAUUAUGAUGGUUCGGUUUGAGGCUUGUGUUGUUUCUAGUGCAAGUGUGCAGUGUGCACAUCUUGCACCAAGUGGUGCUGGUGCAAGGCUCGGCUUACAUCAACACCUUCUGCAGCAUACCCACAAUUAGUACAGUGGCUGGUGGCUGGGGUGCUAGUGUGGUGGCUAAUGGUGGUAGCUGGUGAUGCCUUGUGGUGAUGGGUUUGUGGUGGGAAUUCUGUUGGCGGCUUGUGCCACACCUAGUGCAAAUGUGCAGUAUGCACAUCUUGUAUCAGGUGGUGCUGGUGCAAGCUGUACCUUGUGCAGCAAACCCACAACCAACAUAGUGAUUGGUGGCUAGGGUGCUAGUGUGAUGGCUAGUGGUGGUGGUAGGUGAUGGCUAGUGGUGCUAGUGGCCGAUGAUGCUUGAUGGUAGUGGGUCUAUGGUAGGGGUUGAGAGCUCAUGCAACACCUGGUGCAAGUGUGCAAUAUGCAUUCUUACACCAAGUGGUAUUGGUGCCAAGCGAGUGUAAGGCUCAGCUUACAAACACCUUCUGCAAUAGUACACCACUAGCACAGUAGUGGCUAGCCAUGGCUCGAGGUGGUGGAUGGGGUACUUGUUGUGGCUGGUGGUGGUGGUUGAUGGCCGGUGGUGACCGAUGAUGGUGGUUGGUGUAAUUUUUAGGGGAAACCUACAAAAAUUGACACUUGACUGAUAACAUUCUAAAAAAUUAACAUUUAAGUGUUCACUUUUACCAUAAGUGAUACUGAAGUUAUCACUUUAAUAAUAACUUGACACUUAAGUGAUCUUUUUUUCAUCACGACUAGUACUUAAGUGAUCACCAAGUACAACUUAUGGCACUUGAGUAAUCAUUCGUGUUUGUCCUAUGUAUAUGUUGAUUUGUAGCAAAUCAGAGAAGCUGUUAGUUUAUAUUUAGUUCAACUUAUAGCAACUUCAUUCAAUUCAAUGUUUGCUAUUGGUUUAUGUAUAUAUUCAAUUCAAGUAAAGAAGCUACCACAACACAUUGACUCAAUAUACAUCCAUCAUUGUUGGUUUAUAUUCAAGAACAAGUAAAAAUAUAGUACGAGCAGUAUUUCAUUCACUCAUUCUCUUUCCUUGACCUCUCCACAAGCACAAGAAGUAACCCAUGAUAUAUAUGACAGUACAAACAAUAACAAAGCUACAACGAUCUUGUGGACAACACAAACUUCUUCUCAUCUUCCAAAAAAAUGCAUACAUUUGAUCCAAAACAAUUGCAUUUGUCCACUCAUUUUCAACUAUGGCAAUCGGAGAAACUUCUUCUCAUCUUUCAGUGCCUAACAUUUCAUCAUAAAGUAGGAUAGAUAACAAAACAAUACAACAAUAAACACUUGGUAACAUUUCCAUUCAAAUUUUAUUCUUGAAACUUCAUUCUACAAAUGUUUAGCCGAAGAUGCUUGAGCUUGUAUUAAAUCAACAUCGUCCAAGUUGUCCACGAGCAUAGAUGGAGGUUGAUGUCAUCCAUCAAGUAGAUCCGAUAUCACCUCUGUGACUCGAUGAGAGAAUUUCACAUCGACUCAUUUGAAGUAUUUACACUUCGACCAUUCUCUAUAUCGGGCACAUUCAUAAAAUCUUCUCCUAGGAUUCAUUCGAGUCUACGAUGUUCUUUUUAGACUCGGUAACCCACAAAAACAAAAAACACUUGCCUUCACCUUCACUUCAAUGAGAGGAAUUUGAAGCACUGCUAAAAAUCCUGCUCUCUAUUUUCAAGAUUCAAUGGUGGAAUUUUAGGCAAAUCGAAAUUAAGAUUCGCGAUUAGGGUUUGAGCACUUCAAUAGGGAUUUUGGCUGAUUUAAGGUUUUAGAUUUUGGGCAAUUUGGGAGAUGGCGUUGUUUUGACCGAUUUAGGGCUUUUAUUUUGGACAACUAUGAAAAUGGCAUCGUUUUGGGUCAGUCAGAGCUGAGUCAGCUCUCCAACAAGCCACGUAGGCAAACAAAAUUAAUAAAAAAAAAUUAUCACGUAGGAUUUUCAACGGGGUUUGCCAGAAGUAGCACUCAAGUAUCUCAUUUUUUAAAAAAAAAUUAUACUUAAGUGUCACUUUACUAACUUUUAGUACUUAAGUGUCCUCUCAUGCUAAGUUUUAACACUUGAAUUAUUCUUUUUCCAGAAAAUAUCUAUCUAAAUCCCAACUUGCUUUGUCAUGCUCAUGCUUGCUUAUCAUACUCAUAUUUCUCAAUUUCCGAAGUUCAAAAUAUUGGGAUUUAACCCAAAAUUACUUGAAAAUUUAAGUAUAUAUCCAUUGCAUUUACUCACCUUUAUAAUCAAAUGCAACUACUUUGCAUAUUUAAUAUUGUCGUGAGAGCAUCGGCCAGAGUAGUAAGUGAAAGGAGGAUUUUGCAUGAAGCGUUUCAAAACCAGCCAAAGGAUCGGCUUAACCAUCUCUACUCACGUGAAUCAAAUACUGCAACGGGUGCCCUCUCAUUCCCUUGGGAUUAUGUUGUUUUUAUCUCCAUAAAGCCCUUCAAUUCUGUUUGGCUAUCUCGUUCACCCUCUUCAGCCAUUUAAUGCUUUCAGCUUCAGUAAAGCUAUCCUCUAAAUCUCCCAAUUGCUCCGCCCAAAGACAUCCUCUAACCGUAAACCUGCAUAGCAUAACUUAACACGUCUAAGUUUAGUUGCACUUGUGCAGGUGUUCGAUUAGUAGAUGCUAUUCAGAUAAGAGGCUAAUCUGAGGACCGAUGCAACUAACCUAGCCACACAAAUGCCUCUUUAUCCCAACCCAAGUGUGAUGCAGCUGAUAAGCCCCAUGGUGAUCGAAGAAAUUGAAUCAACAAAACAAUAAUUAAUAUAGCAAUAAAUAAAUUUCAAGAAAUUUAAUUAUAAUCAUCCUAGCAGACGGACUGAUGAUUAAAGUAACAAUUAAUAGUGGAAGGACACAAAUAUUUUCUUAUGAAGUAGAGUUAUGAUGAUAGAAUAUUGGGAUAAGUGCAUUGAAUGUUCUAGAAUUUCUCACGAAAGUGCAAUUGAGUUCUAAAUUUUCAAAAAUUGCAAUCAAGUUCUAAAACCUGUCACAAAAGUAAUUGUGUUAUAAAAUUUUUACGAAGUGCAAUCACGUUCUAAAACUUGUUGGGAUUUUCUAUUUAUCAAGUUGGACGAAGUUAAUGGAAUAUUUGAUCACAUUGACAAGUUUUAUGACUUGAUUAUACUCUCUUUUUUUUAAAAAAAAGUUUUAGGAUUUAAAUCACUUUCUAAAUGCUCUAAGGAUAAGUAUUAUUAUCUCUUGAAGUCCUUCUGAGCUGAGAGAAUUAAAAACUUCAUUGAUUUGAUAAAGAGUAUUAUUAUCAAGAGAUAGCUUGUUGAGUUUUUUGUUGACUUCAUAACGUCCAGCAGUAUGGCCUUCUUUUCCACAUUGAUAGCAUGUUAUACUUCAAUUGAUUUUUUUUUAUUUUUUUUUAUUUUUUAUUUUUAGUUUGAGAAGGGUAGGAUGAAGAUUUUCAGGAAAAAAAAAUUAGUGUGAUUUAUUUAUUUAUUUAUGAUUUGGUUUUUUUGACCUUCUAUAAGAUAAUUAUCCCACCAACAUUUUAAUUGUCCAAUAAAAUAGCCAUCGAUAUUCUAAAUGUUCUUCACAUCAAACAAUCAUGGUCUCCAAUGCGUAUAAAACACAACAAAAUGUAUUGUGAAAUAUUUUUGUGAUUAUUUAUAUUUCAAUCAUAUCGUAACGUGUCAUUGCCAUUAAAAUUUUUAUCAUUUGUAUCACUUUGUUUGUUUUACAUAUCCUUUCCAAAUCAACCAUAAUAAUAUUUCAUAUUGUAACGUUAGAUCCUCUAUCUUAGAGCCCGGGCAUUUAUAUGCAUACGGAGCAACCAUGGAAUCGAAUCUCAGUGGAGUACGUGGAUCCUACUGAUAAAUGAAGAUUGCUGAAUGUCUCUGAGAAUCUUAGGAAGACGACACUCGGCAAUGACCAAAUUCAGCGAUGGAAUCACCCGACGAAGGUACUCAAGCCGAGUUAGAUGAAGAACGACCGAAGCUGGAGCCACCACGAAUAGUCGUCAUCUGAGAGAAGAAGAAAAUAGAGAGAAUGAGUUAUCAGAGGUGAAGGAUCUGUACGUUCUAUGAACUGAAAGAGAGAGCGCGUGAAGUCUGCGGCGAUAGGAGGUGGUCCGGUGUUGCUGGGCGACGAUGAUGUUGCAGCAGCUUAGGCGGUGACGCAAGGACGGUGAGCUUCGAUGAAGGUGAAGACGUAGUGAUGGAUAACCCACAUGCAUCUCUGAGACUGACGAAGGAAGUGAAUCAAUCAUUUUUAUAUCUCUCUAGUAUUUGAAUCACCAAGAAUUCUUUUCAAAAGUAUAAGUUUUUUAUGGUACCUUCAUUUCGUAGAAAACUCAAUGAUAAAAAGCAUUUUCGAAUAAUAUGAUUAAUUUUCCAUUAUUUGGUAAUAUAUAAUCAAAUCAAAAACGUUUUUUGAUAUUUGGAUCUCAUUAGAAAGUGAUUUUGAUAGUAUGACUUUAUCUUAGGCCAAAAAAAAAUCGAAUUUUUUUAAUUUUUUUUCUUUUUUAAAAGUUCGAAUUUUUAGUUUUUCAUUUUAUUUUUUUAAAAUUCGAAUUUGUAAUUGGUUCUUCAAUGAGUUGUAAAAAGAAAGGGAGAUUAAUUAGAAAAACGUUUUUUUUUACUAUACCAUUUUCACUAUUAUUAUUAUUAUUAUUAUUAUUAUUAUUAUUAUUAUUAUUAUUAUUAUUAUUUUCUUCUUCCUUUUUCAAAUGCAGAUUUGGUUUAUUGACAAAAUUAUUUGCCAACGAUGUUCAGUUUCUUAUUUUUUUUACCCACGGUUCUCAACAUUUUCACGAUUAAACCCAAUUUGGAGCACGUCCAUUGAUUUUCCUCUUAUAUUUAAUAAUCGUGUUAUGAAAAGAGUAAAAUUAUCAGCAUUUGACAAAGCUUUUGCUAACAAAAAAAAAGACAAAGCUUUUGCUAAGCAAGUUCAUGACAUCAUCACAACAUUCUACUUCAACUUCAACAUACUCAGAAUGCUGCCUUAGUUCUUCCGAAUCAAAGUAGGUCCAUUGCUUCAUGUUUAAAUUUGUGUACCUCAGUUAAGACUAUGCGGAGUGGAAUUCUUGACCGAACACUUGUCUGUUGAAGUCCUCAUAGCCAUUGGAGCUUAACCAAGGCCUUUUCUAUCUUCCUUAAAUAGCCGUGAUACCAAUUGAUUUAAUUGCAAUAUCUAAUAGUUUUCGCGCUAUAUUGCAUAAUUGGUAUAACAGCUGUCAACAGCCAGGAGACUAACAAAUAAGUAUUUGGUCAAGAACUUUGAUCCACAACUCUUUUGCCUGACAGCACAGGAGCUUCUUGGAUUAUAGCCGCACAAGUGGUGCACCUUAUUGAACACAUUGGAGGUUUUGUUUCGACAUCCAAACUGAGUUGUUUCCAUUGAUAUAUACCGUGAGUUUGGAUGUAAUUUAAGACUUGGAAAAUACUCAAACAUGCAAGUGAUCAUAACUCUAUAAUUCCCUUAUUUACUAAUAGAUUAUUUACAGUUGACUAUCCCCAUAGAGUAAAUACCGACAUUCAGAUUGUCCCAUGCAGAUCUCUUCAUUUAUUUACUAUUCCCCAUUUAUUUCUCCAGUAAUUACGCAUCGAAUUAAUUAUGAGGUUCGAUAAUUUUUGCAUUAUAUUGAAAAACUGACAUCGCCUAACCAAUUCCGAGGCCCGAAAUCAUUCAGCAAUAGAGACGAGUCCUUAGCACAACAAAAACUAUUCAGGAGGUGGCUCAUUGUAAGAGUCGCCCAGGUAUUCAAAUCUUAUAGUAAUAUCGUCCUUCAUCCUCCAUCAAGAUACAGGUUUGGCUCACCGUUGUGCCUAUCCGUCUGUAAAUAGGAGAGUUUUCCGAGGGACGGUCCCGUCCUUCGUCUGGUGAGGGUACACACAGGUUAAUGAUGUACAUUCCCAUAUGGACAUAUGGUCUCCUAGGCUGGAUCUCAUUACAUGUUUUCACUACAAUCAGGCAAACUUCUCUAUCAAGAUGGUCUGUAACUAAAUAAGAUAUGAAGAGGAAGUUGCAUUUUCUUUCUCAUUCUUCACUGCAUGCAUGCUAUCGCGAGGCAUGAGAAAAUUAAAGGUUUAGAGUGGUAAAAAAGAAGGAACAAUAAUCUGCAGCCAAGAAAGGAAUAGUAGAUUUUCAUGACUACUCUCUGCUAGAACUUCAGAAUAUGUAUAAUGAGCUUCCUGUCAAGAGAUCUGUUUUUCUUCAUUCUAAGAACUAUUUUACUAAAAAGUUCCACAUGUAUUUACAAGAACGUGGACUACCUGUAGAAUAUAACAUACAAUUUUCAUUCAAACUGUAUUUGCGACAAUGAAGUGAGGAUUCAUUUCUUCUUGCCUCUUCCUUUCUUAUUUUGCUCACCUUUGGACUUGCAAUUGCCCCUGUUCUUGUUCUGGUUUUCCACACCGCCAGUCUGGGAAAAAGAAGAUGAUGAAGCCUGCUGAUCCUUCUUCACUUCACCGGUUUUUUCAGCUUCCCCAACUUCGCCCUUCUCUUCCUCAUUUGCUAAGCCCACUUCUUGUCUCGGCAAUGACGACGCAUUUGCACCAUCCAAAUGCACAACUGGUACUGCACUGUCGGAAGAUGAAGAGGAAUCCUUGGAAAAUUCAGUCAGAUCUUGCAACUUGCAAGAGCUCUCAGCACUUCCAUCUUUGGGGAAUAGGACUUUCAUAAUCUCUUCUUUGCAUUUGUGCGACUUCACAUCUAAAAUGAUGGCAUGUGGACAUUUUGACCGAUCUGAAGCAGAAUUGGUAAUUACAAGGGGAUCAUCAACUUUUUCGAAUGCUUCAGCAAGAACACCCACUGAAAUUUCCUGUAAGUAUGGCCUCCGGCAACGUGAAAGAAUAUGACGAAAUUCGGGAGGUAUUUGCUCAGAAAUCCAACUCUUACCGAGCAAAUUGAAGAGAAAAUAUGGACUGGUGCCAAAAUUCAGGUGAAGCAAACAAAGCAAAAGAACCAACUUCAAGACCAACAACGGGUAAUACUCCCUCACAUUUAGGUUCGAAUUUUUGAUCCAUUGUCUGGUAUCAUCCUUACUGUCAAGAAGGUCCGCAACAGUCCUUGUAACAAACUGGAUGGGCUCCAAGCAAUUUCCCAGGUUGAAACUGAAGCUAGGCUUUGCUAAACCUUCAUGGCAGAUGAGCCAUUCAACUAGAGAAGAUUUCGUUGUAUAAAACUGCCCUUUGGAGCAAGCUAGCAAAAUCACAAGUCGUUCCAAGAGAUACAAAAAGCAAAUUGGUGUGAUGUAGUCUCUUUCAGUCCUCCAAUUGGCAUUGUAACCAUCUGCCAAAGCUCGAUAAAGGUUCCAAGCCAAAGAUAUUUCCACGGGUCCAUUGCUCGCCUGAGGAAGGUCUGAUGGUACAUCCCGACAAAUGCAUUCCAUGAAUGCCUCCCAUGACGUGUCUCCUUUAAAUGAUUUUGCUAUUUUUCCGUAAAAAUCAUCUUCGAGCAUUCCAGACCCAAGAACCAAAGUCGCAAGCUCACCCAUCUUCCCAUGUGAAAAAUGCUUCUUCGAAAUUAUCAUGUUCAUUGUUUCUCUCAGUAAAUUACGAGAAGCCUCACUUCCUCUCAGAGAUACCAUAUUCUCUGAUGACGAUAUUCUCCAGUCAAGUGGAAAUAUGUGACCAAAAUACCUCCCACUGGAUGUUUCAAUGAAACCGUCCAGUGCCUUACCAUACUGGAACGAGCGAUUCCGACAAUUAAGUUCUCUAAGGAACUUGGCAACCUCAUGUAAGAUAGCAAGACAUCUGCUUUGCCAGAAGUUCGACCGAGAACUCUUCGCCAAAAAUUGAUAAAGAGCAUCCAAUUUGUGCAGGAGCUCCAUACCAACAGAAGUAAGCUCACAAUACCAAUACUUUUGAGCUGCAAAGACCAAUUGUCUAAGAUCCAAAGCAACGAAUUGUCCCUUUUUUUUAAGAGAUCUUUUAUCUAUGUUUCUGACCCAAUCAGCAUCUGGGUUUACAAGGUGAUAAGUUCUUUGCAUGUUGUUCCAUUGCUCCAGAACACCAAAGUAAUUCAGACAGAACUCCCAACAUGACGUAUUUUCCCUUCCCACCUGCAUCUUCACACAUCCUACACUCUCUAUAAUUCUAACAAUUUUCUCUCUCCAAAGAUUCCAAAAGCAGACCAAUGAGUCAACGGAAAUCUGAUUCCCCAAGGUCAGUUGUUCAGAAUAGUUUGCUGGGUCGACAAGCCAAUCACAUUCCCAACAAAAAUUUGAGAUAUUUUGCCAAAGAUGGAAGUCCAGAAUAUUUCGAGUGCACAGUAUUUCACCUCUGACACUUCCAUUUCUACUGGAAGCACUCAAAUGUUCUUUCAUUUGAGCCAAACUGUUCUCUUUAUUUAACAAAAUGCUUGAUUCUACAGAAACAUAUUCAUAGAAGGCAAUAGGCUCAGGCUCUGCGAGAAGUUUGGCUUUUGCUACCAGCUCCUCCUUCUGAGCAAACUGCUUCAAGGGCCACCCUUUGCCUCCAGGAGCCCAAAGGGAAUAGAAUAAUAUGUACCACAGGAUAUUCAUCGACGCUUCCCUGUUUUUUCCGCUCUUCCCAAGUAGAUCAACCUCACGAAGGAUGUCACCUUUCAUCCUCACAAUCUUUGCCGCCUCCAAAAAGUUACCAAAUUCUUCCUCCAGACUUAUAAGUUCAUCGAGGCAUCCAAGCCUCUUGAGCAAGUUUCUCAUUGAAUCGAUGCAAUGAAAAGCCUUCACAUACUUCAUCAUGGCCCUGUAGUCUCUGAGGUUGUAGAAAUGAAGGGCACAACUCUCUAAAAAGUCCUGUUCCACUUUCUCUAUUUCUUUACUUUUCUUCUCAGUUCCCUGCCUUUUCCAAUCCUCAAUGUAUCGCAGACCCAUUUUAAAGAGUUUUUCUUCAGCACAAAUGGACAAGCACUUUGAGAAAAUAUUUGCCCUUGCAUAUGCCUCCGCUGCAAGACUGUAGCACCGAGCAAGAGAGAAACACUCUCCAGCUUUCUCCAAAGCAGAUUCUCCACAUUUAUCCAUAUAUAUUCUACCUGUUGAAGCAUAAAUAAAUUUGAUGUCAGUCUCAUUUAUAGAGUGCUGAUGUUCAGAAGAUAAAACAUAGCAAAGGGACAUUUGGAAGCUGCCAGAAAUGCUCUUGUACAGCUCAGCUCUUGUACGGCUCAACUAUAUUCUCCAAUGUCAAGAGAUGAAACAGGAUCAACGUCCGUAGGUGGCUACAAUACCAAGAAGUUUUUGACAAACCAUAGUCAACAUGGAGUAUUGCAACUGACAGCCACAGCUUUUUUUUAAACUUAUAGGUCUGGUCAGUGUUAAGAACUUAGCAGCUCAAAUUUUUCCAAACUGCUGAGAGAGCAGAGACAGGUUAUCAUAUAGAAAAUAAUCAACUUCCAAGCCAGGACAUUAAUCAUGAAGUCAACAUUAGUAGCACUUGCUCAAAAUUCACCAAAAGCAUUUCAAAUUAACAAGUGAGAUCGAACUACUUUUUUUUUUAAUAUUGAAAGAGGAAAAUCAAUUAAACUGGUAAACAAGAGCGUACCACACAUGCAAAAUACUACAUGCAGAAGAAUGCGAAGUCAAAUUUCCUCUCUCUCUUAGGCAGCUUUGACAUAGCUACAACAAGAAGAAAAGUGAAGAUGCGGCAUAUCUCCACCUUAUCAUUUUGAAAGAAAUGAAAAGAAAAAUGAUACCUGCUAUCUCAUAUUCCUUCAACAUGUAGAAACACUCCGCUGCAGAGUCGGCCAUUCCAAUUGUUUCAUAGAUCUCAGCAGCCUGCCUUCGAAGGUCAGAAGCCUCUUGUGGAUUUGAAACGUGCUUGAGAUCUGCAUCUGCUUUGAAAGCGGAGGCCUUAGCCAAUCUCUCCCCGUAUGUGUACCUUGCUCGUUCAAAGCACGUUAUUGCCAUUGGGUAUUUACCGUCACGUAAGAGCUUGCAAAGUUUAUUAAAAAGAAAAAAAAAAAGAGAGAGAGAGAUCAUUAGCUUCCUCAGAGAAGGUGAAAAGAAGAAAAAAAGAAAACAUAGUCCUCCCUUAUAGGAAAAAUCAGAGGUGUAGACUUACACCAAAACAAUGCACUGUCAUUGACCUGACAACCUCAAAUGAGGAAAAAGAUCAUAGAAAUAUUCCUAUCAUGUUGUUUAUCCAUUGUAUGUCUAAAUGAAGUAUUAGCCAAACUAUUAAAAAACGAAUAAAGCUGGCAAAUCGAUUGCCAUAUCUGUACCAUAGAACGUCCACAUUCUACACACUUUUUUUUCUUUUCAGGAUCAGUCAUACUUUUGCAGUCACUAUGGUCAUUCCAAAAUCCCUAGCAUUCACAGAUCAUGUUGACUCCAAAUGAGGUGAAAACAACAAUUCUGUGAAGAGGAAACCGCCAAUAAAGGCAAAACAGAAAAACAGCGAACCUUAAAACCUUGUGACUUCCACUCCUCUGGCGUGCUCCUGACCUGCAUUGCUUCUGCAAGGGUAUGAUCUACCAACCUGACUUGAAUGAGGCACUUCUUCUUCCAGUAGUCGAACAUUGGCUUCGAGAACUCCAAGGCAUUCUCACAAAUCCACAAUCUUUGCCUUGUCCGAGUAAUUGAGACAUACAAUUGUUUCAAUUCAGAGCAUAAUAUAUUGUGUUUCGCGUCAUCGAAACUUGGGGAAGACCAUUGAGAGCUGUGAUCAAGCAAAGCUUGCUCCUUCAUGUAUCCAUAAAUGACCCUCCACUGACUUUUUAGAGGUGAUGUGCCAAAGAAGUUGUACAAUAAGACAUCCUACACAACAUCACGGCAAAAAAGUUUCAGGUCAGAACAUCUGAUUUAUGACCAAAAUGACAGAUUUCAAGUUUCAUGAAUACAUGAACAAUUUUAAAAAAUUUAGCAAAAAAAAUCUGGACUCAUUUCAACACACCAGCCUAUCAAGAACAGCCGUAAAGUCGCAAGAUCAUUGAUAUUGUCUAUUAACCUAGAGGAUGAUGUUUUUUUUUUUUUUUUUUAGUCAGUCCUACUCUAUUCCUACUCUACACUCACUCUCAGACUUUUGCCCUGCCUCUUGCAGGGCGUGGGAGUCGAAACCCACUUCUGAAACUUACGCGUCCCCACCCCAUCCCUCCCUGAGAAGGUGGGGAUUUGAACCCCUCACCUCCCCCUUCCAUGUUGGAAGAAUGGCCACUGGGGCGAAUCCCAGUGGUUUAGAGGAUGAUGUUGACAUGAGACAAAUUCUACGUUAUGAGUAUCUAGAUGCCAUUGUCUACAUAACAAAAAAGGGUAUAGUAGAAUGAAAAUGCCAAUCCAAGCUUCUUACAGAGUAACAGCUUGCAGCAAAUUGGUCAUGACCCAUUAAAAAAAAAAAGGAUCUUGAAAUCUCUAUGCUGCUCCUAUUAAUAUCCCAUAGCAAACAAUCCAACCUGACCCACACCUACCUGAAAUUCCAACCCCUUGCACUCCACUAUCGUCAGAACUAGCGCUUGCCCUCCCACGAGGUUUGAAAUUUCAUUUCUAGAGUGAUCAUCUCGAACCAAAAUAACCUGCUCUGCUCCAAAGCCAACAAAAUUACCACUAAAAUCACGGUUGCCAAAAAUUGAUAGUAUGGCACUUUCGUCAUUCUCUGAUUCAAGUAAAAUUGGGGCUUCCCCACAUAUAAAGCUAGUCUCAGGGCUUAAAGCAUCAACGGAUAAGGGGAAAAAAUGGUAAAGAAGAUCAACAACACUCUGCGCCAGUUUGAGUAUACCAGCAUGAGUGCGGAAGUUUUGGCUCAAAUGGAAAUUUUUUGAUAGACAUCCCUUUUCCAUUCUGAUAUCAGGUCCAUCCAUUGAAUCCAUCAAGAACUCCUUGUAGAAAAGGGACCUUAUGUCUUCAAACCUGAAGUCUAUUCCCCUUGCAAUAGUUUGUGCAGUGUCACCAGAAAACACAAAGCCCCCAUCAACAUUUCUACAGAUAUACUUGAACAGUGAAAUUUGCCUCAUGGUGAGAUCCUGCACUUCAUCAAUAUAUACAAAAUCCACCACGUUACCAGCAAACUGCCCAUGAAAAAGACGGCAAUGAAGAUCACUGACAAGAUCAGCCAAAUCAAAUUCACCAUUUUUCAUUUUCAUCUUUUCAUAAUCCUCAAAAGCAUCAUAAAUUUCUUCUCUUCUCUGAAUACUCAGAGUGGAGACACGACCCUCUGAAAGAGAAACAUAAGCUGGUCUGUCAAGUUUGCCUUCACAACCAUCUGCUGGUGGAAGACCUCCCUUUAUGUGGGACAUUAUUUCAGUGAAGACUCUAGAAGGAUCAAGCCUCCUCCUUAUCUUGUCAUUGAAGUGAGGCCAAUAAACAGCACGAAACUUUUCGUAAGUAACCUCCUUUGCUCUUAGAAGACUUUGUAAGGCCACUGGUCUAGAACUGAAGGAUUGGCCACGACAAAAAUCCCUUAGAUCGGGGAACCUUUCAAAGAAUGAAACCCCCACAGUUCCGUCUAGCAUUAUCAGAAGCUUUCGAAAAGUUAUAACAAGGGGAUACGAGUUGGGAGAUAUAUCUAAAAAUGAAUCCGGGAUAUCCUUGAAUAAUGCUGCAUCAUCAACAAUCUCAUCAACUGAAGAGCUUUUUACUCUAUGUUUAGCACCAAUGCUGGAGCUGCAGGAUUAAUGAAGCCAGCAAUUAGAAACGGAAAAAUAUAUUUUUAACAAACUUACAGGAAAUUAGAACACGCUGUUGCACCAAGAUUAUAAUGAUAUACUAUGAGACAUGGAUAGCAUUUACAUCAGCUGGCAAUGAAAAUCUUCCCCCGCGGCAAGAUUCGUAGAAUAGAUGGUCCUUUCUCGAUUCUAAUUAUAAUUGCACACGUUCAUUUAAAGUACGCUUUUCUUUUUAUACGUACAAUGCUACAAUCACAAAAUUUAAUACGAAAGUUUCCAAUAAAAUGGGAUUGCAAACUAAAUAGUUGGCACAAAGACCAGAAUAAGGAAUAUUGCCGCACAAACUAAUGUUUAGUUUCAGCGAGCAGAUGAUGUCGAUCUCUAACGUGCAAUGAUUAAAUCUAUUUUCUAGCACCCAAGCAUGGCAAAGUACUGAUUUGACCCAUGCACUCAUGCCACAUGUUAUAUUUCCUACCGAACUCUAUAAAAUGAAGUAUCUUGGUUGUGCGUCUCCGCUAGGCGGAAAAUAGUUGCAUGCCAAAGGGGUUAUCUUCUUCUCCGGACUAAUUCAUAAAAAAAAAAACUUGACAAUCCAUUAACCCUUGCAUAUGUUUGUUCAUUGUAAAAAUUGCAGAAUAUUUAUUCUAUUGUUCCAACAUCUUCCCAUGACAUUUUAUGUACCUUCUAAGUUGAGAUACAUGUUGUUUGACCGCAAAACAUAAUUUCGCACUGACAGUCACAAAAAGCUGGCGCAAUACACAAUCCUCUGCUCCUUCACUGGUUUCCUCAACAUUGAUUUCCAGGGAGGCAUCUUUGCUGUGGCUGACACCACUUUGGAUUUCCUGAAAUCCCUUGGUUGCUUCAUCAUGCAGUUUCUCGUUUCUAAACAACUUCAUUGUCAGGACCGUAGUUUUCCCGGUUCCAGAUCGCCCAAGUAUAAAAGUGCUUCUGGGAAAAAGAAUUAUCUCCUGUUCUUGCUCUGUUACUUCAAACGGAAGACUUGCUUCAUUACCAUCACUGUCAUCGAGCAAAUAUCUGACAAUAUCUGAUGAUAAGGGGUAGAAUUUCAUCAGAAGCAAACUCUCGCUCACUUUCAUGUUCUCUGCAUACAACCUACGAUCUGAAGCAUCAGCAUCAGAACCACUCCCAAAUCGAUCUUCACUAGGACUUCGAUAGCGGACAAAAUCGAAAGUACACGCCCAGGUCUUUGGAACUUGCAGAUCCCUAUAAUAGGAAGAGGCGUGUGAAAUGAAAAAAAAUAGGGGGAUAAGAUCAAUUCAAGAUAUUUGAGUCAUCUAUCUGGAAAAGAAUGCUUUCUAAUUUAGUAAGUGAUGUGCUACCUAUCUUCAGUAAGAAGAAAUGAUCAGACUUACCCCUCAAAGCAUUUCUCAUUGCAACGACUAAUAAAAUCAUCACUAUAUGUCUCGAAAAUGCUGUCCAAACGUUUGACCAAUUUUGCCACAUCCUCUAAAGGCAUUACAUCCCAUAUCUUCAGGAUUUGGAUGUAUCUCAGUUCCUUUACAACAUCAAUCGUGCAUAAGACAUAGAGACCUUCAGCCUUAAAUUGUCUCACGAUAUGAGAUGAGUGUUCACAAAUUAUAUCCACAUUCCUCUUCUUUGGUCUCCAGGCACUGGAUAGUCUUGACAGAAGCAUAAUGAUUGACAUCUUUAUCCUGAGUGAUGCCAGCUUUCUGAAAGACUUCAGGAAGUUGUCACUGAAAAUAACCUGAUAAGACCAAAGCAUGACAAUAAGAUAUGUUGUCACAAGUUCUAUAAAACUCGAUGCUUAUUUUGAAAAAUAAAUGUAGCCAUAGAAUACUGUUGAGCAAAGUUUUUUACCUUCCACCUUGCAUUUCUGAAAAGUACACUGCUUCUGUCAAGUAGAUCAUCAAGCUGGUCAUUCUCUUUCUUCACAUCUAAGAUGGCUUUAGCCAAAUCCUUGUCAUCAUCAACAUUGAAGAAACAUCCACGACUCUUCGCAUUGUGAACCACAGCUUUCCACACAGAACCGCUUUUCGUCAAUGUUUUCUCAUUUCCCAGAAUCCACAGACAAUACCUAUAGAUAGGAAAUUAACUCGGGGAUUUACUUGCUAUAUCACUCUAAAAAUGUUAUUUGACACAGUUAAGAGGAUAGAGUACCUGGCCCUGGUAAGAGCAACAUUGGUUCUCUUAGUACUGGACAAGCACCCAAUAUUCCCAUGCCAGUUUGAUCUUACGGUUGAUAUUAUAACAAUGUCUUCUUCACCCCCUUGGAAUCCAUCCACUGACUUCACCUUGACCGUAAAGCCCUUGAUAUUUUCAUACUUUUUUCCAAGGUUAGCUAGAACUGCAGCAACCUGAGCUGUGUAAGGAGAUACGACACCUACUGUCAGAUCUUCUUCUGACCCAUUCCAAGCUGCAAAGAGAAUAAAACCAUCACUACAGUGACAUUAUUUUUGGCGGGGUGCAAAACUUUGAAAGAAAUAUCUUAGGAAAAGAAAUAUUAAUGGCCGUCAUAAUCUACACCUAUAUGAUUAAGUAAUACAUGUAAAAUCCACGUGCUCAAAGCAAUACGUAUAAAAUUCUCUUGACAUACCUCUGUACAGAUUCCUGACUAUCCUCGAGAUAACUUCCACCUCAACAGGGUUUCUAAGGCUACAGCCAUCAUCACCGAUUUGUUCUUCUCCAUCAGGAAUAUUUAUGAACGAGUAAGGGCCAAACGUUGGCCAUGGCAAAUGACUUUUUCUGUAACUUUUGCUCUUCACAUUUGGCCCAUCCAAAAUUUGGUUUUGAUAAAAUUUUGAAGUCGGAAACAGACUUAUUGAUGGAUGCAUCCGGUAUUGUAUAUUGAAAAGUUGCCUUGAAUAACCCAGUGAAGUCAAUCGUUCAAACAGACUCCUUCCAAAACCAACCUGAUUAGAAACCUUUAAAAAAAAAAAAAAAAAAACAUGAUAUCAAAUUCAACAGGCGUUAGGUAUAGAAAAUUUAGCCCAUCUAAGCUGAAAUGAAGAGAAGGAGAUUACAAAUCUUACAAAACCAAAUACAAAGUUCCUUUUCAGACAUUUUAACAUUACCUUGCUUUCGACCAUAGCAGGCAACUGACACUCAUCUCCAACCAAAAUCAGAUGCUUGACACCAGGGAUUUGCAGAGGAAUUACUGACUCACAUUCCUUCAACUGGGCUGCCUCAUCGAUUACCAGUAAAUUGAGAGGCUCCAUCUUCACAGAGUGCAGCUUAUGUGAACAAGAAGCAGUGCAAAAAAUCAGGGAUGCACGUCGAUAACAGAAGUUGGCUAUCAUGCCCUUACUCACAAAGUUUGGAAGUUUUAGAUCCUUCAGAGAAUCACGAACAGUUAGCAACAUGGAAAGGCAUUCCUGUCUCUUCAUAUAUAUAUCAUAUAGUGGACCCCUGGAUGUCUCAAACGAAAACAGGCCAAGUUCAUCACGUGAAAGAGUUAUCUCCAUCAUCUCUGAAUCCAACUUCUCUCCACAUAAUAAAGAUUCAAAAGAAUUUAGUAAGUUAAGGAGGGAUGUAAUAUUCUGGAAUUUAGUUCUGGAUGUAUGAGUACAGAAAGUAUAGAGGCAUGCUCGCAGGGGCUGGACAGUUUCCUUGAAUUGGUCCCUGAAAAACUCAAGAAAUGAUUUGAGCUCACAGUUACCAUCUUCUUCACUGCUUCCACAUUCGCUCCCAUCAUCACCACUUCCUAGUUUCCUUCUUUUUGCGUGUUCGUUUUCCAAAAAUACGCGGUAUUGACGGACACAGUCAGCAAGAGUAUCUAUCAAGGAAGUUAGACACUGAUGCCAACCAGUAAAUUCAGAAAUGCACUCUACACGAUGUUCCAAGUAUAUAUCUUCAAUGUCGGAAUCAACUUUCAGCCGUUCCUUGUUCCCAAAAAUAAGCAUGUCUCCAAAGUAACAGGGCAAACUUUCCGUUUCAGUGCUUAUACCACUAUCUGAUUCCUUUAGCAGCUUCAGAACACGAGUUGCCACUUCCUUGAUGGCAACAUUUGUAGGAGCACAAACAAUGGUUCUAUGUUUCCUUUUCAAGAGAGUAAGUAGCAGUGUAGCGACAGUUUUAGUUUUCCCAGUUCCAGGAGGACCCCAUAUCAGGUCGACAGAUGGCUUGUUCUCACAAUGGAGUUUACUGAGACAGGCCCCAACUGCUUUCUUUUGGGAUUCAUUCAGAUCAUGGCUCAAUCUCUCGUCAAGGCUCUCAGUCGCAGAACCAUUACCUUUUGUAACACAAAGAUUAGAAACUUUAUCAGCCUGCAACCAAAACAUAUUUCUUGUGAUAAUCCAGACCAUGUAAAUAUGGCAGAAGGUUCUGAAACUUAAUUGGUGUUAAUAUGAUAUAAAGAGCAUUGCAUAGCACAAACUUAAAUCCCGUGAAAAAUAUAGUACAGAAAAUUUUAAGGUCUAGUACCAAUGAGUAAGUUGCCUCCAAGGAAGUAAUUUGCCCUAUUCAAGACAUAAUUCAUUCAUCUUCAUAUCAUGAAACGGACCAAAGGUACAAAUCGACAGGAAUAAACUGAAGCUUUGAAGCUUAGAGGAAUAUAAUAGCCAUUUUAAGUCUAAAUGGACCAAAGGUACAAAAAAGGAAAGUCAUACCACCAAAUCUGUGCAGAGAACUUCCUUCAAAAUAUCCAAGUUCAGAGACAUAUGCAACGCAUUCCAUAUCCUUCUGUUAGUGACUAUAUUUAUCAGGAAAAUUGCAUACAUUGGCUUCCACGAAUUAUUUACUUCAAGGUUCAAUAAUGUCUCCACUUCAAAGUUUGUCGAUGACGUUGCCUCAUCCUCUUCAUCGUCUUCUCCAAUCAUCCUAACUAAUGCGAACGCCCAUCUUCUUCCGAACCUCUCCAAGUCAGGAACAGUUGCUGGCUUAGCAUCAGUUAGAAUCAAGAUGUCUCCAGGCAAAGUUUUGUAAGUUUCCUUGCCACGAGUGUUGGAUUCAUUGUUCCACCGACCGGCCUUAACAGCAUAUGAGUUCCCACUUCCCCUGCAUUCCACACAUUCAAUAACCUCAGUGAAAGGCAGCAAAGAAAUAUUUUUCAAACUCGAGCACAGACUCGCCCGGGUUUCUUCCAGUAAAGGGUAGACAUACGAUCCGAGAUAAUCCUGGACCGACUGAAAUUGAUCCGGUAUAGUCUCCACCUACAAAAACAGCUCAGCCAAUUGUCAAAUAUGACCAACCAACCUUGACAUUUCAAAAGAAUACUUGGACCAAAUUCCAUAAAACAUAACAUAUACUCCUAAAAUGCCUAACGAGCUUGCCGAACAAAGUAGAAUCAUAAAGGGUUCUAUUCUACUCAGUUGAAUGCAAGGUUCUUAUAAGGCAGGCUUACUAAAAGCACAAACACCAAAAAAAAAAAAAAAAAAAAAAAAGGAACGAACAGACAUCAUUGGAAAAUUCUCAGGUAAACACAACGUUGUCGUUGAACUUAAACGAAAAUAAACCAAAAGGGCAUGAUAAAAAGAAAGGAAGAAAAAGAAAAAGAAAAAGCAAAGAUCGGGGAAGAGUAGAAAGAAACCUUGUCAUGGUAGAGGUUUUCGUUGAGAAUGUCGUGAAAAGACCAAGAGAAGACAAAAUCAGUCAGGUCAUUAGUACCGUGUCUCCUCCUCCUGCUCAAACCACCCUCAGCUAUCUCCACACCCACCGCUCUGUUUGUGCAUCCUCCUAAAUCCAUCUGAACCCACGCACUAAAAUCUUCUACUUGUUUCUUUCUCCCCUUUUCUUGCCCAUCAAAGCACCAGGGAAAAAUCGCUCUGAGGUUUCAAGGAACUUUCGAGGCGAAUAUUGCGCACAGCUUGUACGGACAUCAUCAGCGCUUUUUGAGCUCCGAAGUGAGCAUUCUUAGCGACGAAGAAGAAUGACACGGGGAAGGCAAAGGCUACCAAAGGCGAAAAGAUGGGGGUACCUUGUCUUCCGAACACGGUCUGAUGGCUUUCUUUACUGCCCAAAUGCUUGUAAUGAUUCCCGCUUUUCUUUGCUUAUCCAUGUUUCGAUUUCUUGCAGCCUAAGAUUCGUCAACUGUUUUCUGUCCGAAAUGUAUCAUCGCAUGAGUGAGGUUAUUUUUUGAAGAUAUUAAAAUUAUUUGCUGAUACUGAAAUAAUAAGUAGAUGAAAAAAAAAAAGGAUAAAUCUUAACCAGAAAAAUAAUGACAAGAAUAGUCCCUGCACUUUAAUAUAAUGUGCAAUUUGAUCUUCGAAAUUUUGAUUUGUUCAAUAUAGCUCUUGAACUUUAACCCAAUAUACAAUGCGAUCUCUGAACUUUUCAAUUGUUUAAAUGUAAUCUCUGAACUUCUGAUAAAUAUUCAAUACAGUCUCUAAACUAUAUGAUAAUAUUGAAUGUAGUUUUUUAAUUGAUUCAAGAGUAGGGAUGACAUUGAACAUUUUGAUACAAAUUCAGGGACUGUAUUUAAUAUGUAUAAAAAAUUUAUGGACUAUAUUAAAAAAAUUAAAAGUUCAUGGACCACAUUAUACAUUAGGCUAAAAUUUAUAGACCACAUCAAACAAAUUGAAAGUUUAUGGACUAAAUUACACAUUAGGCCAAAGUUUGGAGACUAUUUGUGUCAUUUUCUCUAACUAGAAGUAGACAAUGAAUGUGAACAUUCUACUUCAAUCGCUUGACUUUUUUUUUUUGAGCAUCUAUAUUGAUAUAAUAUAUAAUUAAUAUCAUGAAAAUUUUUUAAUCAUCAAAAACUCUAAACCGGUACACAUGUCCCAAAUUAAUUUUUUAACUAUAAAAAAACCUCAAACUGGUAUAUUUAUAAUAAAUUUACCUUCCGUUAAUUUUCAUUAAAUUGGAAUAAUGCCACGAAAAAUAAUAAAUUGAUACAUAUGUGAUAAAUGAAAUGUAAAAUCUUAAAUUGGUAGAUCCAUUCUAACUACCUUGUAUCAUCUAAAUCAGCAAUUUAAUUGUAAAAUUUAAAAAGUACUAAUGAAAAGUAAAUUUAUCACAAGUGUAUCGGUUUUUUUUAUGAUAAAAAAUUAGUGAAGUAAAUUUAUUACAUAUGUAUCGAUUUUGAAUUUUCUGUGGUAUUAACCCUAUAUCAUUAAAAACUCUUUCAGAGAAUUGCCGGAAAACUCAAUAUUCAAAAUUGUAGAUAGUUAGAGACGCAUCCUCCUCAUUAGUUUUGCCAAAUUCUCGAUGAAGCAAGGCUACAGUCAGAUGCCUUUUCCGUCGAGUAUUGUCAAUCAAAGAAGAAUCAAAUUGGUAAUUACUAUCAUCUCUCAGUUACUUAUCUCCAUAACGAGUUAUAAUAUUUUAUGGACUUCCGAAACUUUAUUGAGAGUGUGUUUUAGGAAAGUAAAUGCAAUCACUAUGUUAUGAGUGUGGUUCUUUCGCUCUACUUGAAGUUCUACUUCCAUUAAUUAUAAAAUCACAAAUUAUUUUUUAUGUCUUGAUUGAUUCCGUACGACAAUAUGCAUUAAAAAGUUUGCACUGACGUUGUUUCAAGCUCAGCUUGCACAAGUAUAUUCGAUAAGUGCAUUUAAAGCAUCUAGCCUUGGUUAAUACAUUCUUAUAUAAAAUGUUGAAAUAUAACAUUUCAAAAUAUUAAGAUGCACGAGUCAUUAUCAACAAAUCCAUAUUAAAAAAAAAAUGUGAUAGGAACAUCACUUUAAUAAAAGGCCAAUAGAGUAAAAGCUUUUAAAAGGCUAGUCGCUAGUCUCACAAAAUUCAACCAAUUUCGCGCCGAAAGCUAAAAAGACGUGAUAAGUUCAGGAAUCUAAUCAUGUACAAUGAGUCAAUGACAUGAUGAUGAAUAGAUACUAUGUUUUAAAGCUUCAAUUCAUUUGUAAUAUGUAAGGCCCAUUGUCAUCAUGCUAUGAGAGUUUUUAUGAUGUUGGCUAUAUUAAUUAAUAUUGAAAUUUACCUUUUUAUAAGAUUGUCUAAUGAGGCGAGAUAUAAAGAUUUUUAAUUACUAUAAUAUGAGAUUGGCUUGCGCGGGUUGAAUAGAGCUCGGUUUGUAAUGAGAAGACAUGUGACUGAAAACUCUAUAUAUAAUACUCAAGUAUCUUUUCUAAUCUCGAUAUACAAAUAUCUUAUAUAAAGAGUAGUUGUAGAACGCAAUUUGUGAUGCAUAAUAUCAUUGAGCCAAUAUUACAAUUAGAUCAUUGUUAUUCCACAUUAAGAAUAAUGGAUUUCAAAUCAGAUGCACAAAUCUUUUUGUCUCCAUUUAUUGUGUUCUAAAUUUUAAUUAUGUAGAUCUUCGGAUGGUUUUCACGGCUUGUAUGCACAUGGUGAACCAUUGUGUCACUACGGGGCACACCGGCUUUGCUUCACAAAUACAGGCGCCGCACUAUGAAAUGCUUCGUCCCGAGGCAUCAUGCGACAGAGCCGUCUUGCCUCGAGCCUGGGUGGGUCGUUGUCUUCUCGUCCUCCCUCCGUACAUCGUGCAAUGAUGUUUGUUACUGCAGAAAUGCAUGUAAAAAGAAUGUAAAGCUUUCAUCUUUACCCGUCAAUUCCGCAUUUCAGUGAACUCAUGUCUCCUUUUCUGACUCCGCGAGUCCUAUUCAGGCUAACAACGACAAAAGAAGAGGAUAAGGAAGGGGAAAAGCAAGCAAGCAUCUUGAUUUCUUUCACCCUAGACUGUCCACCGUUUGUCUGCCUGAAAUGUAUCAAAUCUUGAGUAAAUUUACUUUUCAAAAAAUUAAAACUAUUUUUUUUAUAUCGAAAAUGGUAAAUAGAUUGAAAGAUGGAUGAAUUUGAACCUGAAAUUGACGAAGAACAUGAACUUCCCGCUUAUGAUAACAUUAUUUAAUCGUUUCGGUUUUUUUAAAUUUUGAGCAUUUGUGUCGAUGUAUUAUUACAAAAACUUCUCAAAGUUAGAGAUGCCUUCCCAUCGUUGAUUUUUUUAAAUUCUCCGCGGAGUGAGCUGUCAUCAAGGCGUUAUUUGAACAAUUGAAAAUGUUUAUUAUCAAGUAUUUUUAAAUUAAAAGAGAUUCAAUUACGUAACUUCUAGAAUCUCUCAAUUUUUUUUCUCCAUAAUGAAUUAUAACAGUUAUGGACUAUCUAAAUGCUUUUGAGUGAGAUUUUAUUUUUCACUUGGUCUUAAGUUCUAUUUUGAUUCAUUAUAAAAUCACCACUCAUUUUCUACGUUUUCAUUAAUUCAAUAUGACAAUAAGCAUAAAAAAUCUGCACUAACUUUAUUUCAUGUAUUCCUUUCGCAAUAAUCGUCAACAAAUACAUUUAGGGUCUGCAUGGCAAUAUUCCUAUUUCUUUGUUCUUUUCUUCUACGAAAUAGAAAAAGGAAUAGAAAUUCAUUUGAUAAUGUUAGUUAAUUUUUCUAUACUUCGUAAUAGAAAAGUGAUUGGGAAAUAGAUUUAUAAUAGAAACAAGAAGUAGAAAAAAAAUAUCUUAUUGUUUUCGGGAAUAAUUUUUAGAAAUAAGUCAUUUUCUUUCUUUUCUUUUUUUCUCCUUCCUCAUGCUACCGCCACUGUCCGCCAUCGCUUGCCACCUAUCUCCGCCCAACAACCGGCUAGAGGAGGAAGAAGAGGAGAGGGGAAAAAAAAGAGAGAAAAAAUCUCAAAAAAAAUAUUAAAAAAUUAAAAGAAAUUCUACGACAAAAAAAAAAACUUGUGAGUUGUACCAAACACAUUCUUGUUUUUUUCUAUUCUGAAAAUAGAAAUUUUGUACAGUUAUCAAACACGUUAUUUUAUUCAAAAACUAUUCCAGGGAAUAUGAAUAGGAAAGAAUUAUUUUUGAAAAAAAAAAUUGUUCCUGGUAAUAAAAAUAUUACCAACUGCACCCUUCAACUUUGGUAAAUACGUUCCUUAAUAAAGUCAAUAUUUUCAGACAUUAUUAAAGUUAUCUAACACACAAUGCGCUAGUCGUCUAGAAAAUCGUAUAGAAAAAAGAGAUGUGAAAGGAAUAUCACUUUAGAAAAAGUCAGGAGUUCUUUAGACAAAUAGUAUAUAGAAAGCCGCGCUGGCAAUCUCUCGUUUCAUUUGCAAAGCCAAGGAAAAUCCCCCAUUAACCUUACAUACUCAAGUAGUGCCCUUAUUGAGACAAAUGAUAAGGCAAAGACAUCUAUGUUUGAUGUAAAAGUCCACGAAAUGUUCUAUCAAAUUCAUGUGGAACAAAUGUCUGAAACAUUGGUAUAGACAUCCAUAUUGAUAUAUUAUUAAAAACUCUUUAAAAGGUUUGCCCGAAAACUCAACACUUAAAAUUUUUAAUAGUUAAAGACGCCUCAUCCUUAUUAUUUUUGCCAAAUCCUCGACAAAGCGAGUUGCUAUCAGACGUCGUUUUCUAUCAAGUAUUGCCAAUCAAAGGAGAAUCGAUUGGGUAAUUCAUAUCGUCUCUUAAUUAUUUCUCUCCAUAUGGACUUCCAAAACUCCAUUGAGAGUGUGUUUCAGAAGAGUAAAUGCAGUCACUAUGUUAUGCUGUGGAGUGUCGCUCUUUCACUUUGCUUUAAGUUCUAUUUCUAUUAAUUACAAAAUCACAAAUCAUUUUCUACGUUUUGAUUGAUUCAAGACGACAAUAUGCAUUAAAAGGUCUGCACUAGCAUUGUUUCAAGCUCUCCUGGCACGAUUAUAUUGAAUAAGUGCAUUUAAAAUAUCCGGCCGUGGUUAAAACAUUCUUAUAUAAAAAUGUUGAAAUAUAAUAUUUUGAAAUAUUAGCAGAAUCCUUAGAUUUUUAUCGUUAUCUAGCAUGAUGCGUGGAUCAUAAAGAUGUCACGAGAUAAUCACUUUAAUAAAGGGUCAAUAGACUAAAAGCCUUUAUAAAGCUGAUAAGUAAAUUCAAUCUAUCUCGCACCGAAUGCUAAAGAGAUGUAAUAGGUUGGGGAAUCUAUUCACAUUUGAUAUGCCAUUCACAUGAUAAUAGAUAGAUACCAUGUUCCGAUGCUUUGAGUCGGUAAUUUGUAGGACUUGUCAUUAUCGUGCAUGGUGAACCACCGCAUAGCUACCGGCGGAGGUAUCAAAGUCGGUUUAAAACCCAUAUUUUGACUCAUAUUUAAUAGUGUGGGUCGUAAAUGGGUUCCCUUAAAUUUUAAAAACAAGCUUAAGUAGGUUAUAAAUGGGUUACCUAACAAUUUAAAGGGUCUUAAAUGUGUAUUAAAUAGGUUACCUAACAAGCUUAAAUGAAUCAUAAACAAGUCAUUUUUAAUUUUUUUAUUUUUAUUUUUUUUUUAUAACCGAGGAAUCCGCUUGAGCCCCCUUAUGGGGUCACAAGGCCCUACAGUGCAUGGAAUGCCUAGUACCAAUGACUAUACCUUGGGGGUGACUAGCACAAGACAUAUCGUGGCCCCACACUUACAACGCAUUAGCAACCGCGGGUUUCGAACUCUCGACCUUGACGAUGAAAGAGAUACUCGCAACCAACACAGCUACCCGCGGUUGGGUUUAUUUUUCUUUUCUUUUAUUUUUCCUUUAAAAAAAAUACUUUCUUAGCCAGUGGCUGUCAUGAAGACAAUUGGCAAUUGGCCACAGAUGAGGGACAAGCUCACUGACCUUCGGCACCGCAAGGCUCAAGCCUUGUCAAUUUGGCAAGACUCGAGCUAGCUAGAGAGGCCAGUGAGCGCCAGAGGCUAGCGAGCUCGAGCUCGCAAUAUGACCUCUAGCGAUGCUUGAGCUCGCCGGCAUUGAGUAAGAGCUUAGCCUUGCUAGAUUUGGAGAGGUGGAGCCUCACCUGAGGUAGGCUCAGCUCGACUAGAUCCAACUUUGGUUGAUUUUAAUUUUGGGCAUCUGUAUUGAUGUACCAUCACAAAAACUUCUCACGGGAUUGCCUGGAAACUUGAGACUUAAAACUAUCGAUAGUUAGAGAUGUCUCAAAAAAGUGAGCCGCCAACUACACAUUAUCAGAACAAUUGAAUAUGUUUAUUAUUGAGUUUUUUUUUUUAUCAAAAGAGAAUCAAUUACAUAAUUUCUACCGUCUCUUAAUUAUUUUCGUCCCUAGUGAGCUAUAAUAAUUAUAGACUAUAUAAAUGCUAUUGAGUGAGAUUUUGUUUUUUGCUUUGUUUUAAGUUUUAUUUUGAUUUAUUAUAAAGUCACCACCAUUUUCUAUGUUUUCAUCAAUUCAAUAUGAAUUAAAAAUCUGCACUUACUUUGUUUCACGUGAUUCGUUACACAGUGAUCUUCGACAUUCCACAUAUCUAACUUUGGUUGGUACGUUCCUUAAUAAUGUCGGAGUAUGAUAUUCUCAAACAUUAUUAAAGUUAUCUAACACGCAAUGCUCGGAUUGUCGUCUAGUAAAUUGUACAAAAAAAAGAAAUGCAACAAGAAUAUCGCUUUAUUAAAAGUCCGAAAUUCUUUAGACGAACGGCUUUUCAAAAAGCCGUGUUGGCAAUCUCACAUUUCAUUCGCAAAGGCGUGGAAAAUCUGUCCCCAUUAAACUCACAUAAUUCUACGGUACCUAUUAUUGAGACAUAUGACGAGGCAAACAUAUUUAUGUUUGGCGUAAAUUCCACAAAAUGUUAGAUCAAGUUCAUGUUGGACAAAUGCCUAAAACAUUGGUACAGACGUAAGAAUUACUGGUCGACCUAGAGUGACCCCCUGAGAAGUAUAGAUAUUUCAAUAUUAUGACUAUAGUCUACAUUAGACUUAGGAAUCUAUAAUAUGUAUUGUCUGAAGGGGCCAUGAAAACCAUGACACCCGAUUUUAAUAAUAAUCAAGUAUGCAUAUAAACGAUGUCCAUAACUUGUAAUUUAUCAAUCGAAGAAAAGGUAGAAAGAGAUUUCUUCCAUCUUGGAGGAAAGUAUAGCCUUAUCCAAUGUUCAGCCUAACAUUUUAUCUUACUAUAGUGGUCUUUCAACAUGUGUAAAGGAGAUGAAAUCAAUCCCACUUACAAAAAUUUGGGAUUCGAAAGUGCCUAACUCUGGCUCGAUUACGAUUUAUGAUCAUGUCAAUAAGGCCUUGUUUGGUAACCAUCCAAACAAGGCCAAAUUCCGAUUCUUUGUUCUCGGGAGUAGUUUGGGAACAGAAUCGCGUUUGGUAAAAUUUUGUUCCCGGGAACAAAUUUCUUUUUUUUUUUGUUCCAAGAAGUAGGUUUGGAAUAGAAUCAAGAAUUAAAAAAAAAAGUUGAUUCUUGUUCCGGGAACAAAUUUAAGAAUCAAAACAACUCUUCUUCUUCCAUAUUCUCUUCUUCUUCUUCUUCUCUUUUCUUCUUCUUCUUCUUCUCUUUUCUUCUUCUUCUUCAUUGACCGCUGUCCGCCGCUGCCGCCUUCCACCACCGUCCGCCAGUCACCGGACCUCGCCCUGGCCGGGCGAUUCUCCGAUGAGCUCGCUGGAGGCAAGCCCAGCCACCGGCGAGGCUGGGCAAGCCUUGCGACGCCCAGCCCCGCCGGUGGUCAAGCGGGCCUCACCUAGCCCCAGCGAGGCCAACCCUCGGCAAGGCUAGGCGAGCCUCACCCAGCCCUGCUGAGGCUCCCCUAGUCCCCACGGUGGCCAAGCAGGCCUCGCCCAGCCCUGACGAGGCCGGCCUCACUGAGGGCCGGUGAGGUCGCCGGCCCUCAUCUGGCCGAUCGCCGAUCCGGCGACCAGCCUGAAGAAGAAGAAGAAUAGGAGAAAAAAGAAAAAAAGAAAAGAAAAAAAAGGAAAAAAGUAUAAAAAUUAUUUAAAAAUUAAAAGAAAUUGAUUUGGAACAUAAUCAAUGAGCACGGUACCAAACACAAUUCUAUACCAGAAUCAGAAAUGUUGGACAGUUACCAAACGGCUUAAAAUGCUUAGAAUCUGUUCCCGGGAACAGAAUAAAAAAAAAAUCAUUUCUGAUCAGAAUUUACUUCCGGGAACAGAAUCGUUACCAAACGCGUUCUAAGUGGCCAGAUUUUUGUUUAUCAUUCGUCAUUUAAUCUGACAUCACAUCAUCUACAGCACAAUUAUGUAUGUGGCGAAAAAAAAAAAUCUAAGUCGUAUCAUAACAAUUUUACAUUACAUAUGAGAAGUCAAAUCAACUUUGAAAAGCCAAUUGGUGUGUAUGGCGCCUGGAAAUGGAGUCCUGAAAUUUCGAUGUCUUGAAGGACAUCAACAAGCUGCCCCUUUGUGUUGCUGGGUGUCCCAUCCCUCAGUAUCUCGAAGUUGAUCCCGUAAUUGGAACUCGAACCGGGUUCUUGGAGGAGAUCGUUUUCGCGCCAUGCAUGUUGACCGUGAUCAUCGAUGGUCGCCGACAUUUGCCCAAAUAAGCUUUGCUUAACAUGCCUCUUAUCCCGCUGGGCCCUGAUGGCCUAACAUGGUACCUAGACCUGAUUUUGGUACUUUAGUUCCCUUCUUUGAGUAGAUUGCUUUCGCAAUUGCCUUCUCCUCCGGGAAUUUGAGAUCUGCAGUGCUUAUGACAUAGGUUUGAGCAGCUUUCCUCCAUUCAGAAGUUACCAGAUCUCUGGCCUUGACGGUCUUUAAGCAUCGAAUAGGGCCUUCCGCCUAUUUCAAUGGCCUUGAAGACAGCCACUUCCACGGCUUGCUCUGCACACCCUGGUUUAGAAGUUUCAGAGGCCGAGUGAAAGUUUUGAGGUUUCAGUUGUCCAUCAGCACUUGGCCCCAGCAAAAGAACCCUAAUUGAGAUAUUGCUCAAUUUAUCUGGUCACACUGCCCACAUACUCUGUUGAUGUUAUAAUCCUAAACGAUGGAUAUGCAUUGCCGGCACAAAGCUAUUUGAUUCUGGCAUUCUACUAGGGGAAUGUCCCUCGACCAAGGGUGUCCACGUGACCAGUGGUCUGAAUCCUAGAUGCCAUUGUCUUUGGUGGGAACGAUGACUAUAUGACUUGUUGCAGCAUACUCUGUUGCCUGUUGCUACCAAGUAAACCCUUGACUACAUUCCGUCGAGCCAUGCCAACUUUGGUUGUGCUUUUGUGGACUCCUGAAGGGCAAUCUUGCGAAGGGGGACUCCUUAGGUUAGGCUAUCCCUUGGUGGGAGUUCGCAUGACUAUCACGCCCAUCUGGAAUUUGUCCUCCAUGCCGCGACUUCCAUCAACCUGCUCAUCAGGCCCAAUCUGCACGAUACUUUCUUCUCUAGGGGUGAGGUCAUAUGAUGCCAUUGCCAUGCGCUCAUGCAUGAGAAAAAUCCCUUAAAAGCAGGCCGCGCGCUGAUCAGUUGCUUGAGAAAGAAGCCUAAUGCCAUCUGCACAGGGUCGACAGUCCUGCAUAUUCUUGGAGUAGCCCCCCAGAGAUGAUGAUUCAAGAUCAGAUCAGCCUCAGUGCGGGCCAUGGGAUCGACAGCUAGUCUUUGUUCUACAAUGAUAUGUGAUAUGCUAGCUCCUUUAAUCGAUAUAUGUCGAACAAAUCUGCUGGAUCGACAGCUAGUCUUUGUUCUACAAUGAUAUGUGAUAUGCUAGCUCCUUUAAUCGAUAUAUGUCGAACAAAUCUGCUUGAAGAGCCUGAUCGAAGAGAUCCUUGUCUACUUUCAUCGUUUCCUUCUUUUUCUAGAAAUCUCAUCUAACCAAAUCCGCUCGUUAUUGUUUUACAAUGUACUAGCAUGGAAAGGAGUUCCAUGCUACUAAUUGCAAACGAGUUGGUAGUGUCGGUAACUUGUUCAUCUAGUUGCGUAUUGGUAACUUUCAACAAGUUAAAACAAAUAUCAAAGUUUCUUUAUUCCUCAAAUUUACCAACCAUUUUAAUAAUCUACCAACAUUUACUUUUGUGACUUACCAACCAUUUGAAAUUACUAAAUCUUAAUUUGAUUAAUAUACCAACAUUCAGUUAUCAACUUUGUUUUAGAAACUGAUUUCUUUGUGAUUUACCUGUGAUUACCAAUGCUUUCGAAGCACCAACUUCAUUUAAAAAUUUCCCACCUUAGUUUCACUCACAUAUCACCAUUCAUCACAUUAACAAAGUGCACCACAACAGCAAUGGGUACAAGCCGAGCCAGGCCGGCCGGCAGCCCCCCCGUCCCGGACGCCCUAGCUGAUGAUGAUCUAGGGAAUGUCCACUUCCCUGGCCGUGCACUAUCACCGCGGCAUAGUCCCCAUAGGCCUCAUGCCCAGAGAAGUACGCGCUAGAGUUUCCCCCCUUGAGCUUGUUCAGAGAGAAUGAGUACUUCAGCGUGUCCUUGCCAGAUUCAAGCCCAAAGGUCCUUGUCUAAUUGGACAUAGCAUUGUAAAAGCCGUAGCAAUAUGCGGCCUGGUCGGUGUUACGCUCGAUGACGCUGCCGAAGAACUGAACUGCCUUGCUCCUGGUGUUCAUCCAGGCCGGGACACCCCACGGUAGGUCGCCGCCCGGCCUCCUUAGGGCAUCCCUGGGUGGGAACAGCCCCCCGGCCUCCAUGGCAUUGUCCAGUAUCUCAAAAGUCAGGCUGCCUCCUAUGAGCCGGAACAGUUUCCAGUAGUUGCCCGCCGCCCUCGUCUCGGGCUCCAUAGCUGGGAGUCUCGCCGCCGCAGAGCUCGCACAGAGGCACGAAACAUGCUGGCAACGUCGGGACCCGUCGCCACAGCCUGCUUCCUCGAGAUGUACACCGUCUGAUGAAUUUUCCUAUUGCACGAAUGCACGUAAAAACUACUUCUUUUCCCGUCAUUCCACGCCUGGGUGGGUGGAUUCAGCUCUCUCUUUUCGGACCAGGCAAGUCCGAUUCAGGCAAAAGAUUUUAGAAGAAAAUGACGAGCAGAACCGAAAAAGAAAUCUUGAAUUCUUGCACCCUAAGCUUUCUACAUAUACUAGGCAUGUCCACUGUUUUUUCCUGUUCGAAAUGUAUCACUUGCGCGUCUAUAUCUAUCUAUUGUUACAUGCGCUUUUCAAAGGAUUGCCUAGAAACUUCGCAUUUAAUAUUGUGCGUCUAUAUUUGUCUAUUGUUACAUGCGCUUUUCAAAGGAUUGCCUAGAAACUUCAAAACUUAAGUAGUAGAUAAUUAAAGAUGACUUCUCCUUAUCAGUUUUGCCGAAUUCUCAAACAAAAAUAGCUGCUGCCUAGAUGCCACCUAAACAAUUUGGCGUGUUUUCCAUUCGAGUAUUAUUAAUUGAUGGAAAAUCAAUUAUGUAAAAUUCUACCAUCUCUCGAUCAUUUCUCUUUAUGACCAAGUUUAAUAUUUAUAGACUUUCUGAAUGUUAUUGAGUGCCCACUUCAGAAAAAUUAAACAUGGUCAUAAAUUAUCUAGAUAAUAAGCUUUUAAAAAAUCGAAUCGGUAAUUUCACACGAUUUAAUAAGUUCAUAUGAACAGCUGAGCACAAUCUAUUUGCAUAAACUUUAGAUAUUUCUAUACAUUAUUGAGUUUAUUGAAACGAAUAUAUCUAUGUGGACAUAAAAAUCCAAGAAAUGAUUUCUUAAUUCUACUUUCAGAGUGAACCCCUGGAAAAAAACCCAAAAAAAAAAGACCCGAAUAUUUUAAUUAAAAAUUCGGAUUUUCUCUAUCGGUCUAGUAAAAUCCAGCAUUCAGACCCGCAAAAUGAGAAGGAAACCCGAAAUCCUGCGCUUGUUCUCCUGAAUCCUCCUGCGCCGUGCUUCCGCCGCACGCCGCCGCCGAACCCCGCCGGUCUCCGCCGCCGCAGCCCGCCGGUCCCUCCGUCCGUCCAUAACCUGAAGGUGACUCUCUCUCUCUCUCUCUCUCUCUCUAUCGUGAAUUCUCUUCCUCUGCAAUUUCGUCGUCGCCGGGGUCUCUCCGUCGCUACCUCGCCGGACGCGCGAAUCCCUAAUUCGCGGCGGGCGGCUGUCUCCGGCGCUCCUCUCUGGCGGAACCUCGCCGAUUGCUCAUGCGCUAGGAACCUCUGCGGCAGGAAAUUCGAGGGAUGGACGUGAUCUCCCAGCUGCAGGAGCAAGUCAACACGGUCGCGUCGGUCGCCUUCAACACCUUCGGCUCGCUGCAGAGGGACGCGCCCUC